GGUGAACUCCUUAUAAGGUUUGAGUAAUCCUCCUCCCUUUGAGCUAGCUUUUGGGGUGUGAAUUAGGCCUAAGACCUAAUUUCACAUAGUAUCAGAGCAGGGACAGUCUCACCCGAUGUUGGGACCCCCGAAAUAAAAAAUUCCCACGCACCAGAUGCUAAACAUUGGGUGUGAGGUGGGUGUAUAGGAAGAAUAUAUAUGUUUUUUUCUCUCGCUUUAUACAAAAACAGAAACACAAUUUAUACACUUCUGUUGUAUAAAGCGAGAGAAAAUUGUAUUUCACUGCAAUUGUAUAAUUCGCUGACCUUUUUCGCUAUAAUAUUUGUAUAAAAUUUGCAUUUGUAUACAAUUGAAUCGAAGUAAGAUGUUUGUAAAUGUAUAAUUAAGUGUAUAACACGAAGAUAUAUGUUUUUGCAUGUGUAUAUAAAAUUUUCUCUUGCUUUAUACAAAACAGAAACACAAUUUAUACAUUUUUGUUGUAUAAAGCGAGAAAGGCGAGCAGAGGGAGAGUGGUGAACGAGAAUGAGAGAGUGACGAACGAGAGUUUUGAGAGAGAGACAAUUGAAAAACUUUGACAAACGUUUACUAGGGGGCACAAUUAAAUCAAACAGGGAUAAUACAAUUAUCCCUAUAAUUAAUUGGAGGAGCCAAUGGUAGUGAGAGAUGCACAGAAUUUCCAUAUCUUUGAGACAAACAAAUCAAAUUUGAUAUAGAUACCUCUUUAAUUAGCUCUAUUAUACUAAAAGGGCAACUCAAAGGGUAAGUAAUAUUCUGUAACGACCUGUUUAGUCGUUUUGAGCAGCAGACUUCAAUUUUGGAAAAACUGGCAGAAGCGACGAAACCCACGACGGACCGUCAUGGGCACGACGGACCGUCGCAGGGUCUCGUUUCAAAACACUUAGAAAAUCUGAAAUUGGGUACUAAAUAUCGACUCUCUGAACUUCGUAACGGAAUGGCAGGACGGACGGUCACAGGUGUGACGGACCGUCACAGACCCUUCAGAGAAAUUGAGUCUCUGAAGUCUGUGACGGAGCAGCAGGACGGAUCGUCGCAGGCGCGACGGGCCGUCACAGGCUGCGAAAUCCCACUCUGGGUCGGAUUUCUUUAUACGUUUUAAGGGACGUUUUUGACUAUUCCUGCUUUAAUUAUAAAGUUAGUGGGUUAAUUUUAAUAAGUCUAAUUACUUGGGGGUUAAAAGAGGUAACCUUAAGUUAAUUAGUGGGUUAUUAUUGCCAUCUUUUAUUCUUAAUUAUAUGCUAAUUAGGGUAAAAGAAAGAGGGUUUUGAAUAAAGAAAAUAGAAAGAACAAGAAGAGAGAGAGAGGGUCGAUCGAGAAGGGGAAACACAAAGCUUUGGAGAAAAUUUGCUUGCUUGAUCACGAAUCUUCGGUGGAGGUAGGUUAUGGUUUUCAUGCUAUUCGUAGUAAACUCUUAAUAGCGAAUGAUAUGUGUUAGUAGUAUUGUGAACCUUCUAUAUGCUUAAUUGUAUGCUUGCAUGAAUGAUGUGAUUAUGUAAUUAUGACUAAAUAAGCAUGAUGAAGCUAUUGAAUCCCAAAUCUUGAAAAGAAACCCUAAUCUACUUUGUUAAUGAUGAUGUCUUGGUAUAAAAGAAGGCUUGAUGAAUGAAAGUAGUGAAAUUAGGGGAUCGGGUGCCACGUUCCGGUACCAGGAUAGUAUAUGAGGAUCGGGUGCCACGUUCCGGUACCAGGAUAGAAUAUGGAUCGGGUGUCACGUUCUGACACCAGGAUAAAAUAUGGAUCGGGUGCCACGUUUCGGUACCAGGAUAGUAUAUGAGGAUCGGAGUGUCACGUUCCGACACCAGGAUAGUAUAUUGAGGAGCGGAGUGUCACGUACCGACACGAGGGGAAUAAAGAUAAUGAAUCUUGAAAGAUGUUAAUAUAUUCAAUCUAAUGAACCGAAUUCCCAAAUGAGUAUGAUGAGGAGGCGUGAGUCCUCAUUGAUGUGCUUGGUGUUGUAACCAAGGGUUAUGGUAACUGUAAAUGCUGCAUGCUAAGGAUAUUAGUUGAUUUUAUGAUAUUGCUUAAUAUAUACUGUUUUCUAUUUUGAGUUGGCCGAUGAUAUCUACUCAGUACCCGUGUUUGUACUGACCCCCUACUUUUAUGUUUUCUUCUUGUUAUUUGUGGAGUGCAGCAAACGUGCCGUCGUCUUCGACUCAACAGUAAUUCAAGCCAGUCUUUACUACACCGGAAAUUCAGGGUGAGCUAAUGCUUCUAGCUUGGAUUGGAUCUUCUUCUUUAUGUCUUGAUGCCUUGAAGUUCCGGCAUGGACUAGCUUUUAUGUAUUUUUAGCUUCUUAGAAACUCUUAGAUUUAGUAAUUUGAUCAUAGAUGUUCUUGUGGUGAUGACUUCCAGAUUUUGGGAAAUAAUAAUUAUUGAAUUGGUUUUUAUUAAUGAGUUUUAAGUCUUCCGCAUUGUUUUCUAUUUAUUAUGUUCGAAAUGUUAAGGUUUAGAUUGGUUGGUUCGCUCACAUAGGAGGGUAAGUGUGGGUGCCAGUCGCGAUCCGGAUUUGGGUCGUGACAAACUUGGUAUCAGAGCAUUAGGUUCGUUGGUCUCAUCACACAAGUACGAGUCUAGUAGAGUCUUAAGGAACGGUAGGGGGACGCCUUUACUUUUCUUUGAGAGGCUAUAAGACUUUAGGAAAAUUCCAUUCUUUCAUUCUUUCUUUCGUGCUAUUACUUGGGUCCAAUUUGGUAUCUAGGUGAUACAAAUUGGUAUCUGACCAUCUUCACUCUAUUUCGCAGAUGGUUAGAACUAGAGCAAUGAUUGUGCGAACAUCAACAUCGGCAAGACAAGAAGCGUCUGAGCCAGCCACUGGGGUUGUAGCUCGAGGAAGAGCAACGACAAGAGGCCGUGGUAGAGGUCGUGGGAGGACGUCCUCUAGAGGAAGAGGACUAGCACCUAGCCCGUCUGAUACUAGGGCAGUGACUCUUCCACCGACUGAGGAAGUGGUAAGAGAGGGUGAGGAAGGUGAGAAUUGAACAAGUGCAAAAUGAGGAAUUGCCACCCCAACCUACCCCAGAGAUGAUCAAUCAGGUUCUCGCUUAUCUUAGUGGGUUAUCUGAUCAGGGUCAGGCACCUCCAGUGUUUUCUGCGCCAACACCUCAGGUUCCGGAGGUACAACAUGCGGCUACUAUGGCUCCCCGCAUGGAUGCCUCAUUGGAGGUAGACACGUUUCCACGUCUGACUACAGGGCCUAUAAUGACAAAUGAUCAGCAUGAACUUUUCAGUAAGUUCUUGAAAUUGAAACCUCCAGUCUUCAAGGGUGCUGAAUCGGAGGAUGCUUACGAUUUUCUGGUUGACUGUUAUGAGCUACUACACAAGAUGGGUAUAGUAGAAUGGUUUGGUGUUGAGUUUGUGACUUAUCAGUUUCAAAGGAACGCCAAAAUGUGGUGGCGAUCACAUGUUGAGUGUCAACUGACAGAGGCAACACCUAUGACUUGGGCCUCAUUCUCUAGCUUGUUUAUGGAGAAGUAUAUCCCCCGGACUUUGAGGGAUAGGAAAAGGGAUGAUUUCUUGAGCCUAGAGCAAGGUAGGAUGUCGGUUACUGCAUAUGAGGCUAGGUUUCGUGCACUAUCCAGGUAUGCCACUCAACUUUGUUUCAGUCCACAAGAGCGGAUUCGCCGGUUUGUGAAGGGGUUGAGGUCAGAGUUGCGGAUUUCGGCCUUACAGGUAGCGGCUACGGCUAAAUCCUUCCAAGAAGUGGUAGACUUCGUGAUAGAGGUGGAAGGAGUGAAGCCCGAUGACUUCACCUCGACAUCGACAUCAAAAAGGUUUCGAAAGGGAGGUGAGUUUAAUGGUUCUUACCCUAGAGGACAGGGUUCCGGAGGUUACUCAGUCCGACCGAUUCAGUCUUCACUACAGACUGUAGUUGGGGGUCCACCUCAGACCGGUCAACACUUCCCUGAGAGACCUAUGCAUGAACCCAGAGAGUGCUAUGGAUAUGGGGAGAUUGGACAUAUUAAGAGAUAUUGUCCAAAACAGAGUUACCGACCCCCAAUAGCUAGAGGUAGAGGUGGUUAUGGAAGAGGCCGUCAUUCUGGAGGACGUGGUGGUCGAGGUAAUGGUGGUCACCAAAAUGAUCGAGGUGAUGGGCAAACUGGAGCCACUACAUCACAACAUGGUAGGGGCAACGGACAAACAAACGAAAGGGCCCAUUGUUAUGCUUUCCCUGGGAGAUCUGAAGCGGAGAAAUCUGAUGCUGUCAUCACAGGUAAUCUUUCGGUUUGUGAUUGCAUGGCUUCUGUAUUGUUUGAUCCUGGAUCCACAUUUUCUUAUGUAUCUUCCUCAUUUGCUAAUGGUCUAAAUUUACAUUGUGAAUUACUUGAUAUGUCUAUUCGUGUUUCUACUCCGGUGGGUGAGUCUGUGGUAGUUGAAAAGGUAUAUAGGUCUUGUUUGGUGAACUUUGUGGGGAGCAACACUUAUGUAGAUUUGGUUAUCUUAGAAAUGGUUGAUUUUGAUGUAAUUCUGGGUAUGACUUGGCUUUCCUCGAAUUUUGCAAUCUCGGAUUGUAAUGCUAAAACUGUGACGUUAGCCAAGCCUGGGACAGAUCCGUUAGUGUGGGAGGGUGACUACACUUCCAAUCCGGUGCGUAUCAUCUCCUUUCUUCGUGCUAAGAAGAUGGUUAGUAAAGGGUGUUUAGCUUUCUUGGCACAUCUCAAGGAUGACACUACCCAAGUACCUUCGAUUGAGUCGGUUUUAGUGGUCCGUGAGUUUCUGGAUGUGUUCCCUGCAGAUCUUCCUGGUAUGCCACCAGAUAGGGAUAUUGACUUCUGUAUUGAUCUUGAACCGGGUACUCGCCCCAUUUCUAUACCCCCUUAUAGAAUGGCUCUCGCGGAGUUAAGAGAGUUAAAAGCAUAACUUCAAGAGUUGUUGAGCAAAGACUUCAUUAGACCAAGUGCAUCUCCUUGGGGUGCUCCGGUUUUGUUUGUGAAGAAGAAGGAUGGGAGUUUCCGGAUGUGCAUAGACUACCGGCAGUUGAACAAGGUAAAUAUUAAGAACAAGUAUCCUCUUCCUCGCAUUGAUGAUUUGUUCGAUCAGUUACAAGGUGCUUGUGUCUUCUCUAAGAUUGACUUGAGAUCUGGUUAUCAUCAAUUAAAAAUACGGGCAACGGAUGUGCCAAAGACUGCUUUUCGAACGAGGUAUGGGCAUUACGAAUUUGUAGUGAUGUCUUUUGGUCUUACGAAUGCCCCUACUGCGUUCAUGAGUUUGAUGAACGGGAUUUUUAAGCCAUAUUUGGAUCUCUUUAUGAUCGUAUUUAUUGAUGAUAUACUGAUAUACUCUAAAAGUAAGGAGGAACAUGAGGAGCAUUUGAGAAUGGUAUUGGAAAUGUUGAGGGAGAAAAAGCUCUAUGCCUAAUUCUCCAAGUGUGAGUUUUGGCUAGAUGCAGUGUCCUUCUUGGGGCAUGUGGUUUCUAAGGAUGGGGUGAUGGUUGAUCCUUCUAAGAUUGAGACAGUGAAGAAUUGGGUAAGACCUACUAAUGUGUCAGAAAUAAGGAGCUUUAUUGGGUUAGCUAGCUACUACCGCCGAUUUGUCAAGGGAUUCUCUUCUAUCGCUUCCCAAUUGACGAACUUGACUAAGCAAAAUGUUCCAUUUGUAUGGUCGGAUGAGUGUGAGGAAAGCUUUCAGAAGCUCAAGACUCUGUUGACUACUGCACCAAUCCUUACUUUGCCAGUGGAAGGUAAGAAUUUCAUUGUCUAUUGUGAUGCAUCCUAUUCGGGUUUGGGUGCAGUGCUAAUGCAAGAGAAGAAUGUGAUUGCUUAUGCUUCAAGACAAUUAAAAGUGCAUGAACGUAACUAUCCAACUCAUGAUUUGGAAUUGGCCGCGGUAGUGUUUGCAUUAAAGCAAUGGAGACACUAUUUAUAUGGGGUUAAGUGUGAGGUCUAUACUGAUCAUCGUAGCCUACAGUAUGUCUUUACUCAGAAAGAUUUGAACUUGAGACAGAGGAGAUGGAUGGAACUACUGAAGGACUACGACAUCACUAUUUUGUAUCAUCCGGGGAAGGCGAAUGUUGUAGCGGAUGCUUUAAGUAGAAAGGCGGGAAGCAUGGGAAGUCUAGCUCACUUGCAAGCUUCUAGACGCCCAUUGGCUAGAGAAGUUCAGAUUCUGGCUAACGACCUUAUGAGAUUAGAAGUAAAUGAGAAGGGAGGAUUCUUAGAUUGUGUGGAGGCAAGAUCUUCCUUCCUUGACAAGAUUAAAGGAAAGCAGUUUAAUGAUGAAAAAUUGAUCCGGAUCCGAGAUAAAGUGUUGCGAGGAGAGGCUAAAGAAGCGACAAUCGAUGAGGAAGGUGUUUUGAGGAUUAAGGGAAGGGUAUGUGUACCCCGCGUCGAUGAUUUGAUCAACACUAUUCUGACAGAGGCUCAUAGUUCAAGGUAUUCGAUACAUCCGGGUGCAACCAAGAUGUACUGUGACCUAAAGCAACAGUUUUGGUGGAGUAGAAUGAAGCGUGAUACUGUGGAUUUUAUUGCCAAAUGUCUAAACUGUCAACAAGUAAAGUAUGAACACCAAAGGCCCGGAGGAACACUUCAGAGAAUGCCCAUUCGUGAAUGGAAGUGGGAAAGGAUUGCGAUGAAUUUCGUGGCUGGUCUUCCAAAGACAUUGGGAAAGUUUGAUUCUAUUUGGGUAAUUGUUGAUAGGUUAACUAAGUCUGCUCACUUCAUUUCGGUCAAGGUGACUUACAAUGCGGAGAAGUUAACCAAACUUUACAUCUCGGAAGUGGUGCGAUUGCAUGGGGUUCCACUCUCCAUUAUAUCAGAUAGAGGCACGCAGUUUACUUCUAAGUUUUGGAAGACAUUGCAUGCGGAAUUGGGUACUAGGUUGGACCUUAGUACUGCGUUCCAUCCUCAGACCGAUGGUCAGUUUGAGAGAACGAUUCAAGUGUUGGAGGAUAUGCUUCGUGUAUGUGUGAUAGAGUUUGGUGGCCAUUGGGAUAACUUCUUACCCUUAGCAGAGUUCUCCUACAACAAUAGCUAUCACUCAAGUAUUGAUAUGGCCCCAUUUGAGGCACUAUAUGGGAGGAGAUGUAGGUCUCCCAUUGGGUGGUUUGAUGCAUUUGAGGUUAGACCUUGGGGUACUGAACUUUUAAGGGAUUCAUUGGAGAAAGUGAGAUCUAUUCAAGAAAAGCUUCUAGCGGCUCAAAGUAGGCAAAAAGAAUAUGCAGAUCGAAGGGUUAGAGACUUAGAGUUCAUGGAGGGUGAACAAGUCUUGUUGAAAGUUUCACCAAUGAAAGGGGUGAUGCGGUUUGGUAAAAGAGGUAAACUUAGCCCAAGGUAUAUUGGUCCAUUUGAAGUACUUAAGCGAGUAGGGGAGGUGGAUUAUGAGUUAGCCUUGCCUCCAGGACUGUCCGGAGUGCAUCCGGUAUUCCAUGUGUCUAUGUUGAAAAGAUACCAUGGGGAUAGAAACUACAUUAUCCGUUGGGAUUCAGUUUUGCUUGAUGAGAAUUUGUCUUAUGAGGAGGAGCCUGUUGCCAUUCUAGAUAGAGAAAUUCGCAAGUUGAGAUCAAGGGAGAUUGCAUCCAUCAAAGUUCAAUGGAAGAAUCGACCCGUUGAAGAAGCCACUUGGGAGAAGGAGGCAGAUAUGCGAGAAAGAUACCCACAGCUGUUUACAGAUUCAGGUACUCCUCUUCACCCUUGUUUUCCUUCCUGUGAUCGUUCGGGGACGAACGAUGGGUAAAUUGGUAUCUAUUGUAACGACCUGUUUAGUCGUUUUGAGCAGCAGACUUCAAUUUUGGAAAAACUGGCAGAAGCGACGGACCCCACGACGGACCGUCAUGGGCACGACGGACCGUCGCAGGGUCUCGUUUCAAAACACUUAGAAAAUCUGAAAUUGGAUACUGAAAAUCGACUCUCUGAACUUCGUAACGGAAUGGCAGGACGGACUGUCACAGGUGUGACGGACCGUCACAGACCCUUCAGAGAAAUUGAGUCUCUGAAGUCUGUGACGGAGCAGCAGGACGGACCGUCGCAGGCGCGACGGGCCGUCACAGGCUGCGAAAUCCCACUCUGGGUCGGAUUUCUUUAUACGUUUUAAGGGACGUUUUUGACUAUUCUUGCUUUAAUUAUAAAGUUAGUGGGUUAAUUUUAAUAAGUCUAAUUACUUGGGGGUUAAAAGAGGUAACCUUAAAUUAAUUAGUGGGUUAUUAUUGCCAUCUUUUUUUCUUAAUUAUAUGCUAAUUAGUGUAAAAGAAAGAGGGUUUUGAAUAAAGAAAAUAGAAAGAACAAGAAGAGAGAGAGAGGGUCGAUCGAGAAGGGGAAACACAAAGCUUUGGAGAAAAUUUGCUUGCUUGAUCACGAAUCUUCGGUGGAGGUAGGUUAUGGUUUUCAUGCUAUUCGUAGUAAACUCUUAAUAGCGAAUUAUAUGUGUUAGUAGUAUUGUGAACCUUCGAUAUGCUUAAUUGUAUGCUUGCAUGAAUGAUGUGAUUAUGUAAUUAUGACUAAAUAAGCAUGAUGAAGCUAUUGAAUCCCAAAUCUUGAAAAGAAACCCUAAUCUACUUUGUUAAUGAUGAUGCCUUGUUAUAAAAGAAGGCUUGAUGAAUGAAAGUAGUGAAAUUAGGGGAUCGGGUGCCACGUUCCGGUACCAGGAUAGUAUAUGAGGAUCGGGUGCCACGUUCCGGUACCAGGAUAGAAUAUGGAUCGGGUGUCACAUUCCGACACCAGGAUAAAAUAUGGAUCGGGUGCCACGUUUCGGUACCAGGAUAGUAUAUGAGGAUCGGAGUGUCACGUUCCGACACCAGGAUAGUAUAUUGAGGAGCGGAGUGUCACGUACCGACACGAGGGGAAUAAAGAUAAUGAAUCUUGAAAGAUGUUAAUAUAUUCAAUCUAAUGAACCGAAUUCCCAAAUGAGUAUGAUGAGGAGGCGUGAGUCCUCAUUGAUGUGCUUGGUGUUGUAACCAAGGGUUAUGGUAACUGUAAAUGCUGCAUGCUAAGGAUAUUAGUUGAUUUUAUGAUAUUGCUUAAUAUAUACUGUUUUCUAUUUUGAGUUGGCCGAUGAUAUCUACUCAGUACCCGUGUUUGUACUGACCCCCUACUUUUAUGUUUUCUUCUUGUUAUUUGUGGAGUGCAGCAAACGUGCCGUCAUCUUCGACUCAACAAUAAUUCAAGCCAGUCUUUACUACACCGGAAAUUUAGGGUGAGCUAAUGCUUCUAGCUUGGAUUGGAUCUUCUUCUUCAUGUCUUGAUGCCUUGAAGUUCCGGCAUGAACUAGCUUUUAUGUAUUUUUAGCUUCUUAGAAACUCUUAGAUUUAGUAAUUUGAUCAUAGAUGUUCUUGUGGUGAUGACUUCCAGAUUUUGGGAAAUAAUAAUUAUUGAAUUGGUUUUUAUUAAUGAGUUUUAAGUCUUCUGCAUUGUUUUCUAUUUAUUAUGUUCGAAAUGUUAAGGUUUAGAUUGGUUGGUUCGCUCACAUAGGAGGGUAAGUGUGGGUGCCAGUCGCGAUCCACAAAAUUUUAAACGAAUUGAGCAUGUUAAGUAGUUUGGGCUAUUUUUUUUGACACCCCUACAACCAAUGUACCAAAGUUACUUAUGUGUAAAUCACUAAUUAAUGAACUAUGUUAUAUACUUUGUCUAUUGGUUCAUGAGCAGAUAUUUUACCAUAAAUUUCUAAUCUAUUCUUGUGCGAUUUCUGUUGAAGAAGAUCUGAUUUGCACCAAAUUGUCUCAUGAUGUUCUGGAAUGGAUGAUAUAAUAUUAUUGUAGACAAGAACAUGGGAUCAUAGAAUUUCUAUAAGAUUUAAGUGUGCAAAUAAUAAAAAAAAGAGGCAUGAAGGGUGUCUUUGGUACGUAUAUGAAAAAUGCUUUUAGAAAAAUAAGUGAAUUUUCUAAUAUUUAUUAUUUUCUGUUCAUUAUGCCAGUAAAAUAGAGAGUAAAUUUUAUCAUAAUUGCGCUUCAUAGCAAAAUUUUAAUUUGCUGUGGAGCUGUCUUUCUGUAUAUUUCGGUAUUCUUUCAAUUUAAUAUAUAUUUUAAUUGAUUAAAAAAUUUAAAUAACGAGGCGAUAUUUUAAGUUAGAAAAAAAAAGGAAAAGAAUUGCUGAAGUCACGUGCAUUCUGUUCCAACCGAAUUUCCUUCCUUCUAUGUCUUCUUCAACAGUAAGAACUUUAUUGUAACUCAGUUCGAAAAAUCGAUCAAGCUGUUGACGAUACUAUACAUACAAUCAAGAUCAUAUUGAUUUUAGAAAUAACAACAGGAGGUAAUUUCAUGACGAAUAUAAUCUGAUUUUUUUUUCUUUUGUCGAAAUUGGUGUUAACGUGUAUUCAAAAUUAGAUUUUCUAUUUAACUUUAAUCAAUUUAAGUUGAAUGUAGAUUCAUAGGUGUAUAUUGUGUUAGUAAUAGAGUUUAACACUUAUAAUUUGUAUAGUUAAUUUGAAAUCUAAGAAAAAUUGUGAUUUGCAAAAUUUCUCGAUGAGAUUGUUGAUUAUUUUGAAUUUGUGAUCGAAGAUUCGUUCUUUUGACAGUAGUAUUUUUGUUCAAAUUUGCAUAUUUGAUAUCGAACCUAUGAAUGAAGAAAUUGUAUUAUGACUUGCUUCGAGUUUAUACGUAUAGGUGUUUAGAUAUAAUUUUAGUAAGAUAUGUAUAAUUCGUACAUGAAACUAUUGACUUUUUGUCUUGAAUUUGUGUAUUAGUACAAUAUAUUUUAAUCCUAAUUUUGGAUAUAUGAUUCUUAUAUAAAUACAAAAAUCUAUAUUGUGGUAAAAAUAACAAUAACAUUGCACCGUGUGAAAUUGUAAAUUUGUGUAUAAAAAUUUAGUUUGUGUAUAUAAUCAUUCAUAUAAGUGUAUGUUCAACAUAUGUAUAUAAAUGAAAACUAAAUUCCAUGUACGUUACAUACAUAUAUCUAUUAGUGUUGUUGUGAGUUGUAUAAGUAUAUGAAACUGUUGACUGUUUAUUUGAAUUUGUAUAUUUAUACAGUGCAUAUUAAUCCUUAUUUUGGAUAUUGGAUUCUGUAUAUGUACAUAUAUAUGUCAAUUAUUUUAUGUAUAUGUAUAUAACUGAAAAAUUAAAUUCUCUAUAAUUUGUUUAAGUUUAUGUUCUGUUUGUUGUUGAGAUUCUUAAUCAUAUAAAUGUAUAUGUAUAUAUAAUUUAAAUGAAAUAGGUUGUGACGACGACUAAAUAUAUAUACAGUGUGACUGAUGAUGGUAGGAGUUUUGUGGUCUAUUUAAAGAAUCAAACAUGCGGUUGUGAAAAGUUUUAAUACGAAGAAAUAUCGAUUUAUCCAUUGCCUGAUGUAGCAAAAUGGGUGAUACCUGAAUACUUAAUGUAUAAUAAAGUUCGACCCCGAAAUUCAAAAGACCUCCUAAAAGGCCAAAAAAUAAAUCUCGUUAAAAAACAAAACGUGAAUUGCUUGGUCUCAAAGGGAAACAUACAUGUACCACAUGUGGAGUUGAACGUCACAACAGGCGUUCAUGUAGAAAUAGGGCUCGAGAAGUUUAGUGAGGUCUUUCGAUUAUAUAGGAGUGCAAUCUUGGAUUUUAUGGAUACUUGAAUGUUAGCUAGUUUUGUGUUUAAACUAUAUGAGUUGGAAUGUUGAUGAUGGAAUAAAUUUGUUAUGUCCUAUUAAUAGUAAACAUUUUGUUCUUCUUUUGUAUUCAUGCUCUUGUAUAUAGUUUGAGUUAUCAUUAUCGUAUGUAUUGUCCAUCAUAUACAGAAAUAUUAUAUGUAUAAAUUAAAUUGAACAUUUUAUUAUAUUUGUAUAAGUUGACUAUUAAAAUAGCAUAUGUAUAAGUUAUAUUAAACGAUGUAUUUGUAUUCUAUGUGUAUUUGUUCUAUUGAAAUAUUUUUCUCUUUUUGAACAGAAAAUGCAUAUGUACACUCUAUAUUUAUACUGUAUGAACGAUUGUAUAAGGUGGUUAUAUAUAUAUAUAUAUAUAUAUAUAUAUAUAUAUAUAUAUAUAUAUAUAUAUAUAUAUAUAUAUAUAUAUAUAAACGUUGUAUAAGCCUAACAAUGUGUAUUUAUACACUCAAUAUAAAACAUACUCAUAGAUUUAUAUAGUUAAUAUAUAAAUAUAUGUUGUAAUUUAUGAAGUAUAUAUAUUUAUACUUUGUGAAUGAUUGUAUAAACCUAACAAUGUGUGUAUAUAUAUAUACUCAACAUAAAACAUAUUUCUAAAUUGGGUAAAUCACAUAAAUAUGCUAUAUUUAAAAAAUAUUUACCAUUUAUGUCAAUGUAAUUUUAUAACUAAAUAUAACAAUUUUUUGAAAUAAAAGAAAAUGUACCGUCGCUUUCUUUCUCGGUCCUUUUGCCUCUUAAUCUUUUUCUUUUCUUUUUAAAGAUCUUCUUUCUUAUCUUUCUCUCUCUUUCAUUAUUAUCUCCGUAUUCUUAUUCUUAUUAUUAUUAUUAUUAUUUUUAAUUCUUCUUCUUCUUUCAAUUUUUAUUUAAUUAACAAAUCAAUUUUUCAUAUUUCACUAUGUGCAUGUCACUAUUUUUAUACAAAAAAAAAAAGAUGAAAAGAGGAACAAAAAACCCGUAAAAUUGUAAAAAAUCACUUUUUAAAGCAGAAAUUUCGAAUCACUAAAAUUACAGAAGUAAGAGUUCACAAUUGAUAGUCAUUAUAAGCUUCAAAUUUUGAAUUCAUUAUUUGCAUUUACAAAUUUGUGAUAAGUUUAAAUAGAUAAUUUUACAAAUAAUUGAAAAUGUCGUUUGGAGUUUAUAUAUCAAUUUUAAGAGGGUUUGGUCAAGUUUAUAAUUGAUUUUAAGAGAAAUAUUGGAUUGAAAUGAAUUAAAUAUAACAUUAAAUUGUCCUGCAAAAGUAUUAAAGUUGAGUAGAUGAUACAAUUUUAAUGCAAAUUUAAUUAAUUUUGAAUUUUUUUAAUUUAUUUGUUACUAUCGAUACUUGUUUAAUUCAUUACUGAUAUAACUUAUCAGUUUAUAGAUCAUUGUCAUGUCUUUCGUUAGUUACAUUUUUCAUUCAUUCUUAAUUUUCUUUUCUAAUUCAACUUUAAAUACUGUGUAAUACAAUUUUAAUGUAAAUUUAAUUCAUUGAACAUUUUUUUAAUUUGUUACUAUUGGAUACUUGUUUAAUUCAUUAUUGAUACAAUUUUAAUUCACUCUACAAAUCAUUGUCUUGUCAAUCAUUAGCUACGUUUUCCAUUCAUUUUUAAUUCUCUCUUCUUAUUCAAAUUUAACACAGUAUAUUACAAUUUUAAUACAAAUUUAAUUCAUUUUGCAUUGUUAUUUAUUUGUCCCUAUUGGAUACUUGUUUAAUUCAUUAUUGAUAUAAGUUUAAUUCACUCUAUAAAUCAUUGUCUAACAUUUCAUUUGUUGCAUUUUUUUAUUCAUGCUUAAUUUUCUCUUUUACCUCGACUUUAAUAUUUGUUUUGAUACAUUUUUAAAUACAAAUUUAAUCAUUUUUAUAAUUAAUUGAUUGAUUAUAAUUACAUAAGUGUUAAACUGCAUAUAUAAUGAAAUUAACAAAAAUAAAUAAGUAAAAAACUUGGAAGUUCAAAAUAUACAAGGUUAUUAUGUAUGUCAUUUGCAUAUGAAAAAAAUAAAAAUUUAAUACUAAUGUUCUAAUUAAUUAGGAUCCUUUAAUUUGACUGCUAUCACAAUUCCUGUGUAUCCUGAUUGACCCUUCUGGUGCCUCGCUGUCACUAGUGGCAUCGGCUUGGAUCUUUUGUAUUUCAUAAUUUCACAAUAAUGCAACAUCGACUAGGAUCUUUUGCGUUAGAUAUGGACAUUAACCUGCAAACUCCCCAAACCCCGAUUAGACCAAGAAAAACGAUGUGUGUUCAACAAUAUUUUCACCAUAUAAGGGUAUAUCUCUUGUGAAUCUUUUAAAUGGAGAUUGGACAUCCACUGUUUGAAUGAAAACUCUAUAUGAAUUAUGAACUUGUAUGAAAAAUAGCUUGAAAAAAUAGACAAAAAUUUAAAUUAAUCGAUUGAGAUAAGUUUUGGCGGUAUUGGAAUUUUUGAAGAAAUUGUGAAACCGCGAUUGAGAACCAGUUGGUGAAGAUUUGAAUUUUUUCAAACUGAUUUGGGGAGAAAUUGAAGGAAAUAUAAGAUAUAAACGAGAAGAAGAGAUUGUACAAAGGGAAUAACGUUAAUUUUUUUUAACUUAUACAAAUCGGUGGAACCCAUUAAUAGCAAUCUGACUGAGACUUAUUUCCCUGCCAAGUCUCUUUUGCCUUUAUCGUUUUAUACAAAUUCAAAUUGUAUAUAAUUUCUCUCUUUCUCGUUUUAUACAAUUCAAUUAUGCUUUUCUUGCUUUCUCAUUUUAUACAAUUCAAAAUUGUAUAUAAUUUUUCUCUUUCUCUUUUUAUACAAUUCGCUUCAGUUGUAUAUGUAUAGCGAAUUGUGCAUAUGUAAGUUUGCUAUAGAGCGCAUUAUUCAAACUUUGAUAUAGCAUAUAAAUAUGAAUUUUAUGUUUUGUAUAUGUGAAAGUUGCCUUUUUAAUUUUCAUAACUAGUUGUUAUACUAUUUGAAUACAUAUUUAUUUUAUUAAAUGAUGCAAAUUAAUAAUUAAGGGAUGAAAUUCAAAUUACCUGGCCUCUGGAGUGUGGCGUGUUAGGAUAAAAAAUUAGCAGGUGUAACGCGAAAGCUAGCAAAACAAACCUCGAAAGAUCAUGAGUAAGAAGAUAAAUGAGAAACACACAAAAAACACAAAGAUUUAAACGUGGUUCGGUCAAUCGACCUACGUCCACAAAAGAGAUGAACAAUCCAUUAUAAUAAAUAUAUAGAGACAUAACCUCAACCAAUUAACUCAAAAUGCAUGGGAGGUUCAUACAAAUGAUAAUGUAUCAAGCUUGUGUCCCGCAAAUUCUCUCCCUAAUCAAAACUCUCAAAGUUUAAGACUACAAUGUGAAUGUUAAUUAAGUUAGAAGGUACAAACUUAUAUUUAUGGAGUCCUAAAUCUUUUCCUACAAGAAAAGAAGGGAAAAAAGGACUAGAGAGACAUAUCCUUUUCCAAAUAGAAAAAUCUAUUUAUGAUAAGAAAUCAUGAUAAAUAAAAUCUAACAUGGCGGGUGCCAAUCAUAUUUAAGGAAUAGUUUAAAAUGUGAUUGUAUACUGCCUAUUGGUUUACUAGCGUAUAUAUUACUAAAAAGUUCUUAAUAGUCUGAAAAAUGUGUAGCAGUAAAAUCAAGAAAUUCCAAAAUUUCUCUUUUUCUAUAUUAUCAAGAAUAAAAAAUAGUCAUUAAGGUCUAUAUAUUCAUGUGUGAUUGCUGUUGAAAUAUAUAUGCAUUGAAUUAUCUCUUGAUAUCUUAAAUUAAUGAUUUAAUAUUAUAGACAAGAACGUGGGAUAACAUAAUCGAUCCCCACAAAAUUUAAUGGGACCAUAGAAUCCCCCACAAAAUUAAUGGAAUAAUAGAAUCCCCACAAAAUUGAAGUGUGCAAUUGACAAAAAAUGAGACAUGAAGGGAGUGUUUGGUAUGACGAAAAACGUUUUCAUAUAAGAAAAUGUCUUUUAGGUAAAUAAGUUGGUUAUUUUUUUCUUUUAUCUUUUUGUUUGGUAUUCUUCAUAUUAACCACAUUUGUUUCUAUAUAUAAUUUAGAUAGAUAUUAUGUCAGGUGAACAUAGAGGGAUGUGGAUGAAGAUGAGGUGUGUUGGAAGGUGAGAGUUACUACCAAUGUGGAAUGUUAGUAACUUGUUUUCGAAACUUUCAUUUCUUAAGAAAGUUAUUUUCCUCAAUUCUAAAGUGUUUGGGUGUAGAUGUUUUCCAUUAUUAAGGAUAAUAACAAGUUCAGCAAAGACUUACCCUCGUUGUAUUGUGAUAAUAUGAGUGUCUUGUACAUGACGAUUAAUUGAGUUAAUACCUCAUAUGGUCACUCAACUAUGUAUUCUUCUCUUAGAAAGUCACUCAACUUUCAAUUUUCACUCAAAAGUCACUCAACUAUGCACUUCUUUCUCACAAAGUCACUCAACUUUGAAUUUUAACUCAAAAGUCACUCAACUAUCCACUCUUUCAUCAGAAAAUCAAUCAAUCUAUUAAAUUGUUUUUUUAACUAAAACUUGUUGAUAUUAAUUAUUUAUAUAACAAAUAAAGAAAAUUUAAAAAUAAAAAAUACCAUUUAAACCAUUUAGUGAUCCACUCACGUAACCCGACCCAUUAAAAAACAUGAUAUGACCCAUUUUAUUUGGUCUUUAAUCCUAAUUCAAGAUUUAAAGAGAGGGAUUAAUUUAGGAUUAAAGAUAUAAUAAAAUGGGUCAUAUCAUAUUUUUUAAUGGGUCGGGUUAGGUGGGUGGAUCACUAAAUGAUUUAGUUUAUUUUUAAAAUUUUUUGAUUUGUUAUAUAACUAAUUAAUAUCAAUAAAUUUUAAUUAAAAAAUAAUUUAAUAGAUUGAGUGACUUUCUGAGGAAAGAGUGGAUAGUUGAGUGACUUUUGAAUUAAAAUUCAAAGUUGAGUGACUUUCUAAGAAAAGAGUGCAUAGUUGAGUGACCAUCUGAGGUAUUAACCUCCGGUUAAUUCAAUUAUGCAACUCAAGAUUAUUUUUAUCCUUAAUUGUCUGAUGAUGUUCUGAAAUGCAUGAUAUAAUACUGUAGACAAGAACAUGGAUUAUAGAAUUUCCAUAAAAUUUGAAGUGUGGAAAUGUAAAAAAGAGACAUAAAGGGUGUUUUUGGUAUAUAACAUCACUUGAUUUCCUUCUUCUUUACUUUUUUGGGACAAAAAUUGAAUUUGGUUAGUUAACUAUGGACAUGGGGAUCAUAAAAUAUAAAGAAAAGGUUUUUGUUAAUCUCAUUUUGUAAUAUUGGAAUUGCAGAGUUACCGAAUCAAUGAAAAAAAGGGUUAUAAUUCAAUUGUUAAAUAAAAAUGAUUCUAAAAAUUAGGUCAAAGGAAAUAUUGACACAAGUGUAUUCAUACCUUCUUAUUUUGAAAUCACUAUUUGCUGCACACAAUUUUUGAAACAUAUAAGUAGAAAGUUGUCACGACUCAAAAUGAAUCGUGAGUGGUACCCACACUUACCUCCUCUAGAUGGGCGAACCAACACGUCUGAACCCCAACAUAUACCAAUAGUUCAACUAUAAAUAACAAAAAUAAUGCGAAAGCACCAAAAGUUAUUAAGUAACCAAUUUAAAUAAGUUUCUAAAGUUUAAUACUUAUUAUCCCAAAAUCUGGUAGUCAUCACAUCAAGAACAUCUAUUUCCAAAUUACCAAGUCUAAAAGUGUUUAAGAAACCAAAAUAAGCAAAAAGAUGACCCAUAUCCGAAAUUCAAAAACAUCAAGACGUGAAUGAGAUAAUCCAGCACGAGCUAGAAUUAAUAGCUCACCCUAAACUCUGAUAUGCUGGAGACUGGCUAGAGCUGAGGGCGAGUCGAAGUCGAUGGUACACUUGCUCCACCGAAGAAUCAAAGUCAAGCAACUACUUGUCCAAUGCCUUUCCUUUCCUCAUUGCCUCCGAACCCUUCCAAUCUAUCAAAUAUAUAUAUAUAUAAGGUGUAAGUUCACAAGGCCAUAAACACUCCGAUUAUUCUGUGUCUAGCCUAUACCCAUCAAUUCACCUAAUUCUAUAAUCAAUCUCUUAAAGUUUAAGCCUAAUGGUAAGUCUUAAUUCCUCCAAUUACCACAAAUUUAAUGAAAUUUAAACAGUAUGAUACACCUAUCUCAAUAUAUUCACACGUAAUUUAUAAUCUUAGAUCAAAACAUUAAUAUGAGAAGUUUGAAGCCACUGUAAUAAAAUCAGCGCCGGUCAACACCAAACUAUGCACUCAUACGUGCAUACAACCAAACUCCUCAACAUAUAUGUUGCCUCCAUUUUGUAUAUAAUAAUAUUAUUCCUACUAAUAACCAUUGGCUCCAGUUAACUUUCCUUCUUUUUCAAUAUUAUUAAAUUCCAUCACCAACACUUAGUUGUUCCUCAUUAAUGACAGAUGUCCACCUUCCAAUAAAAAUGAACCUUUAAUUAUCCAAUUCACACCCUUAUAUAACCAUAAUAUUUUACUAUAUAACAACUAUAUAACAAUACAAUAGGAUAAACUCCAUAAAUUAUAAUCACUAACUUGAUCCGGGAAAAAAAACAAAUAAGUCAAAACAAUCAUAUACUCUUAUGCCUAAAAUCUAUCACAUACGGCUAAUGAUCAUUCUCUAAUAUACAAUAUAUAUAUAAUAAGGCGUCUUAAUAUAUCUAGCAAAUCUACAUAUGAACGCAUACCUGACUUAAUCGCCUUUACUUUGUUCUCGUCUUUCUCUUCGUUCUUCUCUUCCCCUUCUUUCCUUUUACGGAUUAUGUUAUUUUCUACCCUAAUUAUAAUAUAACCAAUUAUAAAAAUUGUAAAAGUGAUCCACCUUACUUCUAAUGUUACUUUUCUUAACCACCAACUAAAUAACUAUUAAAAGCUUCCUCACUAAUUUCAUAAUUAUAAUUACGAAUAGUCCAAAAUAUCCACUUACAAUAUAUCGGAAAGUAUUUUAUGAAAUAUAAGGUUUUAACACACGAAAUGACCCAAAGGGUCGUUACAGUAGAUACCAAUUUACCCAUCGUUCGUCCUCGAACGAUCAAAAGAAAGUGAGAGUAAGGAAAGGUACUUGAAUUGGUAAAAAUGUGUGGAUAUCUUUUACGCAUAUCAGCCUCACUCUCCCAAGUGGAAUCUUUGACUGACCGAUUCUUCAACUGAACCUUGAUAGAUGCAAUAUCCUUUGAUCUGAACUUGCGGACCUCCCUAUCUAGAAUAGCAACAGGCUCCUCCUCAUAAGACAGAUUCUCAUAAAAAAAGAACUGAAUCCCAACGAAUAAUGUAAUUUCCAUCACCGUGGUAUUUUUUCAGCAUUGACACAUGAAAUACUGGGUGCACUCCUGACAACCGUGAAGGCAAGGCCAAUUCAUAGGUCACCUCCCCCACGUGCUUAAGAACUUCAAAUGGUCCAAUAUACCUCGGACUAAGCUUACCUCACUUACCAUACCGCAUCACACCUUUUCAUUGGUGAAACCUUCAGCAAGACUUGUUCACCCUCCAUAAAAUCCAAGUCCCUAACUUUUCGAUCUGCAUAUUCCUUCAGCCUACUCUGAGCUGCUAAAAGCUUUUCUUGAAUAAAUUUCACUUUUUCUAAUGAUUCCCUCAGAAGAUCAGUACCCCAAGGUCUAACUUCAAAUGCAUCAAACCAACCAAUGGAAGACCUGCAUCUCCUCCCAUACAAUGCCUCAAAUGGCGCCAUAUCAAUACUCGAGUGUAGCUAUUGGUAUAUGAAAACUCUGCCAAAGGUAAAAAUUUAUCCCAGUGACCACCAAAUUCUAUCCUACAUGCACGAAGCAUGUCCUCCAACACGUGAAUCGUUCACUCAGACUGACCAUCGGUCUGAGGGUGAAAUGCAGUACUAAAAUCAAGUCUAGUAACUAAUUCAACAUGUAAUGUCCUCCAAAACUUAGAAUUAAAUUGCGUACCUCUAUCAGAUAUGAUGAAAAGUGGAACUCCAUGCAAGCGAACAAUUUCAGAGACAUAGAGUUUAGCUAACUUCUCGGCAUUGUAAGUCAUCUUAACCGGAAUGAAGUGAGCAGACUUAGUUAACCUGUCAAUAAUUACCCAAAUAGAAUCAAACUUACCCAAUGUCUUUGGAAGACCAACUACGAAAUCCAUUGCAAUUCUUUCCCACUUCCAUUCAGGAAUGGACAUUCUCUGAAGUAUCCCUCCAGGCCUCUAGUGUUCAUACUUUACCUGCUGACAAUUCGGGCAUUGGGCAACAAAAUCAACAAUGUCACGCUUCAUUGUACUCCACCAAAAAUGUUGCUUUAGAUCACGAUACAUCUUUGUUGCACUAGGAUAUAUAGAAUACCUUGAACUAUGAGCCUCUGUAAGAAUAGUGUGAAUCAAAUCAUGCUCACGGGGCACAUAUACUCUUUCCUUAAUCCUCAAGAUGCCUUCUUCAUCAAUUACUACCUCUUUAGCCUCUCCUCGCAAUACCAUAUCUCAAAUUCGGCUCAGCUUGUCAUCAGCAAACUGAAUUCCCUUAAUCUUGUCAAGAAAAGAAGAUCUUGCCUCCACACUGGCCAAAAAUCCUCCUUUAUCUAUACUUCCAGCCUUAUAAAGUCAUUAGCCAGAGUCUGAACUUCUCUAGCCAAUGGGCGUCUAGAAACCUGUAAGUGGGCUAAACUACCCAUGCUCCCUGGUUUUCUGCUUAAAGCAUCUGCCACAAUAUUAGCUUUUCCUUGGUGAUAUAAAAUAGUAAUAUCAUAGUCUUUCAAUAGCUCCAUCCACCUCCUCUGCCUCAAAUUGAAAUCUUUCUGAGUAAAGACAUAUUGUAAACUACGAUGAUCUGUAUAAACUUCACGCUUGACCCCAUAUAGAUAAUGUCUCCAUUGCUUUAAUGCAAAUACAACUGCAGCCAACUCCAAACCAUGGGUCGGAUAGUUACGUUCAUGUACUUUCAAUUGCCUCGAAGCAUAAACAAUUACAUUUCUCUCCUGCAUUAGCACUGCACCCAAACCAGAAUAAGAUGCAUCACAAUAAACAAUAAAAUUCUUACCUUCCACUGGCAAGGUAAGAAUUGGUGCAGUAGUCAACAAAGUUUUAAGUUUCUGGAAGCUUUCUUCACAUUCAUCCGACCAUACAAAUGGAAUAUUCUACUUAGUCAAAUUUUUCAGCUGAGAAGCAAUAGAAGAAAAUCCCUUGACGAAUCGACGGUAGUAGCUAGCUAAACCAAUAAAGCUCCUUACCUCUGCAACAUUAGUAGGUCUUACCCAACUCUUCACUGCUUCAAUCUUAGAAUUUGGCAUAAAACCUUUUCUCCCUUAACAACUCUAAUACAAUUCCCAAAUGCUCCUCAUGUUCUUUCCUGCUCUUUGAGUAUAUCAGUAUAUCAUCAAUACUUUAAAAUCCCGUUCAUCAGGCUUAUGAAAGCAGUAGGGGCAUUCAUAAGCCCAAAAGACAUUACUAAGAAUUCAUAAUGCCCAUACCUGGUUCAAAAAGCAGUCUUUUGCACAUCUUUUGCCCGUAUUUUCAACUGAUGAUAACCGAAUCUCAAAUCAAUUUUAGAGAAGACACAAGCACCUUGUAAUUGAUCAAAUAAAUCAUCAAUGCGAGGAAUGAGAUACUUGUUCUUAAUAGUUACCUUAUUUAACUGCCUGUAGUCUAUGCACAUCCGAAAACUUCCAUCUUUCUUCUUCACAAAUAAAACAGGAGCACCCCAAGGGGGUGCACUCGGUCUAAUAAAACAUUUACCUAACAACUCCUGAAGUUGGGCCUUUAACUCUCUUAACUCAGCUGGAGCCAUUCUAUAAGGGGGAAUGGAAAUGGGGCGAGUACCCGGCUCCAGAUAAAUACAAAAAUCAAUAUCCCUAUCCGGUGGCAUACCAAGAAGGUCUCCAGGAAACACAUCCAGAAACUCAGGGACUAUCAAAACAGACUCAAUCGAAGGUGCUUUGGAAGUAUCAUCCCUGAGAUGUGCCAAGAAAUCUAACAACCCUUACUCACCAUCCUCUUAGCAUGAAGAAAAGAGAUAAUACGAACUGGAGUGGAAAUAUAGUCACCCUCCCACACUAGAGGAUCUGUCCCAGGCUUGGCUAAUGUCACAGUUUUAGCAUUACAAUCUAAGGUUGCAAAAUUUGGAGAAAUCCAAGUCAUACGCAGAAUUACAUCAAAAUCAACCAUCUCUAGAAUAAUCAAAUCUACAUAAGUAUUGCUCCACACAAAAAGUUACAAGGCAUGAUCGAUACACCUUCUCAACUAUCACAGACUCACCCACAGGAGUAGAGACACGAAUAGACAUGUCAAGCAAAUCACAAUAUAAAUCAAGACCAGUAGCAAAUGAGGAAGAUACAUAUGAAAAUGUGGAUCCAGGAUCAAACAAUACAGAAGCCAUGCAAUCACAGACCAAAAGAGUACAUGUGAUAACAGCAUCAGAUGUCUCUGCUUCAGACCUCCCGGGAAAGCAUAACAAUGGGCCCUAUCACCUAUCUGUCCAUUGCCCCUACCAAGAUGCGCUGCAAUAGUUCCAAGUUGCCCGCCACCCCGACUGAACUGGUGACCACCAUUACCUUGGCCACCACAUUCCCCAGAAUGGCGGCUUCUACCAUGACUACCUCUACCUCUAACUACUGGGGAUCUGUAACUCUGUUUUGGACAAUAUUUCCUAAUAUUUCCAGCCUCUCCACAUCCAUAAAAAGUCCUGGAGUCAAGUAUAAGCCUCUGUGAAAAUGACAAAGUCUAGAGAUAACCUCCAAACUCAGAAAAAGGCUUACUGGUCUACGAUGGACCCCCAACUAAAUUCUGCAAUGAAGAUUGAAUAAGACGGGCUGGAUAACCUCCUGAACUCUGCCCUCUGGAGUAAGAACCACUAAACUCACCUCCCUUACAAAAAUUCUUAAAUGUCGGUGUUGUGGUGAAGUCGUCUGGCUUCACCCCCUCUACAUCUAUCACAAAAUCAACCACUUCCUGAAAGGAGUUUGCUACAGCAGCUACCUGUAAGGCUGAAAUCUGCAAAUAUGAUCUCAAUCCUUUAACAAAGCAACGAAUCCGCUCUUGUGGGCUAAAGAAAAGCUGAGUGGCAUACCUGGAUAGUGCAAAAAAUUUGGCCUCAUAAGCAUCAACAAACAUCCUUCCUUGCUCUAGGCUCAGGAACUCAUCUCUCCUCCUAUCCCCCAAAGUCCGGGGUAUAUAUUUCUCCAUAAAUAAGCUAGAAAAUGAUGUCUAAGUCAUAGGUGGUUCCCUUGCUGGUUGACACUCAACAUACGACCGUCACCACAUUUUGGCAUCCCCCUAAAACUGGUAGGUCACAAACUCAACUCUAAAUCGCUCUACUAUGUUCAUCUUAUGUAGCAGCUCAUGACAGUCAACCAUAAAAUAUAGGCAUCUUCAGAUUUAGCACCCUUGAAGACUGAAGGUUUCAACUUUAAGAACUUAAUGAAAAGUUCAUGCUGAUCACCUGUCAUUAUAGACCCUGUAGUCAAUCGAGGAAACGUGCCUACUUCUAAUGAUGCAUCCAUGCGGGGAGCCACAACAGCUGCAUGUUGUACUCCUGAACCUGAGGUGCUGGUGCAGAAAACACUGGAGGUGUCUGGACCUGAUCAGAUAACCCGCUAAGAUAAGUCAGAACCUAAUUAAUCAUCUCUAGGGUAGGCUGGGGUGGUACUUCCUUAUCCUGAACCUGCUCAUUUUCCCCUUCCUCACCCUCUUUCACUACCUCAUCAGUCGGUAGAGAAGUCACUGCUCUAUUCCUACCCGGACCAGGUGUUUGUCAUCUGCCUCUAAUGGGCGUCCUCCUGCGACCUCUACCACGACCUCUUGCCACUGCUCCUCCUCGAGUUACAGCCCAAUGGUUGGCUCAGACGCACCGUGUCUUGCCGGUGUUGGUGUUGGCACAGUUGUUGCUCUAGUUCUAACCAUCUGCGAAAUAGAGUGAGAAUGUCAUAUACCAAUUUGUAUCACCUAGAUAACAAUUGAAUCCAAGUAAUAGCACGAAAUAAAGAAAGAAUGGAGUUUUCCUAAAGUCCUAUAGCCUCUCGAAGAAAAGUAAAGGCGUCCCCACACCGUUCCUCAAGACUCUACUAGACUUGUCUUUGUGUAAUGAGACCAACGAACCUAACGCUCUGAUACCAAGUUUGCCACGACCCAAAAUAAAUUGUGAGUGACACCCACACUUACCCCACCUAGGUGGGCUAACCAAUACGUUUGAACCCCAACAUAUACCAAUAUUUCAACUAUAAAUAACAAAAAUAAUGCGGAAGCUCCAAAAGUUAUUAAGUAAGCAAUUUAAAUAAGUUUUUAAAGUUUAAUACUUAUUAUCCCAAAUUCUGAUAGUUAUCAUAUCAAGGACAUCUAUUUCCAAAUUACCAAGUCUAAAAGUGUUUAAGAAAUCAAAAUAAGCAAAAAGAUGGCCCAUGUCCGAAAUUCAAAGACAUCAAGACGUGAAUGAGAGAAUCCAGCACGAGCUAGAAUUAAUAGCUCACCCUAAACUCUGAUAUGCUGGAGAUUGGCUAGAGCUGAGGGCGAGCCGAAGCCGAUGGUACACUUGCUCCACCAAAGAAUCGAAGUCAAGCAGCUACUUCUCAAAUGCCUUUCUUUUCCUUAUUACCUCCUAACCCUUCCAAUCUAUCAAAUAUAUAUAUAUAUAUAUAUAUAUAUAUAUAUAUAUAUAUAUAUAUAUAUAUAUAUAAGGUGUAAGUUCACAAGGCCAUAAACACUCUGAUUAUUUUGUGUCUAGCCUAGACCCAUCAUUCACCUAAUUCUAUAAUCAAUCUCUUAAAGUUUAAGCCUAAUGGUAAGUCUUAAUUCCUCCAAUUAUCAUAAAUUUAAUGAAAUUUAAACAGUAUGAUACACCAAAUAUUUAAUUACCUAUCUCAAUAUAUUCACACAUAAUUUAUAAUCUUAGAUCAAAACAUUAAUACCACAAGUUUGAAGCCACUGUAAUGAAACCAACGCCGGUCAACACCAAACUGUGCACUCAUACGUGCUAUGUACAACAAAACUCCUCAACAUACAUGUUGCCUCUAUUUUGUAUAUAAUAAUAUUAUUCCUACUAAUAACCAUUGGCUCCAAUUAACUUUCCUUCUUUUCCAAUAUUAUUAAAUUCCAUCACUAACACUUAGUUGUUCCUCAUUAAUGGCAGAUGUCCACCUUCCAAUAAAAAUGAACCUUUAAUUAUCCAAUACACACCCUUAUAUAACCAUAAUAUUUUACUAUAUAACAACCAUAUAGAAUACAAUAGGAUAAAAUCCAUAAAUUAUAAUCACUAACUUGAUCCGGAGAAAAUAAAUAAAUAAGUCAAAACAAUCAUAUACUCUUAUGCCUAAAAUCUAUCACAUACAGCUAAUGAUCAUUCUCUAAUAUCGUUAUCCAUUUCAUUUUCUGAUAUUUCAUAUAUGCUAUCUUCACUUUCUAAUUCAUAAUCUAUGUAUUCUAUAUGUGUAUAUUUUUUUAUCGUUUAUUAUUAUUUCUAAUAUUUAUUUUUUAUUUGGAUUUUUAGGUAAUUUACAGUCUCUCUCUAUAUGUCCUAGUUUUCUACAAUUAUAACAAGUACAUUCUGUUAUUUUUUUGGUGUAUAUGGUUUUUUGAUUUUAUAAUUUUUUACAUAGUAUCUUCUCUCGGUUUUUUGUAUUUAUAUUUUGAUCUGUAUUUUUUAUUAUUUCUAUUUUAUAAUACCUAUCCGUACAACCAAUUUGAGGUGUUGUUUUAUUUUUGCAACAUGCAAAUUUUUUUAUUAAUUUUUUUUUCAUUUUUAUUUUCUCUUUAUGUUUUUCACAUAGUUCCAUACACCAUCGUUGCAAGAAUUUUAUUCUAGCUCCUAAGAUAUCUGUUAAUUCUGCUUCGUUCAAACUUUUAUGACUUUUGAAUUAAAACGUUUUGGUAAUUUUGUAAAAUAUAAUUUUCUUAUUUCUUUACUUUCUUCUGUGCUAUAUGCUCCUUUAUAAUAGUAUUCCCUAAAUGCACAUGUAUAUUCAUCUAUGUAGCACAUAUUACAUAUUACUAAUUUUAUCAUUAGAUUUCGAUUUAUGAUUUUUUUAUUUUAUUCUUCUACCUCUGUUGUCAUACUGCUAAAUUCAUUUCUUAUAGCUACUUCAUAUUUAUAUAAUAUUUUCAUAGUUGUAGUAGCUAAUUCGCCACUAGAUUUUUUAUUACUUCUUAGAGUUUUUAAAUUUUCAUCUGAUAAAUUUUGUAAUCAUAAUUUUACUGUUCCUAUAAGUUUUCUUUCUAUAUAUCCCGGUGUCUCUGUUAUUACUAUUUUGUUAUCUUUUAAUUGUUUUGAUAUAUAUCUUAACCAUAAUUGGAUUGUUUUAUUUAUAUCUUCUUCACAGUCUAAAUCUAGAAAAUUGUGUUGUUCAAUUAUUGGUUUAGGUAUCCAUUUUUUAUUCAAUCUUUUAUCCCAUAUAGUUUUUUCUCUAUCAUAGUGAUUAUAGUUUUCAUUUAAUAUUUUAGAUUUGAAUUUUUUGGGAUUUUUACUCCUGAUGUGCUCCUGUAUUUAUUUCUAAAUUUCUUGCAUUAUCUAUAUUUGCUAAAAUUUCUGAUAUAUGUUUCGCUUGUUUCCGAAUAUUAUUCUAGAUCAUCAUUGUUUAUUUCAUCAAUUCUUAUUUCGGGUAGAUUAUCUUGACUAUUUUCUUAUUUUUCUUCUAAUUCAUCUUCUAAUUGCAAUUUUUCUUUGAAUUUAAUUAUCUCAUUUGCUAAUUUUGUUUUUUGUUCUUUUUCUCUUUGUUUAAUUUCAUGCAUUUCUUUUAAUAUUGCUAGCUCUUUUUCUAGCUCCAUUAAUUUAGUAUGUUUUACUUCUUCUAAUUGUUGUACUUUCCUUUUUGCUUGUUGUUUUUGUAACAACACUAAAAAUGGAUAAGAUAAGAAAUGCUUAAUGUGUCAAGAAUACCUAUGAUUAGACCAGGGUUCACACGGAUUGAUGCACGUAGAACCAGACCUCGGAACCCUUACUAUAGCCAAGACAACUAACUUUGGGAGUUAGUUGAGCUUGGAAAGGUUGGGUCCAACCAUGUAGGACUCUCGAAUAUGAAGAUUUACUUGAAAGAGUCUUUACCGGACUUAAAAAAUGGAAAAUCUUAGGUUUAGAGAAUCUAGGGGUAAAAUAGUUUUUUCGGGGCUAAGGGUAGUAUCGUAAUAACCCUAAAUAUACAAUUAAUUAUUUAAUUAAUAAGGUGGAGUAGUAUUUUGGGUAGAGAGGACAAAAAUUGGCCUCUUGACGUGAAGUCUUGCUCCACUAAGUUCGAACAUAGGUGGAAGCAAUGAAUUAAAUUAUUAUUUUUUAUUUAAGCUAUUGAAUUAAUGUAAUUAAUUAUUAUUUAUUAUUUAUUAUCUGAUUUAAAAUAAAAUAAAAAUCAUAUUUUUAUUAAAUAAACAAAACCUUAUUGACUAAAUCCUAAAACUAGACUCCUAAGCCUCAUACAACUCCCACUCUCUCACGUUUAUCUCUCCAAUCUCACGCUAAAUCUCUCUUAUUAUUUCUCACAUUUUUUCUCUGCCAAAAUAAUAUACAAACGCAGAAAAAUAAACCAAGUUCUUCACCCUUGAAGAACUCACACGAAAUCACAAAAAAACAAACGUUAAUCGCACACUAGGCUAAGGGAGGUUGUCAUUCGAGUGGAGUUGAUAUUAAGGAGGCUUAGACCUGUUCUUGGGUGAUAUUUUUGGGCAGAAAGUCAAGAUUUUAACGUCAAAAAGGUAUGGGUUCUCUUCCCUCUUGGUCCCUUUCCCAAGACCCCCUAAGGUUCAGACGAAUCAAUUCCAAAAACUAGGAUUGUUCCCCGUUGCAUGUCCCUGUCACUAGCUCCCAUUGAAUCAUAGGUUGGUUAUGUUUGAUGGUAGAAAACUAAGGAUGAAGAUGAUUAUGUGCUUAUACGUAUGUUUGGAAUUAUGUGACUUAUGUUGAUGUUUUUGAAAAUGUAAUUGCGUGUGUAUCUGUGUGUUGCCGUGGCUAUUAUUCAUGGUUUAGGACUUGAAAUGACAUGAUAGUUCUUUAUAUUUCAUGUACACAUGUUGAUGUAAAUGUGAUGUUCAUAUGAGUUGAAUGUGGCUGAUUUGAGGGAUAAUCUCUUGUCUAAAUGAAUCCAUGAAAACGCACCUAAAACGUUCUAAAUGCACUACAAAAUUCCCCUAAGAACUAAGGUGUCACUUGAUGAAAAGAUGCUGAAAAAUUAAAACAAAAUUUCCAUCUUCUAGUGAUGAAUUUAGGUUAGCAAAGAGGGUUCAAAAUGUUAAAAGAAAUAAUUAAAACAAUUGAGGUCAUGGAGGAUUGAACCUGUGACCUCACCAUGAUAAAAACCAUGAAUUUAAAGAAGUAAAAAGAAAUGUGGUGAAGCGGAUUCGAACCAUGGUAUUAGCUAGAAAAUGUAACUUAGAAGAAAAAAUAAGAAAUGAGAGGAGUGGGAUUCGAACGCACCACCUCUCAAUCAUAUUUAAGGAGGAGAAUAAAAGAAAAAUAAAGGAAGAGGCAUGUGGGAAUCGAACCCAUGAACUCUUAGGCAGAUUAAGGAGGACAAUAAAAGAAAACUAAAUGGGGAGGCGUGUGGGAAUCAAACCCACAACCUCUAAGGCAGAUUAAGGAGGUGAAUAAAAGAAAAAUAAAAGGGGAGGCCUGUGGGAAUUGAACACACGACCUCUUAGGCAUAUUGUAAGGAUGAGAAUAAAAGAAAAAUAAAGGGGGAGACGUGUGGAAAUCGAACCCACGACCUCUUAGAUUUACUUAAGGAGGAGAAUAAAAGAAAAAUAAAAAGAAGUUGUGGAGGUUUGAUCCCACGACCUCAUAGUCAACUCAAAAUAGACAAGGAGAAAUAGAUAAAAAAAAAUAAAAGGGGUUGUGGGGGUUUGAUCCCACAACCCCUCAGCCAAGAAAGAGAAUUUUCAAAGGAUAGAACUAAAAAGGAAAUGGUGAUAUUGUGGCUCGAUCUGGGGUUCCAAUGUCACGUGGACUUGAAUUAAAUGUGAAGUGUUGUCCAAGGGAUUUUAAAUGUGGUUCUCUUGCCCAAAUUCCGUAUGGAUACAUAAGUCAUACGUGAAUUGAAUAUUCAAGAAUAAUGUUGCCUACUUAGAUCGAAAUUGAGAUUUUGGCAUACAUACAAGAUGCAUAAGUCUUGUACUACAUAAUCUUAGGAAGAUAUGAAUCACUUAAACGAAUGAUGAAUGAAGCAUCAUGGCUUGUAUGUAUAGACCCAUAAGUCUAGCAUACGUUUAAAAAUAAGUGAACCUAAGAUGUAUGUAUGAAAUGAUGUAACCCUAGAAGGGUUAAGUAAGAGGAUAAAACACACUUAAUGGCCAAGUGCAUUGGCACAUAAUGAAAUGAACAAUGAAAUGAUGAAAUGAACAAUGAAAUGAUGAAAUAAACAAAGAAAUAAUGAAAUGAACAAUGAAAUGAUGAAACCCUAGAAGGGUUAAGUAAGAGUGUGAAACACACUAAAUGACCAAGUGCAUUGGCAUAUGAUGAAAUGAACAUUAAGGUAAAAAGGGGUGAGUAAUUAUGAAGAACAAAUGUGCUAAUGUUAAUGAAUGUGGUGACAACAUGAUAUGAGGCUAAUGUAAAAGAUGAGAGAAAUGUCAAAUGACCUUAAGUAAAUGUUACAAAAACGUACUAACCUCUGAGAGUGUUAAGUUAAUGAAGAGAUCAAUCUCUAUGAACACUCUAACGAAAGUAUUGAGAUUAACACACUUAAUACUAAUGAUGAGAUGAUAAAUCAUCCAUUGAGCUAUGAUGUCCCCAUACUAGAAGCCAACUUCCAUGACAUAUGAGUUGAAUGUAAUGGAACUUUAUUUUGAGCACCGAUAGACUAGUUAUGAGUGGUGAUACCUUCUAUUGGGAAGGACGGAGGUUCACGUAACUCAUGAGAUGAGACUGUCCGUUAUGCGGAGUAUAGGUUUCCUUAUAUCUCCUAGUCUUCGAACCUAUACUGCCAAUAUAGGGAUCUGGCGGGGUUCAAUUCCUAUGUACGCUAGCAUAUUUUGGAUCUAUUUGACCGGUGAUUCCACCUUUUUUCGGUGUGGGGUUUCAAGACACUAAAUUUCAUGAUGCUCACAUGAUCUAUGUCGGUUAAAGUUAAAGUUUCCAAAGAAUGAAUGAGGACAACCUCAAAUGAUGCACGUAAUAAAAAUAAUGAUACCAAAGGUGUUAGAAUAGGAUAAUCAAAAGGUGAGUUAGAUUCGAGUAAUGACAUUAGGUCAUUCGUGGUCAUUGCACAACGAACCCGAUGAAAGUCUUAAACUACAUCUUAGGUAUAGCUAGUGUUUACACUGGCCCAUGAAUGUUAUGAAAUGAAGUACGUAUGAAUGAACGAAGAAGACUCUGUGUUUGCUAAAGCAAACUCCCUAGUUGAGGUCCCAUAUGUUGAGCCCUAAUUUUUGGAAAGUCUUAAUGUCAAGUCAAUGAUUCCAAGGUCUCAUGGCAUAAGAAUGAAUAAUAUGAACAACGUAAUGUGUUAUAGGAAUUAUGAUAUGUGUUAUGUGUACACUGCUGUGUGUUGUGUGCAAAAUGUUAAGUAUGAUGAUGCAUGUUACUCUCAAGGCAUAACUUUUCUAAUCCAAAUUUUGAAAGCUCAUAAAUUUUCCUAAUCCAAAUUUGGAAAGUUCAUCCACUUUCCUAAUCUCAAGUUGGUAAGUCCACUGACUUGACCUGCUAUAAUCAUGUUGCUAGGAAAGAGUUAUUCUUACUCAUGCAUGUCCUUGGUGUGUUCUUGCAUCUACCCAUACUUAGUACAAGUGUGUACUAACCCUAUACAACUCUAAACUUUUAGGUGGUGUAGGCACAGGUGGACGCUAGAGCUACAGGAUCAACGCUGCAGAUAUCCGGACGUCAAGCAUUCAUCCGGACUUGGUAGGCCCUCAUGCUUUCGAGGAUGAUUUUCCAUUUACAUUCUAGCUUAGUUGUAGGAUUGAGCUAUUGGAGUAUGUUCCACUAGAGAAUCUUUCCCGUUUUUAUUCAUUGUAUUGGUGUCAUUUUGGCAAGUACAUAUUUAUUAUUAUAAUAAACUAAUUCUUUCAUUUGAUGAUCUUAAUGUUAGAUGGUUGAUGGUGAAUAAUUACGUAUGUAGUAGAAUAUUUAGUAGGCAUGUUAAGAAACACAAAGUUUCAAAUUUUCCGCUAAAAUUAAGUUAGACGAAGUAAGAAUGAUGUAAGUAGGCUUGUCUGCGACCUCUGAGAGGUCAACGACGCCGGUCUCGUUUGGGGUCUAGACUCCGAUCGUGACAGUUUUAUUUUUUGAUCUCCAUUUUCCUAUCUAUUCCUUCAUUUUCUUUUGUUAUUCUUAUCAUAGCAGUUAAACUAUCUUCUAGUUUUACCGUUUCUUUUUCUAACAUUAAAUUUAGAUUAUCACCUAUUUUCUUAUAUUUUCUUCCUAGAUUAGAAAAUAUUUUUUUUAUUUUUAAUCCAUCGUAGUUUUCAUAUGUUUUUUCAUAUAUCACUUAUUAUUCCUUAUUCAUUUAUAGAUUGUAUUGAAGUUUAUAUUCUAAACUUUCUAUUUGUAUCUCUAGAUAAAAAAUAGUUUUUCUCUGUGCUAUUGUAGAUUUUUUUAUAAAUUCUUGCGAUUAUGUAAUUAUUAAGUCUAUUUUGACUAUGUCCGAAUUCUUGUCUUUUCACUAUAAUUAUUUCAGUAAGUUUUUCUUUGUAUUUGUUAUUCUUGUUAUUCAUUGUAUCUUUAAAUAUUAAAUAUAUUUAUAUUUUAUUUUAGAUAUAUUAUCUAUUAAUUGAUAUAAUUUUAUGUUAUCAGUUUUUGUGAUAUUGAGUUAUUUAUAUUUCGUAUAUAGUUUAUUUAAUUUUCUUCUUAUUUUUCUUAAUUUUCUACUCGUAUGUUUCUUACUAUAUUUCGUAAAAUCUUAAUUUUUUAAUUCAUUCACUUUACAAUUCAUAGAGAUAAAAUGACAAAUUUAUUAUGUAAAUAAUUAUUUUUUUAAUAAGUGUGUUAAUUUAAAAGUGGAUCAAACAAUCAGGGACAUGAGGGUAUUAUUAGAGGUGAAGAGAGAGGACACAUGUAGUUCUCAUAUAUGCUCCAUGGUCAGUGUGGAAUUCGGGUAAGAAUUUCAAAUUAAUAAUAUUUUGAGAUUUUAUUUAUUCAUAACUGAUUAUUAUAUUAUUUGAAUACAUAUUUAUUUUAUUAAAUGUUAAAAAUUAAUGAUUAAGGGAUGAAACUGAAUUUGCCGAUUACAUCUAGGGAAUAGGUGAACGUGUAUAUUACUAAAAAUUUCUUAUAGUUUGAAAAAUUUGUAGCAAUAAAAUCAAGAAAUUUCAAAAUUUCUCUUUUCUAUACUAUCAAGAAUAAAAAAUAGCCAGUAAGGUCUAUAAAUUUGUGUGUUUCCCGCUGAAAAAUAGCCAGUAAGGUCUAUAUAUUUGUGUGGUUCAUGUUGAAACAUAUAUGCAUUAAAUUAUCUCUUGAUAUUUUAAAUUAAUAAUUUAAUAUUGUAGACAAGAACAUGAGAUAAUAUAAUCGAUCCCACAAAAUUUAGCGGGAUCAUAGAUUCUCCCAAAAUAUUUAAGGGCAAUUUUCACAUAUAACAAACACAAAAUUUAUAUUUGUAUAUUAUAGCAAAGUUUGUAUAAUUGUACUCAUAGCAAACCUAUAUAUGUAUAAUUUGCUAUACAUAUACAAUUGAAAUGAAUUGUAUAAAACGAGAAAGAGCGAAAUUAUAUACAAUUGAAUUUGUAUAAAACGAGAAAGAGAGAAAGACAAAAGAGACUUGAGCAGGGAAUACACAAUUGAAUCGAAUUGUAUAAAACGAGAAAGAGAGAAUUAUAAACAAUUUGAAUUUGUAUAAAACGAGAAAGAGAGAAAGACAAAAGAGAGUUGGACAGGGAAAUAUUUGUAUUGUAUAAUUAUAAGUGUACAGGACAAAGAUAUAUGUAUUUGCAUGUGUAUAUACAAUUUUUUCUCGCUAUAUACAAUAGAAAUGUAUAAUUUAUACAUUUAUGUUGUAUAAAGCGAGAGAGGCGAGCGACAGGGAGCGAGCGUGAGAGGGAGAGUGGAGAACGAGAAUAUGAGGGAGAGAGGCGAUUGACAAACAAUUUACUAUGAAACACAAAUAAAUCAAACGAUAGCCACUAUAUUUAUUUUAUAUUAUUAAUUUGCCAUUUUAUAUAAUUAUUCCAAUACAAUUAAAUUUCCACAAAAUUUAAGUGUGCAAUUGACAAAAUAAAUGAGACAUGAAGGGAGUGUUUGGUAAAACGAAAAAUGUUUUUCAUAUAAGAAUGCCUUUUAGAAUAAGUGGGUUAUUUUUUUAUUUUUUAUUUUGUAUUUAGUACAUAAUUAUUUUUUUUCAUCUUAAACAUGUAUUAUUAAAUAUAAUUUAAAUAAAAACUAUGAGAGAUGAAGAUAGAGGGACGGGGAUGAAGAUGAGGUGCAUUGAAAGGUGUGGAUUACUACCAAUUAAAAUGUUAGUAACUUGUUUUCCCAACUUUCAUUAAUUAUUCCUUAUUUUUUUAAAGAAUUGACGAACUGAACCUAAGACUCCUAUCUCCUAAUUAUUAAGGGAGAAAAAAUGAAAUAUUUUUUCAAGUUUACGUUAUUUUCAAAGUUUUAGAUAUUUUCCGUUAACAUGUUCAACAUAACAGUGAUGAAAUUUAAGAUUCACCACACAAAAGUUAAGAAGGCAAAGCAAUUUUUGUUGUUAUAAAUUGAAGGUUCCAAGGAUAAUGAGACUCACAAAACUUUUAUCUCUUUAAUUUGAGGCAAUUAUUCUCAUCUCAAAUUAUUACAAUUUUUAGCUCUAUUAGGAUGGGAACUGAAAGUGUACGUAAUAUUUAUGCUCAAUUUUCUAGUUUUCUCUUUUAUAUACUCAUUCAUUCAUUUUAAAUCAUACUAGUACAUUAUAUAUUAAAUUUUAAUUUUUUGUGUGAUUAUGAAAUAGGAAUUUGACUCAACAGUAGUCGCAACAAAAACUGGAAUCAACGCACCAUUGUCAUCUCCAAGGGACAAUAUGUGUCUUAGUUUGAUUGAACCUCAUAUUAAGAAUAAAACAUCUUCCGAAGAAUUGAACAUGAUUUUGACUCAAUAUGUAGACACAUUAUCCCAGAGGAUGAAAUAUCAUAUAGGUAAUUAGUAAAUAUACAUUCUUUUUGUAUAAAUAUGGGAGAUAAUAUUUAUGUGUUUCUCAAAUUAAUACGUGAUAAUUUAGGUAUGAAACUUAUAUUUUCCAUAGUUUAGAUAUUAGAUUAAAAAAAUAAGAUAUCUUAGGUGUGUUUUUGACUUUUCACUCAAAAUAAAAAUAUAAAACCUUUGUACUUCUUACUGUAACUUUAUAUAUCAAGAAUAUGACUUUAGAUAGGAGGAGAAUGGGGAUCCUGUAUAUUAGGAUAGAAAGUUAGUAGAGAUAGAGUAUUGUCUUGUCUUACUUUUAUUUUUCUUCUUAAUCUAUUAUCACAUGUUGUGUAUUGUGUUUCGAUUAUUAUACUAUUUUGUUGUUGGUGUUAUUUCUUUCAUAACUUGUAGGCUCUACAGUGUUUUUCUUAUUAACGGUAAUGUUUUCCCCUUUAUUUUCCUCUCCUUUACUUGGGUUUGAUGAGAUAUUUAAGAGACAACCUCUCUACCGCAUGGAGAUAGAGAUAAGGUCUGCGUACACUUUAUCCUCUCAGAUCUCAUUUAAUGAAAAUUUCAUCCAAUGUGUUAUUGUAUUUUUAUAAAAAACAAUGUAUUAAUUAAAGGAAAAAUUACACGGAUAAGCAAACUUAUACUAUUUAAUUACUCAACAUAGCUAUACUUUGUUAUAAUAAGUACUCACGACUAACAUUGUACAUUAAUUACGUGAGUUGACUUUGAGUUUGUAUAAUUAGUCAUGUAUGUACAUGUAUAAUUCGCCAGGAUAUACAAAUUAAUAUGUAUAAUAUGCAAUUUUUUAGCCUAUAUACAUAUACAAUUCACCUCUCUCUUACUAUAUACCCUCUCUCGCUCGCCUCUCUCCUCACUCUCUCAAUAUCGCUCGCCUCUCUCAUCCCUUUCCAAAUCACGCUUGCCAUUUAUACAAAUGUAUAUGUAUAAUAUACAGUUAUAUACAACUAUAUACAUAUACAAUUCACCUCCCUCCCACUCUCUGCCCUCUCUCGCUUGCCUCUCUCCUCCCUCUCUCGAUCUCGCUCACCUCUCUCCUCUCUCUUCUGAUCUCGCUCGCCUCUCUCCUCCCUCUCCCAGACUCUCUUGCCAUAUAUACAAUUACAUAUGUAUAAUAUACAAUUAUCUAACCAAUAUACAUAUAUAAUUCACCUCUCUCCCACUCUCUGCCCUCUCUUGCUCGCCUUUCUACUCCCUCUCUCGAUCUCGCUCACCUCUCUCCCCUCUCUCCUAAUAUCGCUUACCUCUCUCCUCCCUCUCCCAAUCUCUCUUGCCAUAUAUACAAUUACAUAUGUAUAAUAUGCAAUUAUCUAACCAAUAUACAUAUACAAUUCACCUUUCUCCUACUCUUUUCCCCUCUCUCUCGCCUCUCUCCUCUUUCUCCCAGUCUCGUUCGCCUCUCUCCUCCAAAUAACAUGUAGCUACAAAUUGUAAUUAUCAAACUAUAGUUAUGAAGAGUAAUGAAUUAUUUUUAAGUGGCUAUAUAUGAAAGUUUCCCAUUAUUAAAUAUGUAGGUAUUAUUUAUUCAAUAAAUAAGUUAAGGAGUAGUCAAAUAAAAAAAAAUCAGUUUGUAUUAUGAUGAUAGUAGUGCAAAAGUAACCUUUAUUAUGAGCAUAUAUAUGUAAAUUUGAUCACUCUAGAUUAUUUAUUUUACAGGUUAUCCAAUUAACCUUUCUUAUGAGCAUCAUGCCACUUUAGCCCCACUUUUGCAAUUUCAUUUGAACAAUUGUGGAGACCCCUUUACUCAGCACCCUACAGAUUUUCAUUCAAAAGAUUUUGAAGUGGCUGUUUUAGAUUGGUUUGCACAACUCUGGGAAAUAGAGAAAGAUGAAUAUUGGGGAUACAUUACUAGUGGUGGCACUGAGGGCAAUCUCCAUGGCCUUUUGGUUGGGUAAGUUUCAGUUUUAGAGGCGAAUCUAGUCUUUCAGUGAUCAUCUUAAAUUCAAUAUUUUCAAGCUAUAUAUAUAAUAUGAAAAAUAUGGGGAAUACAUAAAAUUAACAACAUGAGUCUAACAUACCUAUCUUUACUUCACAAUUUCUGUAGAAGAGAGCUACAUCCUAGUGGGAUAUUAUAUGCAUCAAAAGAUUCACAUUACUCGAUUUCCAAAGCAGCAAGAUUGUAUCGAAUGGAGCUACAAACUAUUAACAGUUUAGUUAAUGGGGAGAUUGAUUAUGAAGAUUUACAAUCAAAGUUACUUGUCAACAAGAACAAACCAGCCAUCAUCAAUAUCAAUUUUGGUACAUCAUAUAUAUAUAGUAUAUGCUUUUAAUUAGAUCAUAUGUGUAAUACUAUUAUCUUUUAAAAAGUUAUGUUAAUUUAUGUAUUUGUAGGAACUACCUACAAAGUAGCAAUUGAUGAUGUUGAUAUGAUCCUACAAAUACUUGAAAAUUGUGGUUAUUCCAAUGAUAGGUAUUACAUCCAUUGUGAUGCUGCACUAUAUGGGCUAAUUGUCCCCUUCAUCAACCAUGUAAGAAUAUUAUACUUUAGUCCACUAUUUUCUUUUAAGGAUGCAAAUAGAAAAUGACACGUGUCUCUUUUGUAUUCGUCAAUAGGCGAAAAUAAUUACCUUCAAGAAGUCAAUAGGCAGUAUUUCAGUUUCAGGCCACAAGUUUUUGGGAUGUUCCAUGCCUUGUGGAGUUCAAAUAACAAAGAGAACUUACAUUACUACAAUCUCAAAACAAGUCGAGUAUAUUGCCUCAAUAGAUAAUACAAUUUCUGGAAGUCGAAAUGGUUUGGCACCAAUAUUCUUAUGGUAUAGUUUAAGCAUGAAAGGUAAUGCCGGAUUGCAAAAAGAUGCCAAAAUAUGCUAUGAAAAUGCUAGGUAUUUGAAAGACCGGCUUCAUAAAGCAGGAAUUAGCGCUAUGCUCAAUGAAUUUAGCAAUAUCGUGGUGUUUGAACGACCUUGUGAUAAUAAGUUCAUUCGUCGUUGGCAACUAUCUUGCGCAAGGGAUACGGCACAUGUUGUGGUUAUGCCAGGCACAACAAAAGAAAUCAUAGACAAUUUUUUCAAGGACUUAGUGCAAGAGCGGGAAAAAUGGUGUGGAAUAACUUUGGGUCCUUGUCUUGCUGAUGAUAUAGGUUCUCAAAAUUGUCUAUGUUCCUAUCGCAACAUGCAUCACUAAAUUCCUUUGGAAUGGUCUUGAUCAUGGAGCAUGUUGGAGUGACUCAAAAAUUUGUUAUUAGAGUCUGAAAAUAAAUAUUUUCAUGUAUCUUUUUAUUUGGUUUUUUUAUUUACUUUUUGAAAUGAAAAGAUUCUCUUUAUCAUCUUGUAUGCAAUAAAUUUUAAAUAUGCAGAAAGUAGGUCAAUCAUAAAUAAAAUCUAAAGAAACAAGAAUAUUAUUGAUUGAAUAACUUGAUUCUUUUCUCUGGAUUUCUCCUUGGUUCGAGGCAGGGUUGUUAGUAAUUGAUGCAUUUUGAUCUUUUUAUGAAUAUCUUAUAAAUUUUAUGAAAUUUUAGAGAUUUUGAUCUUUAUGAAUAGCCAAGACACAAUAUUUGUUUGUUCAUGAUUUCUUUGUGAAUAUCCAAGAAUUUAUGAGAUACUUAGGAUGCCUCUUCAAGGAAUACGAGCCUUUAUAUAGGCAAGACAACAUUUGAUGUUUUCACGAUCUUUUUGUAAAUAUCCAAGAAUUUAUGAGAUACUCGAGAUGCAUCUUUAAGGAAUAUAUAUUACCCUUUUAUAACGACAUGAUCUAGAGUGUAGAGUAACCUCCAAGAACCCUAACAGAAAUAAAACUCGUCUCGUGAAGUUCAAUUCCAAGGAAUGGAAGAACACAUCUAAGGAUCCAAUUCUGGUGAUUCUUGUUAAAAAUAUCAUUAACUAAUUUAAGUGUGUUCUCUCUAACAGUUAAAACUUUUAGAUGAGAUGAUCACACACUUCAACUUGAUAUUAGAGCCUACAAAGGUCUUGUUUCAAAUCUUACGCCACCCAAAUUAUAUCAAGGCACCCUUAUACCUCCAACAUUAAGGUAAGUUUCUGCCAUAUAAUUCUAAGCAUUUUAAUUAGCUCUUAAUAAUUAAUUACGCAAUACAAUCCUAGCUGAAAGAGUUGGUUUGGUUUUUGUAUAAUCAAACUAAAUGGAAGAUGAAUUAACAUAAAUAUUUGGUAGGAAGAUAAUUAGUACAAAAUAAAAAUCAAGAUAGUAUCUUGGUAGGUAAAGUUUAGGCAAACCAUAAAAUGGUUUCAUAUUCUUAACCUUGACAUUUUGACAUAUACUGAUGUCAUGGAUGGCAUCAAUAGGAUGAAAUCAUUCAUAUAAAUAGGUAGCUCUUAAUUCAUUUUCAAAAUCAUCCUCUCACUUGACUUCACACCUUUUAAGACAUUUUUGUUCUCUCUCUAGUAGUAUUUCACUUGUAUUAUUUGUAAAAUGAAAUAAAUAUUGGUGCGGUUGUACUUUAAUGGACGUAGGAUAAUUUUGAUCCGAACCAUGUUAAGUAUUAUUGUUAUUCAUUGUUCUUUAAUUUCAUGUUUUCGCUAAUAAUUGGUAUCAGAGCUAAGAUUCUGUUUUAGUAUGCUCUAGGGUUGCAACACGGUCUAAACUUCCACAUCAGAAAAGAAUUACUUUGAUUUUUUGUAGUUCCAAAUACAUUGUAGUAGAAAAGAAAGAACAAGUAAAAAAAUGAGUUCUAUGAAGUGUGAAAUUGAUAGAUUUAGUGGGCGCACCAACUUUAAUAUUUGGAAAAUCCAGAUUAUGGCGUUACUAUGGAGGGAAGGUUCAAUCCAUGUUAUUGACGGAAAAUACCACGAUAAGAUAUCGGAUUUCGACAAGGAGAAUAUUGAAGGAGAUGCAUUGAGUGUAAUUCAACUGUCUCUUGCACCUACGUACUUUGUGAAGUGAGUACAAGUACCGAAGAGACAGCCAAGGAGUUAUGAGAAAAGCUGGGAGGGCUUUACCAGGACCAGUCAGUGACAACAAAAAUGUUGUUUCAACAACGUCUUCAUACAUUUAAGAUGGAUUUAGGUAGUUUGUUGCAAGACCAUCUAGAUGCGCUCAAUAAACUUGUGAUGGACUUACAAACUGCUGGAAUUAAAAAUAACGAGGAGACACUUACAUGUUCUUUGCUAAUUUCAUUGACUUCAAAAUAUCGUGAUAUUGAGAAUUCAAUAAUGUAUAGCAAACAACCUAUCAAACUUGAGAAAGUGCGGCAAACACUAAACUCUUGCGAUGUGCGGAUGGAUUUCGAAGGUGGAAAAAGUGAUGAAGCUAGUGGACUCUUUGUAAGAGGUCAUACUAUCCAACAGGGAAGGAGCAAAUCAAAGUAUAGAUCAGAAUCUCGUGUGAACAAAAAGAACGGGGGAGUUUGGGGCUGUCAAAAGAAGGGGCACUUUGAACGAGAUUAUCCUACGUCGAAGUCCAAAGAAAAGACGAGUGCAUUAAUUGUUGAGUAAGUACAUGAUAAUGGUGAUGAUUAUGUACUAACAACAUCAUGCAAUAGUGGAGUUUAUGACAACAAAUGAGUCUCACUCUGGUUGUACUGUGAAAAUGACAUUCCAAAAAGAUUGAUUUAGCAUCUAUAAAACACGCAGUGAAACUGUAUCAAUGGGGAAUAAUGCAACUUGUAAAAUAGUUGGCAUUGGAUCAGUUCGUAUUCACUGCGAUGAUGGGAUCAUGAGGACUAUUACAGAAGUCCAUCACGUUCUUGAUCUAAAGAAUUUGAUCUCCAUGGGUACUUUGGAUAAACAAGGCUAUAAGUACAUGAGUAAAGGAGGAACUAUGAAAGUGACUAAAGGAUCUUUAGUCAUGUUGAAGGCCAAUCUGGAGGAUGGCCUUUACACACUUGCGGGAAGCACCAUUAUUGGCUUUGUAAAUGCAUCUACACUGCAGUUAUCUAAUGAUGACAAGGCAAAAUUAUGGCACAUGAGACUAGGCCAUAUGAGCGCAAGGGGAUUGAAGAUGUUGAGCAACUGCAACCUUUUGAAUGGUAAGAAGAUCAGCACACUUGAAUAUUGUGAGCACUGCGUCUUAGGGAAACAGAAAAAGGUCAGCUCCAGCUCCAGCAAACACAAGACGGGAAGAGUGCUAGACUACAUCCAUUCAGAUUUAUGGAGUCCCUCUAAGCUUCUAUUGAAGGGAUGAAAGAGGUAUCUUCUCACAUUCAUUGAUGAUUUCUCACGAAAGGUUUCGGUGCGUUUUAUGAAGACAAAGGUGAUGCUUUUAAAAUAUUUAAAGAGUGGAAGAUUUUGGUUGAAAAUCAAAUGGAGAGAAAAAUCAAGUAUCUUCGCACAGAUAAUGGCUUGGGGUUUUGCAGUGAAGAUUUCAAUGAUUUCAUAAAGGUUCAUGGGAUCAAAAUACAUAUGAAGGUCAGGCACACACCACAACAAAAUGGAGUAGCCGAAAGAAUGAACAAAAUUCUUCUCGAGAAGGCUCGUUGUAUGCUCUUACAAGCCAAGAUGUCCAAAGUAUUUUGGGAUAAAACAGUUCAUACUGCUUCUCAUAUUGUCAAUCGAUCUCCAGCAUCAACGAUUGACUUUAAGACUCUGAAUGAGGUCUGGUCAGGUGAACCCUCUAACUAUUCAUACUUGCGAAUAUUUGGGUGUCCAGCUUAUUAUCAUGUUAAUAAAGGAAAGCUUGAACCAAGGGCUAAAAAGGCCAUAUUCGUAGGGUAUGUAGAUGGAGUAAAAGGUUACAAACUUUGGUGUUUGGAUUUACUCAAAUUUGUAGUUUUUAGAGAUGUUACCUUUGAUGAAUCCCAUAUACUUUAUCCUCGUAAAUUUUUUGUGGAGUUAUCAAGAAACGAAAACAAUGAGCAGGUGGAGCUAUCGAUGGAUCUUACCAAGGAACGAGAUCAAGAUACUCAAAUUGAUGAGUCAAAAGAUGCAUAUCUUGAAGAACUUGGUGUCAAUGGACCAUACACAAUUGUGAAGGGAAGGGACAAAGGCAGAUACGAAAAUCAGAAUGUCUUAUAGAGAAAGAAAAUUUGAUUGCACUUGCGUUCGUAACUGCAUAGGUAGAGAUUAAGGAUCUCGACCCCUCUUUGUAUGUUGAAGCAAAUUCUUGCAAAGAUGCUGCACAAUGACAGUUAUCCAUGACGGAAGAGAUGUAGUCUCUUCAUAAAAAUGAGACAUGGGUCUUAGUUAAAAGGCCAAAGGGGAUAAGGACAGUUGGAUGUAAAUGGGUCUACAAAAAGAAAGAGGGUAUUCCAGAAUUGGAAGAUGCUAGGUUCAAGGCGAGAUUGGUUGCAAAGGGUUUCAGUCAGAAGGAGGGAAUUGACUACAAUGAGAUCUUCUUUCCAAUCGUGAAACGUAGCUCAAUUCGCAUGCUACUAAUAUUGGUUGCACAAUUUGAUUUAGAGUUUCAACAGCUUGAUGUCAAAACUGAUUUCUUACAUGGUGAUCUAGAAGAGACAAUCUAUAUGGAUCAGCCUGAAGGUUUCCUAGCCGAAGGAAAAGAAGACCAUGUAUGUCAACUGAAGAAGUCUUUGUGUGUUUUGAAGCAAUCCCCUAAACAGUGGUACAAGAAAUUUGAUGCAUUCAUGACUACACAUGAAUUUUCGAUGAGUGCAUGAUAGCUAUGUGUAUCACAAGAGGAUGCCUGGUAAUUUUAUGAUAUAUCUAUUGUUGUAUGUUAAUGAUAUGCUUAUUGCUGCUAACAACAUCACAUAGAUAAAUAUUUUAAAGAAACCGUUGAGCAAGGAAUUUGACAUGAAGGAUUUGAGAAUUGCAAGGAAAAUUCUUGGAAUAUAGAUUUCAAGAGAAAAUGGUAUUGUACAUCUUUUUCAAAAGAGGUACAUCGAAAAAAUUCUUGAGAGAUUCAAUAUGCAUAUGAGCAAGCCAGUAAGUACACCAUUAGCUCCUCAUUUCAAGCUGUCGGAGUUACAAAUGCCUCAGUCUAUGGAUGAGGUGGAGCAUAUGUCAAAGGUUUCUUAUGUGAACGCAGUUGGUAGCAUUAUGUAUGAUAUGGUGUGCACACGUCCAGAUAUUGCUCAAUAUGUAAGUGUAAUAAGCAGGUAGAUGGCAAAUCCAGGAAAAAGCCACUGGAAAGCUCUCAAGUUGAUAUUGAGAUAUCUCAAAGGAGCUCCUGAUGUUGGCCUAACCUUCCGUAAAAGUGAAGGUAUUUCAAUUCUUUAUUAUGUAAAUUCUGACUAUGUAGGGGAUCUUGAUCAAAGAAAGUCCACAACUGGAAACAUCUUUACUCUCGCUGGCAGUGUCGUUAGUUGGAAAUCAACUUUAUAGUCUAUUCUCGCUCUGUCUUCAACAGAGGCAAAAUAUAUGGCAGCAACGGAGGCAGUGAAAGAAUCUAUCUAGUUGAAAGGUUUGGUGGCAGAAUUGAGUUCGGUUCAGCUUGAAUCAAUUCUAAGAUGUGAUAGUAAAAGUGCUAUUCAUUUGAUUAAAAAUUAAAGAUUUUAUGAGCGCACCAAACACAUUGAUGUCAGAUUUCAUUUUAUUCGAGAUGUCGUAGAAGAGGGAGCUAUCAAGAUUGAGAAGGUUAUCACAAACGAUAACGCUGUAGACAUGUUGACCAAAAUAGUCCCGCUUGCCAAGUUUGCACACUGCAAGGACUUGGCGGGAGUAUGCAUCAAGUGAUGCAACUCUGGGGGAACAACUGCUAGGUGGAGCUAGUAUGUUCAACAAAGGUUUGAUUCUUCUUGUUUCUUACAACGGGAUUGCCCUGUAAGCUUAGAAUUUUCGGCCGGAGUUGUUUAUACGCAUGCUCAAAACACAAACCCAGGUGGAGAUUGAAAGAGUUAGUUUGGUUCUGGUGCAAUCAAACUAAAUGGAAGAUGAAUUAACAUGAAUAUUUGAUAGGAAGAUAAUUAGUACAAAAUAAAGGCCAAGAUAGUAUUUGGAGAUUUUGAUCUUUAUAAAUAUCCAAGAGACAAUAUUUGAUGUCUUCGUGAUCUCAUUGUGAAUAUUCAAGAAUUUAUGGGAUAUUUAGGACACUUCUUAAGGAAUAAAUUACACUUUAUAUAGGCAAAAAAUUACCCUUUGAUAGGCAAGACAAUAUUUGAUGUUUUCUUGAUCUUUUUGUGAAUAUCCAAGAAUUUAUAAGAUAUUCGGAAUGCCUCUUUAAGACAUUUAUUCCCUUUUAUAACGGCAUGAGCUAGAGUUUACAGUAACCUACAAGAACAAUAGAACUCGCCUUGUGGAGUGCUAUGCCAAGGAAUUGAAGAACACGUCUAAGGAAUAAGGAUCCAAUUCCGGUGGUUCUCGUUGUGAAUAUCAUUAAUUAUCUAAAGUGUGUUAUAUCUAACAACUUAGUUUUUAAAAUGAGAUGUCACACAUUUUAACAUGAUAUUAGAGCAGAAAAAGUCACUCUUAUACCUCCUAACAUUAAAGUAAGUUUGUCCCAUAUAUUUCUAAGAAUUUUAAUUAAUUGUUAAUAAUUAAUUACACACUACAAUCCUAGUUAAUGCUUUCAACAAAAUAUAUCCCAUGGUUCAAGAAAGAACUUAAUUUUAGAGUUGUACUUCAAGUAUCUAGAGCGAUUAUAAUAUAUAGCCAAUGUUUGAUUACAUAUUUUCAAAUAUUUUUGGUAAAUAUUAUUUGGUUAAAAAUUUAAGUGAAAUUUUACCAUGUGUUUGACUAUAAAAUUUGAGAAAUAUAUUUCACUUUUUUAGAAAAAUAUGAUUUAUCUCCAUAAGUUUUAAAAACUAUCAAAACUAACCAUAAGUUUAUAUUACAAGUCAAUUAGAUCUUCGUUGCAACAAAUGACAAGUAGUGUCCAUGACACUAGAACAAUGUGGUAGUUUGGAGUGAGUGCAACAAACAUCAUUUCAUACAUCGUGAAGUAUAUAAAACACAUGACUUUGUUACCCUGAAUCGAUUGUUCAUAAUUUUUAUCAACAAUCAUAUCAUCACUUUCAUAUUCACUGAAUAUUUCAUCGCUACUUUGGUGUUCACGUAAAAAAAUAUAUAAUACAACACAAGCAACUAUUGAUAGUGUUUUUGUAAAAGACAAAAGUUAAGUGUAAAAUUUCAAUUUUCAAAAGAUCCAAAACAAUGAGAUUUGAUCCAAAUACUAGGAAAAACUAGUAUUUGGAAAUGUAGGAUAUUUGCCAAAUAAUAACAAAUUAUAUGGACAAAUACUAUUUAACAAUUUUUUUCCAAAAUAUUAUUUGGAAAAUUUAUGGCCAAAUGAGCCCAUAAAGAUUGUUCUCUACUCCUUCUAUACCUAAUUUACUUGUCCAUUUUUUUAAUUGACGCACCUAUUAAGAAAACAAUGAUUGACAUAGUGAAUUUAUCAUUUUACCCUAUUAUUUAUGAUGGAAAUGAAUUAAAAAUUUAAGAUUUUCAAGAAGUUCUACUUUUUCAAGGACAACUAAAAAAGAAAAAUGGACAAGUAAUUAGGGACAUAGCUGUAGGGGUGUACAUGAUCAGGUUGAUUCAGAUUUUUCAAAUAUCAAACCAAACCAUUCGUAUAAAAUUUUUAAAUUUAUAAACUAAAGUAAUAAAAUUUGGAUUAUUCAACCUCGGAUUGGUUCGGGUUUUUAAAAUAUCAAACCAAAUCAUUGUGUCAAUUUUUUAUUUUAUAAAUCAAACCAAACUAAUAAACUUCGAAUUUUUCCACAUUUUAGGAUUUUCGGUAAAGUUUACGUACAAACAUAUAAUUAACAUAUGCUUCGAAUGUUUCAUUAGUUCAACCAAAAUUCAAUUAUCUAAGGUGUUUCUUAAAAAAUUAAUACAAAAUAUGAGAUGAGUAUUGACGACACAAAAAUAUUUAAUAAAAAAUAAUAAUGAAAUCAUCAUAUAGAAUCAAUAUUGUAAAGUCAUGAUGAAAAUAAUCAUAAUUUGAAAGUACUAAAUCAUUCUAAAAUAUGUUUAACAAGUAUUAGAUACGUUACUAAAUAUAUAAGGAAAAUUAAAAUUAGAUUAUGUAUUUUAAUUGUCUAAACUGAUGUAAAACUAAAGAAAAAAUAUUCAAUAUUAUUGUCAUUCUUAGUGUUGAAUUGAUUUUCUUUGUACAUGUAUUAAUUUGAUUUUGAUUUAAGUUUUAUUAUAAUUAUCGACAUCUAUGAACAAUAAUCUUUGUUGGACCAUUCCGAAUUCUAAGUUUUAAACUUGAAAUAAUAUAUUAAAAAGAUAAAAACUAUGAAAUAGUAUAAGAAAUAUUUUAAAAUGAUAUCAAAGUAAAUAUUUUUAUACAUAAAAUAAAAUUUUAAAAUUACAUAUCUAAUAUCGGAUUGGUUUGGUCUCGGGCCGAAUUUUUUUAGUUAAAUCAAACCAACCCAAAUAUAGUCAGGUUUUUCUUUUUCAAUACCAAACCAAGUCAAACCAAACCACUAGUCAAAUUCUUUUUUCCGAUUUAAUUCGAUUUGUAAUUUGGUUCGAUUUUCGAUUUGAUUUUAUACGGCCUAGAUAUUGAAAGCAUGUUUGAGUUUUCCUCCGUGAACGGGUUGGAGCUAAUUAUGAUGAAAACUCUUGUUUUUAUUGUUUUCUUAUUAACUUCAAGAAUUCUCAAUGAUGUUAUUAAUUCUCUGUGGUAUAUCCACCUCCAUGAAUUUUAUAAAGAAAAUCACGAAAAAAAUUAGAUAUGAAUUUGUAUUAUUCUUGAAAAUGGAGACAAGAGAAUCAUAUUCUUUACUCAACAAUACGUGUAAUCCUUCGAAAUCGCAUGUGACAAUUAUUUAAUUUCUACGUCAUCUAAAUCCCAAACAAAUCUAUCAUUGAGUUGUCUAAUUCUUGAGGUUAUUAAUGGUUUAGCUCUAGAUCGAACAUCUUGCCCAGCCUCUGGACUAUCCGGGUUCACUAGGGAUUAUAAUGGAGCGUUGUGAGGCGAGGCGAGUUUAGUUUAACCCACAAAAUAAUUUAUGUUAAAUUUGACUCCAUAUAAAAUCACAUAUAUCCGCAAUCCGCUUCACCCUAUAUUAAUUUUUUUUUAAAAACACACUUCAAUAUAUCUCUCCCGUCCCGCACAACCUUAAACUCGCUUGCAUAAUCUUAAACUCAUCCCACCCCAUUUUUAUACCCAGCGUUCACAACAAAAUAGUUAUUGAUGUAAUUACAAUUGUAACAAAAAUAAAUGACGCUAUAACUCUCCUUCACACCCCAUUUCUUUUCUCAUUAUUUGGAUAAAUUAGUCAUCUAUAAUAUCUUUGAAUUUUUAGGUUACCGGCUACACUAUUCAUUACAACACUAAAAUAUUAGUUAAAUCCUAGCUAGAGUUGGGAGAUAUGAUGUGGCAGGCUUUUAAAAUCAAGAAUGAUAUUUGAAUUUUUAAAAAUUAUUUUUUGUUAUAAAUUUAUUAUUUUGUGUGAAUGAUCCAUUAGAGUUAUCCAACAAUUAAUUGGAUUCAUGUAUAAGUGUUUUCAAGGUGAUAAGCUUCCCAGGCCAUAAGAACCUUAAGAGAUAACUAUGUAUCUAUUGAGGUGACCUUUGAGAGUAAUAUCUCAACACUACAAAUAGAGAUAUCACUCACCGUUUGAUAAUAUACUUGAAUAAGAAGAAAAGUUUUCUCUUCCAUCUUACUUCUUUUGUCUUCUUCUAUUUCUAUUAUAUUAUGAGCUUGAUUUUAUAAUACGUUAUUCGCAUGAGACUCUAACAAAUUUGAUAUUGAGUUUUAAUUUUUCUUUAACUCAUGUUUUGGUUGAUCUCGUUAUGAGAAUCAAGUAUUAUAUGCAUAAAAUCAGAUAUGUAUUUUCUAAAAUAUUUUUAUGAUACAAUAGUAUUCAGUCACUAAUAAUUAUCAGGAACCAAAGGCAUAUACUACCAUUGGUUGAAUAUGACAUGCUAUACAAAACUUCUUAAAUCGAAGAAGGUAUAAACUUUUAAUAGCAUGAGUUUGAAUAUUGUUUUGAUUGUUUUAAAAAACUAAAAGGGUGAGUCAUGUUGUACUUUGGUUUAUUAUACCGUUGGUUAAGGAUAAGACGGUGGAUUCAAGUCUCAUCGCACCAAAAAAGUAAGACAUCAGGUUAAAGUCCGGAUGUAUGAUAAUGAAAAAUGUUUGAGGGUAAGACGGUAGAUUUAUGUUUUAUCGCACCAAAAGGGUAAGACGUGAAUUUGAGUUUUGACGCAUCAUGAUUGUGUGCAAGUCUUAUAGAAUGAUGGUGUGACAUGCCAUUGAGUUUGAGUCAAUGCACAAUAGAAAGUGAAUGGCAAUGGUUUAAACCGUUGUUUUAGGAUAUUGCCGUAUUAUGACACUCCUUUAAUUAAAUCGUUGCAUCAGCAGAAAACUGUUGCGAUAGAGGUAGCCAUUGCAACACUUAUAUUUUUCAUUAGAUUAGUUCUCUCUAUGGCUACAGUUAUGUAUGGCAACGCUUUAUAUUUGGUGCUAUGUCAAUGAAAGGAGAAGAUGUUUAUGUGAUGAAUGUAGGCGAUAGUGGAGUCGAGAUAGCUCAAAAAUAAGAGCCUAAUCUGUGAGUGAAGAUCUUGAACUUUUCGAUGGCGAUGAGUCGGUUUGUGUACCUAAUUUAGCUGCUUUCCAUCUUAGUACAGAUCAUAGCACCUGUGUGUAAGAGGUAUGUUAAUCUAAGUUCUGAUUUUUGAUAUCUUUAGGCUAAUAAAUCUCUUUUUUAAUUCGAUCGUUUAACUUGAUUUGUUGUGUUCUUGUUGUUACAGGAAGUUCAAAGAAUAAAAAGUGAACAUCAUGAAUGACCACAUGAAAGGUAGGUUACUAGGGCUUUUGGUGCUGAUUUCCUCAAACAGGUACUAUUAGAAUAUUUGCUUGUUAACAAGUCACCUUGAGAAUAUUGUAGGAAUAUGAAACAAGUACUUUUGAUUCCCUUUGUGCUUGUGAAAGAAUUAUUUCUUUAUUCACUCCAUGUGGAAAAAUAACUUUCAUGGAACAAUGCAUUUCUUGAGAUGUUCAUAAUCGAGAACAUCCCCCUACAUCAGUUGUCUUCCAUUACUCUAUCAUCACAGGUUAGGGCCAAGAGACAAAUUUUUUAUACUGUUAUCCGAUGGGCUCUAUUAGCACUUCACAAACGAAGAAGGUGUAUUAGAAGUCGAACAUUUAAUCUCAUGGUCACCAGAAAGAGAUCCAUCCAGCACAACAUCUCAUCAAGACAAUAUGGUUUCGUGCUGCAAAAUGCUUGUUUUGGUUUCUAAGGUGGAAAGUUUUCGAAUAUGAAAUCUUUAAUUAUGUUUUAUUUUAGGUAUGCGGUUUCAUGAGUUGCUUUAAAUACCAUAAGAGAAUCGACGUUGAUAUCAUGAUGAUGCUUCAAUAAUUGUUAUUUCUUUUGUUUUGGGAAGAAAUAAUAUUGUGUUAGACCACCCAAUUGUUGCAGUAGAACCUAAGAACCGUUGCAACAACAUCUAAUAACCGUUGUUAUAGCUAACAAUAAUUACUUUAAAAUCACAAAAAUGUGUUGCAAUAGACAACAUUUGAAACAAUUUUCAACCGUCUCAUAAGACAACAUACACGUUGCAAUAGAAUAGACUAUAACAACGAAUGGAAAAAUGUUGCAAUAGGUCUAUUUAUUGCAAUGGUAACAUAACCGUCGCAAAAAAUCGUUCCUAUAGUUUGGGCACUUAUUACAACGGUUUCGGACCCAUUGCCAUAAGCUUUUUUUCUAGUAGUGGCACCACAUGAUGACUACGGAAAAACAAUAUAUUUUUGAUGAAAUGAUAUUCGUCUAAUUGAAUUUGCUUCAUUCCCUAAAUCGAAUGUGAUAGCAGUAUGUGAUAAGUUUGAAAUCAGCCCAAUUGCUCCACUAUCAUAUGGAUGUGGUAGCAGUGAAUAAUAAGUCUGAAUGACAACAUGUGAUAAAAUGUAUGAAUAGGGGCGUGAAGGGACAAAUCAUAAUAGUCAUCAUUGUAGUAAUUAUAAAAAGGAAGAAUAAUAUGAGUUCUUCAAAUAGUCCUUCAAACUAUGAAAAAUAAUUUUAUCAUCAAAACGGUAUGAAAGGUCAUUGGACACGCAGUAGUCGUGCGACCUUAUUUUUAUAAGUUUUAUAAAUCCUCCAUCAAAAUAAAAGAAUAUAAAGUGGUAGUGCACUUCAUCUUUCAAAUUAAUUUGAGGUAGAUCAUGUAAAUAUGUCAAAUAUAAAGGUAUGACAUGUAUAGAUGGUUAUAGUCAACUCAUGAAGAGAUUGUGUGUAACGACCUGUUUAGUCGUUUUGAACAGCAGAUUUUAUUUCUGGAAAAACUGGCUGAGACGACGGAUCCCACGACGGACCGUCAUGGGCACGACGGACCGUUGAGAGGGUCUCGUUCCAAAACACUUAGAAUUCUGAAAUUUGGGUACUGAAAUCGACUCUCUGAACUUCGUAACGGAAUGGCAGGACGGACCGUCGUGGGCACGACGGACCGUCACACAUCUUCCACAGAAAUUAACUCUCUGAACUUUGCGACGGACCUGCAGGACGGACCGUCACAGCCAUGACGGACCGUCACAGGUUGCGUAACCCAGGCUGGGUCGGAUUUUUAUUAAAAGUUUUUAAGGGGCGUUUUGGACUAUUCCUGCUAUAAUUAUAAAGUUAGUGGUUUAAUGUUAAUAAUUUAAUUACUUGGGGGUUAAAGGAGAUAACCCUGGAUUAAUUAGUGGGUUACUUUUACCAUUUUUCAUACUUAAUUAUAUGCUAAUUAGGGUAAAAGAAAGAGGGUGGAAUAAGAAAAAUAGAAAGAACAGAGAGAGGGAGAAGAACGAUCGAGAGAGACAGGAAACAAAGAGGAAAAUAAAGCUUUGGGCAAUUUGCUUGCUUGAUCACUAAUCUUCGGUGGAGGUAGGUUAUGGUUUUUAUGCUAUUCGUAGUACACUCUUAAUAGCGAAUGAUAUGUAUUGGGUAGUGUUGUAAACCCUUCUAUAUGCUUAAUUGUAUGCUUGCAUGAAUGUGAUUAUAUAAUUGUGAUAAAAUAAGCAUGAUGAAGCUAUUGAAUCCUAAAUCUUGAAAAGAAACCCUAAUCCACUUUGUUAAUGAUGAUGCCUUGGUAUAAAAGAAGGCUUGAUGAACGAAAGUAGUGAGAUUAGGGGAUCGGGUGCCACGUUCCGAUACCAGUACAGUAUAUGAGGAUCGAAGUGUCACGUUCCGACACCAGGAUAGUAUAUGGAUCGGGUGCCACGUUCCGAUACCAGGAUAGUAUAUGAGGAUCGGAGUGUCACGUUCCGACACCAGGAUAGUAUAUGGAUCGGGUGCCACGUUUCGGUACCAGGAUAGUAUAUGAGGAUCGGAGUGUCACGUUCCGACACCAGGAUAGUAUAUGGAUCGGGUGCCACGUUCCAGUACCAGGAUAGUAUAUGAGGAUCGGAGUGUCACGUUCCGACACCAGGAUAGAAUAAGGAUCGGGUGUCACAAUCCGGCACCAGGAUUAGUAAAGAGAAUGAAUCUUGAAAUAUGUUAAUAUACUCAAUUUAAUGAACCUAAUUCUCAAAUGAGUAUGAUGGGGAGGCGUGAGUCCUCAUUGAUGUACUUGGUGUUGUGACCAAGGAUUAUGGUAAUUGUAAAUGCCGCAUGUUGAGUAUUGUAGUUGAUUUUUAUGAUAUUAUCUGAUAUAUACUAUUUUCUAUUUUGAGUUGGUCGAUGAUAUCUACUCAGUACUUGUGUUUUGUACUGACCCCUACUUAUAUGUUUCUUUCUUUGUUAUUUGUGGAGCACAGUAAACAUACCGUCGUCUUCAACUCAACCGCAACUCUAGCUAGUCUUCAUUACACCGGAUUUCAGGGUGAGCUAACGCUUCUAGCUCGGACUAGAUUCUCUCUCAUUCAUGUCUUGAUGUCCUUGAAGUUCAGACAUGGACUAUCUCUUGUAUUUGUUUUAGUUUCCUAGACAUUCUUAGAUUUAGUAAUUUGAGGAUAGAUGUUCUUGUGAUGAUGACUUUCAGAUUUUGGGAAUAACAAGUGUUUGAGUUUUAAGAAGUUAUUUAAUCGAUUUUCAUUAAUGAGUUUAAGUCUUCCGCAUUAUAUUAUGUUAUUUAUGGUUGAAAUGUCGGGGUUUAGAUUGGUUGGUUCGCUCACAUAGUAGGAUAAGUGUGGGUGCCACUCGCGACCCGAUUUGGGUCGUGACAAACUUGGUAUCAGAGCAUUAAGUUCGUUGGUCUCAUCACACAAGAACGAGUCUAGUAGAGUCUUAAGGAACGGUAGAGGGACGCCUUUACUUUUCUUUGAGAGGCUAUAAGACUUUAGGAAAAUCCCAUUCUUUCUUUCUUUCGUGCUAUUACUUGGAUCCAAUUGGUAUCUAGGUGAUACAAAUUGGUAUCUGACCAUCUUCACUCUAUUUCGUAGAUGGUUAGAACUAGAGCAACAACUGCGCCAACACCAGCACCAGCGGGAUAGGGUGCGUCUGAGCCAGCCACUGGGGCUGUAGCUCGAGAAAGAGCAGCGGCAAGAGGCCGUGGUAGAGGUCGUGGGAGUACGUCCUCUAGGGAAAGAGGACAAGCGCCCGUCCCAUCUAGUACUAGGGUGGUGACUCCUCCACCGACUGAGGAAGUAUUAAGAGAGGGUGAGGAAGGGGAAACUGAGCAAGUGCAUAAUGAGGAACUACUACCCCAACCUACCCCAGAGAUGAUAAAUCAGGUUCUUGCUUAUCUUAGUGGGUUAUAUGAUCAGGGCCAGACACCUCCAGUGUUUUCUGCACCAGCACCUCAGGUUCCGGAGGUACAACAUGCAGCUACUGUGGCUCCCCGCAUGGAUGCCUCAUUGGAAAUAGGCACGUUUCCUCGUCUGACUACAGGGCCUAUAAUGACAAAUGAUCAGCAUGAAAUUUUCAGUAAGUUCUUGAAAUUGAAACCUCCAGUCUUCAAGGGUGCUGAAUCUUAGGAUGCCUAUGAUUUUCUGGUUGACUUUCAUGAGCUACUACACAAGAUGGGUAUAGUAGAACGGUUUGGUGUUGAGUUUGUGACUUAUCAGUUUCAAGGGAACGCCAAAAUGUGGUGGCGGUCACAUGUUGAGUGUCAACCAACAGAGGCACCACCUAUGACUUGGGCAUCAUUCUCUAGCUUGUUUAUGGAGAAGUAUAUCGCCCGGACCUUGAGGGAUAGGAAAAGAGAUGAGUUCUUGAGCCUAGAGCAAGGUAGGAUGUCGGUUACUGCAUAUGAGGCUAAGUUUCGUGCAUUAUCUAGGUAUGCUACCCAACUUUGUUUCAGUCCACAUGAGCGGAUUCGCCGUUUUGUGAAGGGGUUGAGGUCAGAAUUGCGGAUUUCAGCCUUACAGGUAGCGGCUACGGCAAAAUCCUUUCAAGAAGUGGUAGACUUCGUGAUAGAGGUGGAAGGAAUGAAGACAAAUGACUUCACCAUGGCAUCGACAUCAAAAAGGUUUCGAAAGGGAGGUGAGUUUAAUGGUUCUUACUCUAGAGGACAGGGUUCAGGAGGUUACUCAGUCCGACCAAUUCAGUCUUCACUACAGACUGUAGUUGGGGGUCCACCGCAGACUGGUCAACAUUUCUCUGAGUUUGGAGGUUAUCCCCAGACUUCAUCAAUCUCACAGAGACCUAUGCUUGAAUCCAGAGAGUGUUAUGGAUGUGGGGAGACUGGACACAUUAAGAGGUAUUGUCCAAAACAGAGUUACAGACCUCAAAUAGUCAGAGGUAGAGGUGGUCAUGGAAGAGGUCGUCAUUCUUGAGGGCGUGGUGGCCGAGGUAAUGGUGGUCACCAAAACGGCCGGGGUGACGGACAAAUGGAAACUACUGCAGCGCAACCUGGUAGAGGCAACGGGCAGACAGGUGAUAGGGCUCAUUGUUACGCUUUCCCUGGGCGGUCAGAAGCGGAGACAUCAGAUGCUGUUAUCAUAGGUAAUCUUUUGGUUUGUGAUUAUAUGGCUUCUGUAUUAUUUGACCUGGCUCUACAUUUUCAUAUGUAUCUUCCUCAUUUGCUACUGGCCUUAAUUUACAUUGUGAAUUGCUUGACAUGCCUAUUCGUGUUUCUACUCCGGUGGGUGAGUCUGUGAUAGUUGAAAAGGUAUAUAGGUCUUGUCUUGUGACUUUUAUGGGAAGCAACACUCAUGUAGACUUAGUUAUCUUAGAAAUGGUUGACUUCGAUGUAAUUCUGGGUAUGACUUGGCUUUCUCCAAACUUCGCAAUCUUAGAUUGCAAUGCUAAAACUGUGACAUUGGCCAAGCCUGGGACAGAUCUGUUAGUGUGGGAGGGUGACUACACUUCCACUCCAGUUCGUAUCAUCUCCUUUCUUCGUGCUAAGAGAAUGGUUAGUAAAGGGUGUUUAUCUUUCUUGGCACACCUCAGAGAUGAUACUAUUCAAGUACCUUCAAUUGAGUCGGUUUCCAUAGUCCGUGAGUUUCUGGAUGUGUUUCCUGCAGACCUUCCUGGUAUGCCACCGGAUAGAGAUAUUGAUUUUUGCAUUGAUCUGGAGUCGGGUACUCGUCCCAUUUCCAUACCCCCUUAUAGGAUGGCUCCCGCUGAGUUAAGAGAGUUAAAGGCCCAACUUCAAGAGUUGUUAAGCAAGGGAUUUAUUAGACCAAGUGCAUCCCCUUGGGGUGCUCCGGUGUUAUUUGUGAAGAAGAAGGAUGGGAGUUUUCGGAUGUGCAUAGACUACCGGCAGUUGAACAAGGUAACUAUUAAGAACAAGUAUCCCAUUCCUCGCAUUGAUGACUUGUUCGAUCAGUUACAAGGUGCUUGUGUCUUCUCUAAGAUUGACUUGAGAUCCGGUUAUUAUCAAUUGAAAAUACGGGUAGCGGAUGUGCCAAAGACUGCUUUUCGAACUAGGUAUGGGCAUUACGAAUUUGUAGUAAUGUCUUUUGGUCUUACGAAUGCCCCUGCUGAUUUCAUGAGCUUGAUGAAAGGGAUUUUAAGCCAUAUCUGGAUCUCUUUGUGAUCGUAUUUAUUGAUGAUAUAUUGGUAUACUCAAAGAGCAAGAAGGAACAUGAGGAGCACUUGAGAAUUGUAUUGGAAAUGUUGAGGGAGAAAAAGCUUUAUGCCAAAUUCUCCAAGUGUGAGUUUUGGCUAGAUGCAGUGUCCUUCUUGGGGCAUGUGGUUUCUAAGGAUGGGGUGAUGGUGGAUCCUUCUAAGAUUGAGACAGUGAAGAAUUGGGUAAGACCUACUAAUGUGUCAGAAAUAAGGAGCUUUUUUGGUUUAGCUAGCUAUUACCGUCGAUUUGUCAAGGGAUUCUCUUCCAUUGCUUCCCAAUUGACGAACUUGACUAAAUAGAAUGUUCCAUUUGUAUGGUCGGACGAGUGUGAAGAAAGUUUUCAGAAGCUCAAGACUUUGUUGACUACCGCACCAAUCCUUACCUUGCCAGUGGAAGGUAAGAAUUUCAUUGUCUAUUGUGAUGCAUCCUAUUCGGGUUUGGGUGUAGUACUAAUGCAAGAGAAGAAUGUAAUUGCUUUGCUUCGAGGCAAUUAAAGGUGCACGAACGUAAUUAUCCGACCCAUCAUUUGGAGUUGGCUGCGGUAGUGUUUUCAUUAAAGAAAUGGAGGCACUAUCUAUAUGGAGUUAAGUGUGAAGUCUACACGGACCAUCGUAGCCUACAGUAUGUCUUUGCUCAGAGGGAUUUGAAUUUGAGACAGAGGAGAUGGAUGGAACUACUGAAGGAUUAUGAUGUUACCAUCUUGUAUCACCCAGGAAAGGCUAAUAUUGUGGCAGACGCCUUAAGCAGAAAAGCAGGGAGCAUGGAUAGUUUAGCCCACUUACAAGUUUCUAGACGCCCAUUGGAUAGAGAGGUUCAGACUCUGGCUAACGACUUUAUGAGGUUAGAAGUAAAUGAGAAGGGAGGAUUUUUGGCCAGUGUGGAGGCGAGAUCUUCUUUUCUUGACAAGAUCAAGGGAAAACAGUUUGAUGAUGAGAAACUAAGCCGAAUUCGGGAUAUGGUGUUGUGAGGAGAGGCUAAGGAAGCAAUAAUGGAUGAGGAAGGUGUUUUGAGAAUUAAGGGAAGGGUAUGUGUGCCCCGUGUUGAUGAUUUGAUCCACACUAUUCUUAUAAAGGCUCAUAGUUCCGGAUAUUCUAUACAUCCUGGUGCAACCAAGAUGUACCGUGACCUAAAGCAACACUUUUGGUGGAGUAGAAUGAAGCGCGACAUUGUUGAUUUUGUUGCCAAAUGUCCAAAUUGUCAGCAAGUAAAGUAUGAACACCAGAGGCCCGGAGGAACACUUCAGAGAAUGCCCAUUCCUGAAUGGAAGUGGGAGAGAAUUGCAAUGGACUUCGUGGUUGGUCUUCCAAAGACAAUGAGUAAGUAUGACUCCAUUUGGGUAAUCGUUGAUAGGUUAACUAAGUCUGCACACUUCAUACCGGUCAAGGUGACCUACAAUGCAGAGAAGUUAGCCAAAAUCUAUAUCUCAGAAAUCGUUCGAUUGCAUGGAGUUCCACUCUCCAUCAUAUCAGAUAGAGGUACGCAGUUUACUUCUAAGUUUUGGAAAACAUUGCAUGCGGAAUUGGGUACUAGGUUGGACCUUAGUACUGCGUUCCAUCCUCAGACCGAUGGUCAGUCUGAGCGAACGAUUCAAGUGUUGGAGGAUAUGCUUCGUGCAUGUGUGAUAGAAUUUGGUGGUCAUUGGGAUAACUUCUUACCCUUAGCAGAGUUCUCAUACAACAAUAGUUAUCACUCAAGUAUUGAUUUGGCCCCAUUUGAGGCACUUUAUGGGAGAAGAUGUAGGUCUCCCAUUGGGUGGUUUGAUGCAUUUGAAGUUAGACUGUGGGGUACUGAUCUUUUGAGGGAUUCAUUAGAGAAGGUGAAAUCUAUUCAAGAAAAGAUUUUAGAGGCUCAAAGCAGGCAAAAGGAAUAUGCAGAUCGAAAGGUUAGAGACCUGGAGUUCAUGGAUGGUGAGCAAGUCUUGCUGAAGGUUUCGCCCAUGAAAGGGGUGAUGCGGUUUAGGAAAAGAGGUAAGCUAAGCCCAAGGUAUAUUGGACCAUUCGAAGUACUUAAGCGAGUAGGGGAGGUGGCUUAUGAAUUAGCCUUGCUCCCAGGACUGUUCGGAGUGCACCCAGUAUUUCAUGUGUCUAUGUUGAAAAAAUACCAUGGGGAUGGGAACUACAUCAUUCGUUGGGAUUCAGUUCUGCUUGAUGAGAAUUUGUCUUAUGAGGAGGAGCCUGUUGCUAUUCUAGAUAGAGAAGUCCGCAAGUUGAGGUCAAGAGAGAUUGCAUCCAUCAAGGUUCAAUGGAAGAAUCGACCAGUUGAAGAAUCCACUUGGGAGAAGGAGGCUGAUAUGCAAGAAAGAUACCCACACUAUUUUACAGAUUCAGGUACUCCUUUUCGCCCUUGUUUCUUUUCUUGUGAUCGUUCGAGGACGAACGAUGGGUAAAUUGGUAUCUAUUGUAAUGACCUGUUUAGUCGUUUUGAGCAGCAUAUUUUAUUUCUGGAAAAACUGGCUGAGACGACGGAUCCCACGAUGGACCGUCAUGGGCACGACGGACCAUCGAAGAGGUAUCGUUCCAAAACACUUAGAAUUCUGAAAUUUGGGUACUGAAAUCGACUCUCUGAACUUCGUAACGGAAUGGCAGGAUGGACCGUCGUGGGAACGACGGACCGUCACACAUCUUCCACAGAAAUUAACUCUCUGAACUUUGCGACGGACCUGCAGGACGGACCGUCACAGGUUGCGUAACCCAGGCUGGGUCGGAUUUUUAUUAAAAGUUUUUAAGGGGCGUUUUGGACUAUUCCUGCUAUAAUUAUAAAGUUAGUGGUUUAAUGUUAAUAAUUUAAUUACUUGGGGGUUAAAGGAGAUAACCCUGGAUUAAUUAGUGGGUUACUUUUACCAUCUUUCAUACUUAAUUAUAUGCUAAUUAGGGUAAAAGAAAGAGGGUGGAAUAAGAAAAAUAGAAAGAACAGAGAGAGGGAGAAGAACGAUCGAGAGAGAGAGGAAACGAAGAGGACAACAAAGCUUUGGAGAAUUUGCUUGCUUGAUCACUAAUCUUCGGUGGAGGUAGGUUAUGGUUUUUAUGCUAUUCGUAGUAAACUCUUAAUAGUGAAUGAUAUGUAUUGGGUAGUGUUGUAAACCCUUCUAUAUGCUUAAUUGUAUGCUUGCAUGAAUGUGAUUAUAUAAUUGUGAUAAAAUAAGCAUGAUGAAGCUAUUGAAUCCUAAAUCUUUAAAAGAAACCCUAAUCUACUUUAUUAAUGAUGAUGCCUUGGUAUAAAAGAAGGCUUGAUGAACGAAAGUAGUGAGAUUAGGGGAUCGGGUGCCACAUUCCGGUACCAGGAUAGUAUAUGAGGAUCGAAGUGUCACGUUCCGACACCAGGAUAGUAUAUGGAUCGGGUGCCACGUUCUGGUACCAGGAUAGUAUAUGAGGAUCGGAGUGUCACGUUCUGACACCAGGAUAGUAUAUGGAUCGGGUGCCACGUUCCGGUACCAGGAUAGUAUAUAAGGAUCGGAGUGUCACGUUCUGACACCAGAAUAGAAUAUGGAUCGGGUGUCACGUUCCGGCACCAGGAUUAGUAAAGAGAAUGAAUCUUGAAAUAUGUUAAUAUACUCAAUUUAAUGAACCUAAUUCCCAAAUGAGUAUGAUGGGGAGGCGUGAGUCCUCAUUGAUGUACUUGGUGUUGUGACCAUGGGUUAUGGUAAUUGUAAAUGCCGCAUGUUGAGUAUUGUAGUUGAUUUUAUGAUAUUAUCUGAUAUAUACUAUUUUCUAUUUUGAGUUGGCCGAUGAUAUCUACUCAGUACUUGUGUUUUGUACUGACCCCUACUUGUAUGUUUCAUUCUUUGUUAUUUGUGAAGCACAUCAAACGUACCAUCAUCUUCAACUCAACCGCAACUCUAGCUAGUCUUCAUUACACCGGAUUUCAGGGUGAGCUAACGCUUCUAGCUCGGACUGGAUUCUCUCUCAUUCAUGUCUUGAUGUCCUUGAAGUUCGGACAUGGACUAUCUCUUGUAUUUGUUUUAGUUUCCUAGACAUUCUUAGAUUUAGUAAUUUGAGGAUAGAUGUUCUUGUGAUGAUGACUUCCGGAUUUUGGGAAUAACAAGUGUUUGAGUUUUAAGAAGUUAUUUAAUCGAUUUUCAUUAAUGAGUUUAAGUCUUCCGCAUUAUAUUAUGUUAUUUAUGGUUGAAAUGUCGGGGUUUAGAUUGGUUGGUUCGCUCACAUAGUAGGAUAAGUGUGGGUGCCACUCGCGACCCGAUUUGGGUCGUGACAUUGUGACUUUACUAAGCAUGUGAAUGUUUGUCUAUUCUUAAAAGUGAAUAUGGAAAAAUAUGAAUAAGAAUAUAUUUAUGUAUGGUUGGAUAUAUGUCAAACUCACCUCUACGGGAAGUUUGGGAGAAAUAAAUAAGUUUUAUUUGACAGGAACGGUCAAUGGUCGUGUGGGUUUAUACGUCGUAAAUAUUAUGGUAUGUUUGUUAUGAACUACCGAAAGAGCAAAAAGAAAGAAGUAAUUCUUGCCUAUAAAAGUUGUGGCCAUGAUCAAAUAUACUGUGGCAAUAAAAAAUUGUCAUUGGUUGUGUACCUAUAGUACAACAAAAGUAAAGCUAGAAACAUGUGUUGCUCGUAAUAAUUUUAACCAUGACAAUAAUGAUAUAAUUUCUCCUUUAGGGAUGUAAACCAUAUAGAUGGUGUUAUGGAAUGUGUGAUAGUACACAAAAUUAAUUCCAAGCUCUAACGAGUUGUGUUAUUGUCGGAGGAACAAUAUUGGGGUUGUAGUAAGUUUCAAAAGAAACUUUUUAAGUUUUAGAUGAAUUGAAAAGAAAUAUUGAGACUGUAAAUUAUGAAAAGAUUUAUUAUCUUUAGAUUACUACAACCGAAGCAGGUUACAAAUAUUAUGUAAUAGGUUACCCAUUGUUCCUCUUGUUUAUUGUAUACAAACAUGGACAUGCUGAUGAAUUCACAUGCAAAAGUAAACUAUACGUGUACUGAAAUAAAUAUCAGUUGGAAUGACAAGUUGACCAUUCUGGUUUAAAUGUACUGCAAAUGUAAUUGAGAAUACAUGUGGAUUAUAUGAUGAAGAAAUAAAAGAUUCUUCAAGAAUUCUCUUGUGUUGCUUGUUUUCAUUGUACCAGCUAAGGUUGAGAUUAUAAUUCCUAAAUCUUUGGAACAUAUAAAAAGGUGAUGAGCCCGUCAGCCAUAUGAUCGAUGCAUCUAUGCUAUGGUCACAUGUGCUUUGUUGUCAACUUACAAAUUGGUGUUUGUAAGGUUGUUUUGCUCGAAUUGUUAAAUUAAGAGCACAGUUCCAAAUUAUGAAAUUAUAUUGAUAAUGUUGGUUGAUUUAGCAGAAAUUGUAUGCCUCCAAUUAUAGAUAAAUCAUGGUUAUGAGAACAAAACUCCCCAAUAAGAUUUGGUAUGAGAUAAUUUUAUUUAACAUGUAGCAACACAUAUAUGCAUCAAGUCAACAAGGUUUUCCCAUUGGUUCAGGUCAGCAACCAAAUAAUUUUCAUCUAAAAUGUUGCAUGUGCGGUUAUGAUUUUAAUUGUUCCACCAUGCACAAUGAUGAAUUCUCAAAUAAGGUUGGGAUGAAUGUUAGAUUUCCUAACAUUAGGUGGAGAUAUGAUUCACAGUUGAAAAUUAUUUAUGAGGUUAAUUAUGAAUUAUUUGGGUCCUCAUUAAAUAAAUAUGUGAACUUAAAGUUCAAGUGAUAAUUCAUUUGCAUAAUGUUGCAAAUCAAUUGUCAAAUGAAUGUACUGACCCUAUCAUAUAAAUCAGUUGCAAAUGCUCCAAUGUGAAGUUCUUCAAGGGCGGAAUCUAUGAUAUGCCGGAAGCGUAAUAGAUCAAUCAAUUCCAAAUAUAAAAUUUCUUGACAAAAGAGAGGAGCAAAUGAUCAAUAUGAUCAUGAUAAUGAGGCAAGUGCUAUAAGAGAGCACCACAAUAUAACACUUCAUAAAACCUUGGAAAAGAUUCAGGAACCUAAAAAAUAAUGAAAAAUGAAGAGAUCUCGAUAAUUUAUGUCAUAUUGGAAUCGAUAUCAAAUAACCAUCGAAGGUAUCUUUGGUAUGAGGUAGCGCUCAAUGAUAUAAAUUGUAACGAGGAUCUUGAAUUCAAAUCUGUCAUAAAGUGUGGACAGAUAAAUAAUUGGCCAAGGUAAAUGCAUAAUUUAAGUAUAUUGUUUCACUUAGAAAAGUGACGUUUUGGACUGAUAGUCCAUAAAUCAAGGUAUAAUGUCAGUGGGGCACAAUAAAUUAUUAUGUCAUGGUAUAAUCAAAAUAUCAAGUACAACUUGUGCCUUGGGGCAGAAACGUUUGUCGCAAAAUCCCUGACUAUUGGAGAUUUUUUCUCCUAUGGUGGAUGCAUUGGGGUUUGUUUUGAUCUGACAAUAUAUGAAAAACUUGAAUGCAAAUAAUGAAUAAUUAUCAUGUCUAGCUAGACAAUAAUGAAGCUUAUAUAAAGAUUCUUGAAGUAAUCGAGGUGUUUGAAGCAUAUAAAAGUUUGAAUGAAACUUAUUCUAUAAAACUUCAAGAAUUCUUAUAUGGAUUGAAAUAAUCAAGGAAGAAAAGAGUACAAAAAGAAUGACCAUUAUUGUCCUUGAAUUUUAUGAAAAGUUCAGGAUCUGAAUUUGUUAUAAAUUGUGUAUGUAGAUGACUUGAAAUUACUAACACUCUUAAGGAGCUUUUAAAAGCUAUUGAGUUUUUUGAGAAGGGAAUAUAAAAUGAAAAGAUUCUGGAAAGACAAAAUUUUAUCUUGACCUAAGAUUGAAAAUUUGACGAAUAAAAUAUUUGUCCAUCAAUCAACAUUCACAAAAAAGCUUUGAUGCAACUUUAUAUGCAGCAAGUGUUGCUAUGCAGAAAUAAAAGCCCUCCAUGAAGCAAGUCGAAAGUGCGUCUGGUUGAGAUAAAUGACACCAUAUUCAGGAAAUGUGUGGUUUUUCCUUGAAAAAGAAUAUACCAACCACAAUGUACGAAGAUUGGAGACAUCAUCACAAGAAAUUAAGUGAUGUUUUAAUCAGGGAGAAUAUAAUACGCGUUGCAUUGUUUUUUCCUUUACCGAUGUUUUGUCGCACUGAAUUUUACUGGCAAGGUUUCAAUGAGGCAACAAAUAAUGUGUAUCAAAAGAUAUGUGUACUCUUUUCCUUCACUAGAAUUUUUUCCACUGGAUUUUUUUUCUUAGUAAGGUUUUAACGAGGCACAUUAUCUAUAGACAUCAAAGGGGGAGUGUUAUAAAUCUAUUGUUUUAUUUGGAUGAUACAUAAGAGUUAUCCAACAAUUAAUUGGAUCAUGUAUAAGUGUUUCCAAGGUGAUAAAAACCUUAAGAGAUAACUAUGUAUCUAUUAAUGUGGUGACCUUUGAGAGUGAUAUCUCAACACUAUAAGUAGAGAUAUCACUCACCAUUUGAUAAUAUACUUGAAUAAGAAGAAAAGUUCUCUCUUCCAUUUUACUUCUCCUAUCUUCUUCUCUUUCUAUUAUAUUAUGAGCUUGAUUUGAUAACAUUUUUGACAUUUUUCAUAAUUAUUUUUAUUUAUAUGAUACGAUAAAAAGCCUAUAAAAUGUUUCUUAAUUAUUAUAUCUUUUUUCGAUAUACAAAGCUUAAAAGAUAUUUUACUAAUUAGUAAUUUAAUCAUAUUUAUUAUGCAAUAUAAUAAAAUAAAUCUAUACACCUAAUAUAUAGCCUAGACAUUAGGACUAAUUUUGGCGAACAUUUUUCUUGUUCUGACUUUUUAAUCCUUACAUGUACCUUUCCCCUAUAUAAGUCAUUGACAGAUUUAAGACUCAUAAAUACUGAUUUAAUUUUGCAGGUUCUCAUCCUAAUAAAGUUUUGGAGUGGGUAUCUGUUGUUUUGAUUCGAUUUUUGAAUUUCAAUUUGAAAUUUUAUUUUUUUCAUAGUGUGUAUCAAAUAUUAUAUCAAAUUAAUCUGAUUUGUUUGAGUUCAAUUUUUGUAAUACAGCCAAAGAGUCAAACUGUCACGACCCAAAACGAGCCGUGAGUGACACCCACACUUAUCCUACUAUGUGAGCGAACCAACCCAUCUAAACCCCAACAUUUCAAACAUAAUAGGCAGAAUAUAAUGCGGAAGACUUAAAACACAUUAACGAAAUCAAUUAAAUAACUUCUAAAGCUCAAAACUUAUCAUUAUCCCCAAAAUCUGAAAGUCAUCAUCACAAGAACAUCUAUCCUCAAAUUACUAAAUCUAAGAGUAUCUAAGAAGCUAAAAUAACUAAACAGCUAGUCCAUGCCAGAACUUCAAGGCAUCAAGAUAUGAAGAAGAAGAUCCAGUCCAAGCUAGAAACAAUAGCUCACCCUGAAAUCCGACGUGAUGAAGACUGGCUAGAGUUGAAGACGACGGUACGUUUGCUGCACUCCACAAAUAACAAAGAGAAAACAUACAAGUAGGGGUCAGUACAAAACACGAGUACUGAGUAGAUAUCAUCGGCCAACUCAAAAUAGAAAGCAAUAUAUAUAUUAGAUAAUAUCAUAAAAUCAACUACAAUACUCAACAGGUAGCAACAACAAGUACAAGAAUCAUUGAUAACAACGCCAAGUACACCCAUGAGGACUCAAGCCUCCAUACCAUACUCAUUUGGGGAAAUAGGUUCAUUAAUUUGAGUAUAUUAACAUAAUUCAAGAUUCAUUCUCUUUAUUCCUCUUGUGUCGGAACGUGACACUCCGAUCCCCUAAUACUACGUGUCGGUUCGUGACACCCGAUCCACUAAUACUAUGUGUUGGUUCGUGACACCCGAUCCACUAAUACUAUGUGUCGGUUCGUGACACCCGAUCCCCUAAUACUAUGUGUCGGUUCGUGACACCCGAUCCCCUAAUUCUAUGUGUCGUUUCGUGACACCCAGUCCCCUAACCUCAUUCUUUUAGUUCAUCAAGCCUUCUUUUAUACCAAGACAUCAUCAUUAAUAGAGAGGUUUUAAGGUGUAAGAUUCAACAGCCUCAUCAUGCUAAUUCAUCACAAUUACAUAAUCAUAUCAUGCAAGCACACAAUUAAGCAUAUAGAAGACUUUACAAAAUUACCCAAUACGUAUCAUUUGCUAUUAAGAGUUUUACUACGAAAUAGCAUAAAAACCAUAACCUACCUCCACCAAAGAAUUCGCGAUCAAGCAAGCUACUUUCCCAAAGCUGCGUUCUUCUCUUUCUCUCGCUCGUUCUCUCUUCCUCUUCUGUUUUUUCUAUUUUUCCUUAUUCAAACUCUUUUUCUUUUACCCUAAUUACCAUAUAAUUAAGUAUAAAAGAUGACCAAAGUAACCCACUAAUUAAUUCAAGGUUAUCUCCUUUAACCCCCAAGUAAUUGAAUUAUUAACAUUCACCCACUAACUUUAAAAUUAUAAGCAGGAAUAGUCCAAAACGCCCCUUAAAACUUUUAACAGAAAUCUGACCCAGUCAGGGUUACGCAGUCUGUGACGGGCCGUCGUGCCUGCGACGGUCCGUCCUGCUGAGUCGUCACAGAGUUCAGAGACUCAAUUUUUAUUUUAAGACCCUGUGACGGUCCGUCGUGCCUACGACGGUCCGUCCUGCUCUUCCGUCGCGAAGUUCAGAGAAUUGUUCUCAGUACCCAAUUUUUCAGAAUUCUAAGUGUUUUGGAACGGGACACCCUCGACGGUCCGUCGUGCCCAUGACGGUCCGUCGUGGGAUCCGUCGACCCAGACAGUUAUUACCAGAAAUAAAUUCUACUGCUCAAAACGACUAACAGAUCGUUACACAAACAAUUAAUAUCAGCAACAACAUCAUAAAAAUUAAAUUAUACUUAAUAGGUUGUAUGAUAGAGCAUAUUUAAAAAAAAAUGCAUGUAUAUUAGCAAAAAAGUUAAGAAGUAAUUUGAUCUUAAAUCAUUAUGCAAUAAAAUAACAUAAAUCUGUAUUAGAAUCUAAAUAUAGCUUAAGACAUUAGGAGUUUAAGACGUCUCUUCGGCCAACAUUUGUUUUUCCUUCAUCUGUUUUUUUCUUAAAAAAUAAAAUAAAUUCACUAUAUUUAAAUUUGCAGUUCUUUCAUCCUAAUGAAGUGAAUGUAGCCAUUUAUUUUAUACUCUGCCUUUUCAGUAAUGAUUUGACACAUAUUUUAAAGUAUUUAAUAAAUAAUAGAAAUAAUAUGACUAAGUUAUCCUUUAAAUAUAUUAAAUUUAAUACUGUGAAAAAUGUAUUUAAUAUUAAAGUAUAAUAUUUAAUAUAAAAAAAAGUUAUUUCUUGAUUCUUUAAAUUUGUGAAUAAUUGAAGAAAUCUUCUUCUCUCGUUGUUUCAAUUCAUGUGAUGUCACAUAUUUUAAAUUUUGAAAUUCAAAUAAGUCUAUUUUUUAAUUAUAAAUUAUUCAUAUAUUAUUUAAUUAUUUUGAAUUGUUAAUUAUUAUGCAUUGUAGUACUUUUUAUAUAGUUUACAAAUAUAUAAAUUUAAUUUUUAAAAAGAAUUAAAGAUUUCAUGCACAAAUUUUCAAUCAAAAAACAUAUUAUUUGACUCUCGAAAACAAAAAAUGUCACAUAAAGUUGGUACUCAGAAAAUAAUUUGUUUGUAAUGUUAUUUUAAUAUUUUAUAUUGAUCUUUCUCGUUGCUUUUUUCCAAUUGUAAAAUUCUAAAUUUUUAGUAAUAUAUUUUUUAGAAGUGAGAGGAUUCAAUUUUUUCUUCUCUUUAAGCAUCACAAUUCUUUUCCAAAGCAAUCAAAUUAGACUAGAAAAAAUCUGGAAUGAAAAAUAGUAGCCAAAAUUAAUAAAUUUAGUAACUAAUGUUUUUUUUUCAAACAUUUUAAAACACGAACAAAAUUGCUAAUGUGUAAGAAAACAUGUGUAAUAUAAAACAAAUAUAAAAGAGUCUACGUGCAUCGCAUGAGUACCUAUAUUAAUUUUAGCUUGAAAAUAAAAAUAAUAUUUGUUUAUUUCAAACACUACCAAUUAUUAUAAAACUGUUUAACUUAAUUGGAUGCACCAACUUUGACAGGUGUUAAUUCACUUCAAUAUUCAACCAAAAAAAAAAAAGGGUUAAAACGCAAAGCAACUUAAUUCAUUUGUUAUAAAUUGGAGGAGCCAAAGAUAGUGAGACUCACAAAACUUUCAUCUCUAAGAAUGGAAAUUCAAAAGGUAUCAUAUUUUCUAAUAUUGUUUUAAUUAUAUAUGUCUAUCUUAAGUUUCAAUCAUAUACUCAUGAUUAAUUUAUUGAUUAUUUUAAACAAUGAAACAUAUUUUAGAUUUAAUUUUAUUUAUUUAUUUUUAUGACCUAGGAGUUUGAUUUAACGGUAGUUCCAACAGAAGGUGAAAUUGAUGCACCAUUAUCGCCAAGGAAGAAUUUAUGUCUCAGUGUGGUGGAAUCCGAUAUAAAAAAUGAAACGUCUUUUCAAAAACUUGACAUGAUUUUGACUCAAUAUUUAGAGACAUUGUCAAAACGGAAGAAGUAUCAUAUAGGUAAGGAUAUGAAUAUGUAUAGUCUUUCCGUACAAACAUAGUUACUUUUUACUCAACGGAAUUAUACAAGCAUUAGCAUCGAGGUAAUUUAAUCUCAAUUUUAUUUAAAUAAAUACAUUUUCAUUUAUUUUUACCUGUGUAAUAAACAUAAAAGUAUUUAUAAGCAAAAUUAAUCAAAAGUUAUACACUAAUAAAUCAUCCCUAACUUUAUUUUACAUAUCUUUUAAUUUUUCUUUUUUUUUUGAUUUGGCCAAAUAAUAUGUUACGAUUUUAUUCAUAAUUAUAUCUUUGGUUAUUUAAUUUACAGGUUAUCCAACAAACAUGCAUUAUGAGCAUCAUGCCACUUUAGCCCCACUUUUGCAAUUUCAUUUGAACAAUUUUGGAGACCCCUUUGCUCAGCACCCUACAGAUUUUCAUUCAAAAGAUUUUGAAGUGGCUGUAUUAGAUUGGUUUGCACAACUCUGGGAAAUAGAGAAAGAUGAAUAUUGGGGAUACAUUACUAGUGGUGGCACUGAGGGCAAUCUCCAUGGCCUUUUGGUUGGGUAGGUUUCACUUUCAGAGGCGAAUCUAGUUUUUGAGCUACGAAUUUAUUUAUAUAGUCGGAGAUGUCUAAAUGAUAUAAUGUGCUUUUAUCACUUUCACUAUGCAUUAUUAUAUAUUUGUGCAGAAGAGAGCUACUUCCAAGUGGGAUAUUAUAUGCAUCAAAAGAUUCACAUUACUCAAUUUUCAAAGCAGCAAGAAUGUAUCGAAUGGAGCUACAAACUAUCAACACUUUAGUUAAUGGGGAAAUUGAUUAUGAAGAUUUACAAUCAAAGUUACUUGUCAACAAGAACAAACCAGCUAUCAUCAAUAUCAAUAUUGGUAAAAAUACAUACAUAUAUAUUCUUACAUCUUAUAACAUCAUUUUUGUUAAAUUAGUAUAUAUGUGUUUAUAGGAACAACCUUCAAAGGAGCUAUUGAUGACCUCGAUUUCGUCAUACAAACACUUGAAAAUUGUGGUUAUUCAAAUGACAAUUAUUAUAUCCAUUGCGAUGCAGCAUUAUGUGGGCUAAUUCUCCCAUUUAUCAAACAUGUAAGCUUAUUUUUAUUCAAUUUUCCUUCAACGUUUAUUGAUCAAAGUUACAAUGACAUAGUUUCUUUUUAUGGUAUUUGACAAUAGGCAAAAAAAAUUACCUUCAAGAAGCCAAUUGGUAGUAUUUCAAUUUCAGGGCACAAAUUCUUGGGAUGUCCAAUGCCUUGUGGCAUUCAGAUAACAAGGAAAACUUAUGUUAGUACCCACUCAAAAAUUGAGUAUAUUAAUUCCACAGAUGCUACAAUUUCUGGUAGUCGAAAUGGAUUUACACCAAUAUUCUUAUGGUACUGUUUAAGCAAGAAAGGACAUGCUAGAUUGCAACAAGAUUCCAUAACAUGCAUUGAAAAUGCUCGGUAUUUGAAAGAUCGACUUCUUGAAGCAGGAAUUAGUGUUAUGCUGAAUGAGUUUAGUAUUACUGUUAUUUUUGAACGAUCUUGUGACCAUAAAUUCAUUCAUCGUUGGAACUUGUGUUACUUAAGAGGCAUGGCACAUGUUGUGGUUAUGCCAGGUAUUACAAGAGAAACUAUAGACAGUUUCUUCAAAGAUCUAAUGCAAGAGAGGAAGAGGUGGUUUCAGGAUGGAAAAACUCAGCCUCCUUGUCUAGCAGAUGAGUUUGGAUCUCAAAAUUGUAUGUGCUCCCAUAACAAGAUGCAUAACUAAACUCCUUGGAACCAUGACUUGAAAUGGUCAUGAUUAUCAAGUAUGUUUUUGAUGCAAGAGUGACUCAAUAAAAUUUAUGAUCUAAAUCGAUCUAUAGUUUUCUAAUAAAUUUAUAUGUAUACUUUCUUUGUUGUGCUUUUACACGAAUGUUACUCAAUAAAAUUUGUAAUAUAGAGUCAUUUAGAGUUUUCAAAUCAAUUUUUAUGUAUACGUUGUUUACAAAUUUUGUAAUUUAACUUUUUACAAUUAGGAAUGGCAAUAGUUUGGGUUCGGGUGGGUUAGGGCGGGGCAAACCUCAACCCGCUAAGAGUUAAACCCCCCCUACCCCGUCCCAUUUAAAAAAUUUUCAAUAGUGUUACUUGUCCCGCCCUGCCCCGUUUAAGUUUUAAUUUACACUUUUUAUAUGAUCUACACUCUUAUUGAUCUACAGUCCCAUUAAUUCAUUCACUUGUUACUAACACACGGUUUGACAGUUGAUAGGAAUUUUGGAUUAGUAUUACAAUUGUACUAGAAAAUGAGACAUGUUCAGGGGUGGCUCGACAGUAUUAAAAAAAAAAAAGGAUAUUGAAUUUUUAUAAGUUAUAAUUUUUAAAAAAAGGGAUAAUGCCCAAGUACCCCCUCAGCCUAUGUCCGAAAUCUCAGAGACACACUUAUACUAUACUAAGGUCUUAUUACUCACCUGAACUUAUUUCAUUAAUAAUUUUUUACCCCUUUUUGACCUACGUGGCACUAUCUUGUGGGCCCAACGAUUGUUGACUUUUUUAAAAAAAACUAGUGCCACGUAUGCUAAAAAGGGGUAGAAAAUUACUUAUAAAAUAAGUUCAGGGGGUAAUAGGACCUUAGUAUAGUAUAAGUGUGUCUCUGGGAUUUCGGGCAUAGGUUGAGGAGGUACUUGUGCAUUAUCCCUUAAAAAAAUAUUGAAUUGUAGAAAAAGUAAACUUUUUAUGAAAAAUGAAAGAAUUAUUAGAAGAAAUUUGACUUAUUUGGAUUACUGUAUCUCUAAAAAAUAUUUUAAAAUAAGAAAGGAUAUAUUAUCAAUUGAAAAUUAGAAGAAAUCAAUCAUAUAAAAAUUAAUAACUAUUCAGUUUAAGGCCCCGUUUGAUUUUUGCUUUAGGCCACUAAUAUGCUUGAGCCGCUCCUGGACAUGUCCUUUUCCAAUCAAACCCUUGAGUUAGUGUGUGUUCGGUUGUUUGUCUAAAUUUUCGAAAAAUAUUUUCUUUAUGAAAAUAAUUUUUUAAAAUAAGAAAAAAUGAUUUUUUAGUGGAAGUAAUGAAAAAUAAAUUCCACAAACUCUUUACAUUUACUAUGUCCUCCCCACUUAUUCAAUAUGAUUAGGGUGAAAAAAUACAUUCUAAGAAGCAGUAUAUAUCAGUUAUAGGUUAUUAAUUCUAAAUAUAGAAAGAUGGAAAAUAUAUUGAACAUUCUGAGGAUAGAUGAAAGAGCUGCUGUUAAUUACAUGCACUUGUUCACUUAUUUCAUUCAAAUAUUGUCUACACAUUUAUAUAUACACUACUCUUGGAAACGUGCGUUGCACGUUUGAUCUCUACUAUUAUAGACAAUUUAUAUAAGCCUAACUUCAUAGAUAUAAAAAUGAUCGUGGUUACUAAUUAAAGUCGCGAACAUUCAACUCAAUCGUCAAAAGAUUAAUUUCAGUCUCCUUGAAGAAUCCAACAUGUCUUCUCUCAUUGCAAGCUCCAUUAGAAGUAGUAAGAAUUUGCAAGAGAACAUUUGAUAUUUUCACGAUCUUUUUGUAAAUAUCCAAGAAUUUAUGAGAUACUCGAGAUGCAUCUUUGAGGAAUAUAUAUUAGCCUUUUAUAACGACAUGAUCUAGAGUGUAGAGUAACCUCCAAGAAUCCUAACAGAAAUAAAACCCGUCUCGUGAAGUACAAUUCCAAGGAAUUGAAGAACACAUCUAAGGAUCCAAUUCUGGUGGUUCUUGUUAAAAAUAUCAUUUACUAAUUAAAGUAUGCUCUCUCUAAUAGUUAAAACUUUUAGAUGAGAUGAUCACACACUUCAACUUGAUAUUAGAGCCGACAAAGGUCUUGUAAUCGAAUCUUACGCCACCCAAAUUAUAUCAAGGCACCCUUAUACCUCCAACAUUAAGGUAAGUUUCUGCCAUAUAAUUCUAAGCCUUUUAAUUAGUUUUUAAUAAUAAAUUACGCAAUACAAUCCUAGCUGAAAGAGUUGAUUUGGUUCUUGUGUAAUAAAACUAAAUGGAAGAUGAAUUAACAUGAAUAUUUGGUAGGAAGAUAAUUAGUACAAAAUAAAAAUCAUGAUAGUAUCUUAGUAGCCAUAAAAUGAUUUCAUAUUCUUAACCUUGACAUUUUUGACAUAUAGUGAUGUCAUGGAUGACAUCAAUAUGAUGAAAUCAUUCAUAUAAAUAGGUAGCUCUUAAUUCAUUUUCAAAUCAUCCUUUCACUUGACUUCUCACCUUUUAAGGCAUUUGUGUUCUCUCUCUAGUAGUAUUUCACUUGUAUUAUUUGUAAAAUGAAAUACAUAUUGGUGCAAUUGUACUUUAAUGGAUGUAGGAUCAUUUUGAUCCAAACCAUGUUAAAUAUUGUUGUUCUUCCUUGUUCUUUAAUUUCACGUUUUCGCUAACAAUUAGUAUCAGAGCUAAGAUUUUACCUGAGUAUGCUAUGGGGUUACAGCACGGUCUAAACUUCAACAACAGAAAAGAAUUACUUUGAUUUUUUGUAGUUCCAAAUACAUUGUAGUAGAAAAGGAAGACCAAAUAAAAAAAUGAGUCGUAUGAAGUUUGAAAUUGAUAGAUUUAGUGGACGCAACAACUUUAAUAUCUGGGAAAUCCAGAUGAUUGCGUUACUAUGGAGGGAAGGUUCAAUCCAUGCUAUUAAUGGAAAAUGCCCCGAUAAGAUAUCGGAUUUCGACAAGGAGAAUAUUGAAGGAGAUGCAUUGAGUGUAAUUCAACUGUCCCUUGCACCUAAAGUACUUUUUGAAGCGAGUAGAAGUACCAAAGCAAACGGCCAAUGAGUUAUGGGAAAAGCUGGAAGGGCUUUACCAGGACCAGUCAGUGACAACAAGAAUGUCGUUGAAACGGCAUCUUCAUACACUUAAGAUGGAUUUAGGUUGUUUGUUGCAAGACCAUCUAGAUGCGUUCAAUAAACUUGUGAUGGACUUACAAACUGCUGGAAUUAAAAAGGACGAGGAGACGAUUACAUGUUCUUUGCUAUUUCCAUUGACUUCAAAAUAUCGUGAUAUUGAGAAUUCAAUAAUGUAUAGCAAACAACCUAUCAAACUUGAGCAAGUGCCACAAGCAUUAAACUCUUGCAAUGUGCGGAUGGAUUUUGAGCAAAAGUGACGAAGCUAGUGGACUCUUUGUAAGAGGUCAUACUAGCCAACAGAGAAGGAAAAAAUCAAAGUACAAAUCAGAAUCUCGUGUGAACAAAAAGAACGGGGGAGUGUUGGGGCUGUUAAAAGAAGGGGCACUUUGAACGAGAUUGUCUUUUGUCGAAGUCCAAAGAAAAGACGAGUGCAUUAAUUGUUGAGUAAGUACAUGAUAAUGGUGAUGAUUAUGUAUUAACAACAUCAUGUAAUAGUGGAGUCUAUGACAACAAAUGGGUCUUACACUCUGGUUGUACUGUGCAAAUGACAUUCCGAAAAGAUUGAUUCAACAUCUAUUAAACAAGCAACGAAACUAUAUCAAUGGGAACUAAUGCAACUUGUAAAAUAGUUGGCAUUGGAUCAGUUCGUGUUCUCUGUGAUGAUGGGAUCAUGAGGACUAUUAUAGAAGUCUGUCAUGUUCUUGAUCUGAAGAAGAAUUUGAUCUCCCUGGGUACUUUGGAUAAACAAGGCUAUAAGUACAUGAGUAAAGGAGGAACUAUGAAAGUGACUAAAUGAUCUUUACUCAUGCUGAAAGCCAAGCUGGAAGAUGGACUUUACACACUUGCGGUAAGAAGAUCAACACACUUGAAUAUUGUGAGCACUGCGUCUUAGGGAAACAGAAAAAGGUCAGCUUCAGCUCCGGCUAACUUAAGACAGGAGGAGUGCUAGACUACAUCCAUUCAGAUUUAUGGGGUCUCUCUAAGCUUCCAUCGAAGGGAUGAAAGAGGUAUCUUCUCACAUUCAUUGAUGAUUUUUCACAAAAGGUUUCGAUGCGUUUCCUGAAGACAAAAGUUGAUGCUUUUGAAAUAUUUAAAGAGUGGAAGAUUUUGGUUGAAAAUCAAAUGGAGAGAAAAAUCAAGUAUCUUCACACAGACAAUAGCUUGGAGUUUUGUAGUGAAGAUUUCAAUGAUUUAUGCAAGGUUCAUGGGAUCACAAGACAUAAGACGGUCAGGCACACACCACAACAGAAUGGAGUUGCCGAAAUAAUGAAUAAAAUUCUUCUCGAGAAGGCUUGUGUAUGCUCUUACAAGCCAAGAUGUCUUAAGUAUUUUGGGUUGAAGCAGUUCAUACCGCUUCUCAUAUUUUCAAUUGAUCUCCAGUAUCAACAAUUGACUUUAAGACUCUGAAUGAGGUCUGGUCAGGUGAACCCUCUAACUAUUCAUACUUGCGAAUAUUUGGGUGUCCAGCUUAUUAUCAUAUUAAUGAAGGAAAGCUUGAACCAAGGGCUAAAAAGGUCAUAUUCGUAGGGUAUAUAGAUGGAGUAAAAUGGUACAAACUUUGGUGUUUGUCUUUACUCAAAUUUGUAGUUUUUAGAGAUAUUACCUUUGAUGAAUCCUAUAUACUUGAUCCUCGUAAAAUUUCUGUGGAGUUAUCAAGAAAUGAAAACAACAAGCAGGUGGAGCUACCGAUGGAUCUUACCAAGGAACGAGAUCAAGAGACUCAAAUUGAUGAGUCAAAAGAUGCAGAUCUUGAAGAACUUGGUGUCAAUGAACCAUACACAAUUGCAAAGGGAAGGGACAAAAGGCAGAUACAAAAAUUGGAACGUCUUAUAGAGAAAGAAAAUCUAAUUGUACAUGCGUUCGUAGCUGCAGAAGUAGAGGUUAAGGAUCUCGACCCCUCUUUGUAUGUUAAGGCAACUUUUUGAGAUGUUGCACAAUGACAGUUAGCCAUGAUGGAAGAGAUGUAGUCUCUUCAAAAAAAUGAGAUAUGGGUCUUAGUUAAAAGGCCAAAGGGGGAUGAGGACAGUUAGAUGCAAAUGGGUCUACAAAAAAAAGAGGGUAUUCCAGAAGUGAAAGAUGUUAGGUUCAAGGUGAGAUUGACUACAAUGAGAUCUUCUUUCCAAUCGUGAAACAUAGCUCAAUUCGCGUGCUACUAACAUUGGUCGCACAAUUUGAUUUAGAGUUUCAACAGUUUGAUGUCAAAAGUGCUUUCUUACAUGGUGAUCUAGAAGAGACAAUCUAUAUGGAUCAGCCUUAAGGUUUCCUAGCUGAAGGAAAAGAAGACAAUGUAUGUCAACUGAACAAGUAUUUGUGUAGUUUAAAGCAAUCCCCUAAACAGUGGUACAAGAAAUUUGAUGCAUUCAUGACUACACAUGAAUUUUUGUUGAGUGCAUUUUAUAGCUAUGUGUAUCACAAGAAGAUGCUUGGUAAUUCUAUGAUAUAUCUAUUGUUGUAUGUUAAUGAUAUGGUUAUUGCUGCUAAAAACAUCACAGAGAUAAAUAUUUUAAAGAAACUGUUGAGCAAGAAAUUUGACAUGAAGGAUUUGAGAAUUUGAAAGAAAAUUCUUGGAAUGGAGAUUUCAAGAGAAAAUGGUGUUGUACAUAUUUUCAAAAGAGGUACAUCGAAAAAGUUUUUGAGAGAUUCAAUAUGCAUAUGAGCAAGCCAAUAAGUACAUCAUUAGCUCCUCAAUUCAAGCUCUCAGAGUUACAAAUGCCUCAGUCUAUGGAUGAGGUGGAACAUAUGUCAAAGGUUCCUUAUGCGAACACAGUUGGUAGCAUUAUGUAUGCUAUGGUGUGUGCACGUCCAAAUGUUGCUCAAUAUUUAAGUGUAAAAAGCAAGUAGAUGGCAAAUCCAGGAAAAAGCCACUGGAAAGCUCUCAAGUUUAUAUUGAGAUAUCUCAAAGGAGCUCCUGAUGUUGGCCUAACCUUCCAUAAAAGUGAAGGUAUUUCAAUUCUUGAUUAUGUAGAUUUUGACUAUGCAAGGGAUCUUGAUCAAAGAAGGUUCACAACUGGAUACAUUUUACUCUCUCUGGCAGUGUCGUUAGUUGGAAAUCAACUUUACAGUCUAUUAUCGUUUUGUCUUCAACAGAGGCAGAAUAUAUGGCAGCAACAGAGGCAGUGAAAGAAUCUAUCUAGUUGAAAGGUUUGGUGGCUGAAUUGAGUUCGGUUCAUCCUGGAUCAAUUCUAAAAUGUGAUAGUAAAAGUGUUAUUUAUUUGAUUAAAAAUUAAAGAUUUCAUGAGCGCACCAAACACAUUGAUGUCAGAUUUCAUUUUAUCCGAGAUGUCGUAGAAGAGGGAGCUAUCAAGGUUGAGAAGGUUAUCACAGACGAUAACGAUGCAGACAUGUUGACCAAAAUAGUCCCGCUUGACAAGUUUGCACACUGCAAGGACUUGGCGGGAGUAUGCAUCAAGUGAUGCAACUCUGGCGGAACAACUGCUAGGUGGAGCUAGUAUGUUUAACAAAGGUUUGAUUCUUCUUGUUUCUUACAACGGGAUUGCCCUGUAAGCUUAGAAUUUUUGGCCGGAGUUGUUUAUACGCAUGCUCGAAACACAAACCUAGGUGGAGAUUGAAAGAGAUGGUUUGGUUCUUGUGGAAUCAAACUAAAUGGAAGAUUAAUUAACAUGAAUAUUUGGUAGGAAGGUAAUUAGUACAAAAUAAAAGUCAAGAUAGUAUUUUGGUAGGUAAAGUUUAGGCAAACCAUAAAAUUAUUUCAUAUUCUUAACCUUAACAUUUUUGACAUAUAGUGAUGUAAUGGAUGACAUCAAUAGGAUGAAUUCAUUCCUAUAAAUAGGUAGAUCUUAAUUCACUUUCAAAAUCAUCCUCUCACUUGACUUCUCACCUUCCAAGGCAUUUGUGUUCUCUCUCUUGUAGUAUUUCACUUGAUUCGUUGUAGAGUGAAAUAAAUAUUGGUGCAAUUGUUCUUUGAUGGAGGUAGGAUCAUUUUUAUCCGAACCACGUUAAAUAUUGUUGUUCUUCCUUAUUCUUUAAUUUCACGUUUUUGCGCUAACACUAGCUAAUGCUUUCAAGAAAAUCUAUUUCAUGGUUCAAGAACGAACUUUUGGAUUUGUACUUCAAGUAUCUAGAGCGAUUAUACUAUAUAAGGUUGUUCUCUACUCUUUACGUAUCUAAUUACUUCUUGUUCAUUUUAAAAUUGAUACACCUAUUAAGAAUAUAAUGAUUUGUUGAGUUUUAGCAAAAUGUCAAUGGAAAAAGAGAAGAGAAAAAUGAAAAAGUGAUUGACUAAUAACUUUUUUGGACAAAAUUUAUUUAUUAAAUUUUGUUAAUUGAAUAAAUCCCAUUAAUUAUUUUCUCUUAUAAAUUAAUUCAGAAUGUUAGUUAAAUAACAGAAUAAUUUUAAUACGAAGAAAUUUAUUUUAAAUUCGCGUGCAAUGGUAGUACCGGUCUGAAGGGACCUGUUCUUUUUCGAUAAUUCGUUAUUUUUUCCAAAAGACAACUUUCUGGAAAAAACAGGUCUGAACAAAUUCAUUUGAACAUACACGAUUCUUGUUGAAAAUGGCUAUAAAAAGGAGAUCUUUUUCAUUUUUUCAGAUACUGAAAAUUUUUUCAUCUCUGCAUACAUUUACUCUCAAAAAAAUUGUCGAUUGACUGAGUCUGUGUGUUCUUUUUACUGUUCUUGCGUUCGCUAAAAUUAUUAAAGUUUGAGGUACCGCUACUUCUCUAACAGGUUAAUUCGUUUUAUCUUGGGAGAAAUUAAUCUGCAACCUCGGAUAAAGUGGGGGAAUUAAAUUCCUUAAGAAAAUACAGUGAUUUCUGUGGACUUGGAUUAAAAGUUUACUUUCUAUUUCAUCUUAUUUGUGUUUCUGUAUUUUUGACUAACCUUAAUACAAGAAUAACAAUCUUGAGAAAUUUAAUAGUUUCUAUAUUUGAGGUUUCUAGAGAUUAAAACCUUUAUGGUUUUAUACUCUGUUUGAAUUUUUAAAAUUCAUUUGAUUAACGAUUAAAAGAAUAUUAAAACUGUAUCACUUAAAUUAAAAACAGUCUGAGUAAGGAUUUAUUCUUUACUAUUAGUAUUUCACAUACUAAAAUUGUCUACCAUUUUUGACAGAAAAAAUGACCAAUUCAAUUCAAGUAAAUGCUGAAAUAGUGAGUGUUGCAGCAAUAUCGAUUGGACACAAUCGUUCAACUGCUACACUAGCACCGCCUAAGGAACCUGCAAAGUUUUCUAGAAUCGACUUCAAGAGAUGGCGAAAGAAGAUGUCCUUCAAUCUCACUAGGUUGAGGCGACUUCGACAAGCAUCACUAAAUUCUUUUGGGAUGGUUUUGAUUAUGGAGUAUGUUGGAGUGACUCAAAAAAAUUAUUAUUAGAGUUUGAAAAUAAAUUUUCAUGUAUCUUUUUAUUUGAUUUUUUUAUUUAGUUCUUGAAAUGAAAAGUUUCUGAUUAUCAUGUAGUUUGCAAUAAGUUUUGAAUGUGUGGAAAGUAGAUUAAUCAUAAAUAAAAUCUAAAGAAAUAAGAAAGUUAUUGAAACUAACAACUUGAUUCUUUUCUAAGGAUUUCUCCAUGGUUUGAGGGCGGUUGGUAAUGUAUUUAUGAACAUAAGCGAUCACAUUUCGAUUUCUUUAUGAAUAUCUCAUAAAUUUAUGAAAUUUUAGAAAUUUUAAUCUUUAUGAAUAUGACUUUUGGAGAUUUUUAUCUUUAUAAAUAUUCAAAUAAUAGUAUUUUAUGUCUUCGUGAUCUCAUUGUGAUUAUCCAAGAAUUUAUAGGAUAUUUAGGACGCCUCUUCAAGGAAUAAAUUACCCUUUAUAUAGGCAAAAAAUUACCCUUUGAUAGGCAAGACAAUAUUUUGAUGUUUUCUUAAUCUUUUUAUGAAUAUCCAAAAUUUUAUAAGAUAUUCGGAAUGCCUCUUUAAGAGAUAUAUUCCCUUUUAUAACGGCAUGAGCUAGAGUUUACAGUAACCUACAAGAACCUUAACAGAAAUAGUACUCGUCUUGUGGAGUCCUAUGCCAAGUAAUUAAAGAACACGUCUAAGGAAUAAGGAUCCAAUUUCGGUGGUUCUCGUUUAGAAUAUCAUUAAUUAAUUAAAGUGUGUUAUAUCUAAUAACUUAAUUUUUAAAAUGAGAUGAUCACACAUUUCAACAUGAUAUUAGAGCAGAUAAAAAUCACUCUUAUACCUCCAAAAAUUAAGGCAAGUUUGUCCCAUAUAUUUCUAAGAAUUUUAAUUAAUUGUGAAUAAUUAAUUACACACUACAAUCCUAGUUAAUGCUUUUAAGAAAAUAUAUCCCAUGGUUCAAGAAAGAACUUAAUUUUAGAGUUGUACUUCAAGUAUCUAGAGCGAUUAUAAUAUAUAGCUAGUGUUUGAUUACAUAUUUUAAAAUAUUCUUGAUAAAUAUUAUUUGGUUAAAAAUUUAAGUAAAAUUUUAUCAUGUGUUUGAUCAUAGAAUUUGAGAAAUAUAUUUCACUUUUUUAAAAAAAUAUGAUUUAUCUCCAUAAGUUGUAAAAAAAAUAUCAAAACUAACCAUAAGUUUGUAUUACAAGUCAAUUAGAUCUUCGUUGCAACACAUGACUAGUAGUGUCCAUGACACUAGAACAAUGUGGUAGUUUGAACUGAGUGCAACAACAUCAUUUUAUACAUCGUGAAGUAGAUAAAGCACAAGACUUUGUUACCCUGAAUCCAUUCUUCAUAAUUUUUAUCAACAAUCAUAUCAUCACUUUCAUAUUCACUGAAUAUCUCAUCACUACUUUGGUGUUCACGUAAAAAAUUAUAUAAUACAACACAAGCAACUAUAGAGAGUGUUUUUGUAAAAGACAAAAGUUUGGUGUAAAAUUUCAAUUUUCAAAAGAUCCAAAACAAUGAGAUUUGAUCCAGAUACUAGGAAAAACUAGCAUUUGGAAAUGUGGAAUAUUUGUCAAAUAAUAGCAAAUUAUAUGGGCAAACACUAUUUAUCAAUUUUUUUUUCCAAAUAUUAUUUGAAAAAUUUAUGGCCAAAUGUGCCGAUAAGUUAGUUAUCUACUCCUUCUAUACCUAAUUACUUGUCCAUUUUUAAAUUGACACACCUAUUAAGAAAACAAUUAUUGACAUAGUGAAUUUACCAUUUUACCCUAUUAUUUAUGAAGCAAAUGAAUUAAAAAUUUAAGAUUUUCAAGAAGUUCUACUUUUUCAAAAUAAUGAAUUGAAGGUAUAAUAGGUAAAAAAAAAAAUUGUACUUUCUAGAUUUUUUAAAAUAGACAAGUAAUUAAGGAUAACUAAAAAAGAAAAAUGGACAAGUAAUUAGUGACAUACCCGUAGGGGUGUACAUGAUCGGGUUGGUUCGAAUUUUUCAAAUAUCAAAUCAAACCAUUCGUAUAAAAUUUUUAAAUUUAUAAACUAAAGUAAUAAAAUUUGGAUUAUUCAACCUCGGAUUGGUUCGAGUUUUUCAAAUAUCAAACCAAUUAUUGCGUCAAUUUUUGAAUUUAUAAAUCAAACCAAACUAAUAAACUUCGAUUUUUUCCAGAUUUUAGGAUUUUCGAUAAAAUUUACAUACAAACAUAUAAUUAACUUGUGCUUCAAAUGUUUCAUUAGUCCAACCAAAAUACAAUUAUCUAAGGUGUUUCUUAAAAAAUUAACACAAAAUAUGAGAUGAAUAUUGAUGACACAAAAAUAUUCAAUAAAAAAUAAUAAUUAAAUCAUCAUAUAGAAUCAAUAUUGUAAAGUCAUGAUAAAAAUAAUCAUAAUUUAAAAGUACUAAAUCAUGCUAAAAUAUGUUCAAUAAGUAUUAGUUACAUUACUAAAUAUUUAAGGAAAAUUAAAAUUAGAUUAUGUAUUUUAAUUGUCUAAACCGAUGUAAAAUUAAAGAAAAAAUAUUCAAUAUUAUUGUCAUUCUUAGUGUUGAAUUGAUUUUAUUUGUGCAUUAGUAUUGAUUUGAUUUUGAUUUAAGUUUUGUUAUAAUUAUCAACAUUUAUGAACAAUAAUCUUUGUUGGACCAUUCCGAAUUCUAAGUUUUAAACUUGAAAUAAUAUAUUAAAAGAUAAAAACUAUGAAAUAGUAUAAGAAAUAUUUUAAAAUGAUAUCAAAGUAAUAUUUUUAUAUAUAAAAUAAAAUUUUAAAAUUACAUAUCUAAUGUCGGGUUGGUUUGGUCUCGGGCUGAAUUAUUUUAGUUAAAUCAAAUCAACCCAAAUAUAGUCAGUUUUUUUUAAAUAUCAAACCAAGUCAAACCAAAUCACUAGUCAGAUUUUUUCCCCAAUUUAAUUCUACUUGUAUAAUUUGGUUCGAUUUUCGAUUUAAUUUUAUACACCCUAGAUAUUGAAAGCAUGUUUGAGUUUUCCUCCGUGAAUGGUUGGAGCUAAUUAUGAUGAAAAUUCUUGUUUUUAUUGUUUUCUUAUUAACUUCAAGAAUUCUCAAUGAUGUUAUUAAUUCUCUGUGGUAUAUCCACCUCCAUGAAUUUUAUUAAGAAAAUUGAUAUGAAUUUGUAUUAUUCUUGAAAAUGGAGACAAGAGAAUCAUAUUUUUUACUCAAUGGUAUGCGUAAUCCUUCGAAAUCGCAUGUGACAAUUAUUUAAUUUCUACGUAAUCUAAAUCCCAAACAAAUUUAUCAUUGAGUUUUCAAAUUCUUGAGGUUCUUAAUGGUUUAGCUCGAAAUCGAACAUCUUGCCCAGCCUCUGAACUAUCCGUAUUCAGUAGGGACAAUAAUGGAGCGAUGUGGGUCGAGGCGGGUUUAGUUUAACCCACAAAAUAAUUACUUCACUCUGCCUUAUCCCGCCCUGCCUCGCAUAACAAUAUUUUUAUUUUUAACCCGUCCACAUGAACUCGCCCCGUAAUUUUCUUAAGAUUUUAUUUUUUUGUUUAAAUUUGAUAUUAAAAAUAAAAUUUAUAAAAAUACAUUCACUUUCAUUAAAAUAUAUUAAUUUUAUAGAUAAUGACUUAGAUAUUUAUUUUUUAAAGGUCAAUUGGGUGUGAGAAAUUGUAUUAUUUUUUAUUGAACCAUUUUCAUUUAUUAUCUUAAAUAUUUUAGUAGCUUCAAAGAAAUCAUCUUAAUAAAUAAUGUUCUACCUCUCUUAUAACACGUAAAAAAAUUAAAGUUAAAUUUAACUCCAUAUAAAAUCACAUAUACCGGCAAUCCGCUCCACCCUAUAUUAAUUUUUUUUAAAAAACACACUUCAAUAUAUCUCUCCCGUCCCGCACAACCUUAAACUCGCUUGCAUAAUCUUAAACUCACCCCGCCCUAUUAUUAUACCCAGCGUUCACAACAUAAUAGUUAUUGAUGUAAUUACAAUUAUAUAACAAAAAUAAAUGAUGCUAUAACUCUCCUUCACACCCCAUUUCUUUUCUCAUUAUUUGGAUAAAUUAGUCAUCUAUAAUAUCUUUGAAUUUUUAGGUUACCGGCUACACUAUUCAUUACAACACUAACAUAUUAGUUAAAUCCUAGCUAGAUUUGGGAGAUAUGAUGUGGCAGGCUUUUAAAAUCAAGAAUGAUAUUUGAUUUUUUGAAAAAAAAAAUUUGAUAUAAAUUUAUUGUUUUAUGUGGAUGAUCCAUUAGAGUUAUCCAACAAUUAAUUGGAUUUAUGUAUAAGUGUUUUCAAGGUGAUAAGCUUCUCAGGCCAUAAGAAGCUUAAGAGAUAACUAUGUAUCUAUUAAUGAGGUGACCUUUGGGAGUGAUAUCUCAACACUAUAAAUAGAGAUAUGACUCACCAUUUGAUAAAAUACUUGAAUAAGAAGAAAAAUUUUCUCUUCCAUCUUACUUCUCUUGUCUUCUUCUCUUUCUAUUAUAUUAUGAGUUUGUGAUAAGUUUGAAUCAGCCCAAUUGCUCCAUUCCCUAAAUCGAAUGUGAUAGCAGUAUGUGAUAAGUUUGAAUCAGCCCAAUUUCUCCAUUCUAUCAUAUGGAUGUGGUAGCAGUGAAUAAUAAGUUUGAAAGACAACAUGUGAUUAAAUGUAUGAAUAGGGGCGUGAAGGGACAAAUCAUAAUAGUCAUCAUUGUGGUAAUUAUAAAAAGAAAGAAUAAUAUGAGUUCUUCAAAUAGUCCUUCAAACUAUGAAAAUUAAUUUUAUCACCAAAACGGUAUGAAAGGUCAUUGGAUACGCGGUUAUCAUGCGACCUUAUUUUUAUAAGUUUUAUAAAUCCUCCAUCAAAAUAAAAGAAUAUAAAGUGAUAGUGCAUUUUAUCUUUCAAAGUGAUUUUGAGGUUAAUCAUGUAAAUAUGUCAAAUAUAAAGGUAUGACAUGUAUAAAUUGUUAUAUUCAACUCAUGAAGAGAUUGUGACUUUAAUAAGCAUGUGAAUGUUUGUCUAUUCUUGAAAGUGAAUAUGGAAAAAUAUGAAGGAAAAAUAUGACUAAGAAUAUAUUCAUGUAUGGUUGGAUAUAUAUCAGACUCACAUCUACGGGAGGUUUGGGAGAAAUAAAUAAGUUUUAUUUGACACGAACGGUCAAUGGUCGUGUGCGUUUAUACGUCGUAAAUAUUAUGGUAUAUUUUUUAUGAACUAUUGAAAAGGAAAAAAGAAAGAAGUAAUUCUUGCCUAUAAAAAUUGUGGUCAUGAUCAAAUAUACUGUGGCAAUACAAAUUUGUCAUUGGUUGUGUGCCUAUGGUAAAACAAAAGUAAAACUAGAAACAUGUUUUGCUCGUAAUAAUUUUAACCAUGAGAAUAAUGAUAUAAUUUCCUUGAGGGGAUGUUCACUAUAUGGAUGGUGUUAUGGAAUAUGUGAUAGUACACAAAAUUAAUUGCAAGCUCUAACGAGUUGUUUUAUUGUCAGAGGAAUAAUAUUGAGGUUGUAGUAAGUUUCAAAAGAAACUUUUUAAGUUUUAGAUGAAUUGAAAAGAAAUACUGAGACUGUAAAUUAUGAAAAGAUUUAUUAUCUUUAGAUUACUACAACCGAAGCGGGUUAUAAAUAUUAUGUAAUAGGUUACCCAUUGUUCCUCUUGUUUGUUGUAUACAAACAUGGACAUGCUGAUGAAUUCACAUGCAAAAGUAAAUAAGUGUACUGAAAUAAAGAUCAGUUGGAAUGACCGGUUGACCAUUCUGGUUUAAAUGUGAUGCAAAUGUAAUUGAGAAUUCAUGUGGAUUAUAUGAUGAAGAAAUAAAAGAUUCCUCAAGAAUUCUCUUGUGUUGCUUGUUUUCAUUGUACCAGCUAAGGUUCAGAUUAUAAUCCCUAAAUCUUUGGAACAUAUAAAAAGGUGAUGAGCCUGUCUCCUUCAAUGUAGAUCAUUUGCAACCAUAUGAUCGAUGCAUCUAUGUGAUGGUCACAUGUGCUUUGUUGUACAUGUGCUUUGUUGUCAACUUACAAAUUGGUGUUUGUAAUGUUGUUUGCUCUAAUUGUUAAAUUAAGAGCACAGUUCCAAAUUAUGAAAUUAUAUUGGUAAUGCUGGUUGAUUAAGCAGAAAUUGUAUGCCUUCAAUUAUAGAUAAAUCAUGGUUAUGAGAAUAAAACUCCCCAAUAAAAUUUGGUAUGAGAUAAUUUUAUUUAACAUGUAGCAACACAUAUAUGCAUCAAGCCAACAAGGUUUUCCCAUUAAAAUUGGUUCAGGUCAGAGACCAAAUAAUUUUCAUAUAAAAUAUUACAUGUGCGGUUAUGAUUUUAAUUGUUUCACCAUGCACAAGGAUGAAUUCUCAAAUAAGGUUGGGAUGAAUAUUAGAUUUCCUAACAUUAAGUGGAGAGAUGAUUGACAGCUGAAAAUUAUUUAUGAGGUUAAUUAUGAAUUAUCUGGAUCUUCAUUAAAUAAAUAUGUGAACUUAAAGUUCAAAUGAUAAUUCAUUUGCAUAGCAAAUCAAUUGUCAGAUGAAUGUAGUCACCCUAUGAUAUAAUUCAGCUGCAAAUGCUCCAAUGUGAAGUCCUUGAAGGACGGAGUCUAUGAUACGCCGAAAGCGUAAUAGACCAAUCGAUUCCAAAUAUAAAAUUUCUUGAAGAAAGAGAGGAGCAAAUGAUCAAUAUGAUCAUGAUAAUUAGGCAAGUGCUCUAAGAGAGCACCACGACAUAACACUUCAUAAAACUUUGGAAAAGAUUCAGGUACCUGAAAAAUGAUUAAAAAAUGAAGAGAUAUCGAUAAUUUAUGUUAUAUUGAAAUCAAUAUCAAUUAACACCAUCGAAGAUAUUUUUGAUAUGAGGUAGCGCUCAAUGAUAUAAAUUGUAACGAGGAUCUUGAAUUCAAAUCUGUCAUAAAGUGUAGACAAAUAAAUGGUUGGCCAAGUAAAAUGCAUAAUUCAAGUAUAUUGUUUUACUAAGAAAAGUGAGUUUUGGACUGAUAGUCCAUAAAUUAAGGUAUAAUAUCAAUGGGGUACAAUAAAUUAUUAUGUCAUGGUAUAAUUGUAAUAUCAAGUAGAACUUGUGCCUUGGGGCAUAAAAGUUUGUCGCGAAAUUCCUGACAUUAUUGGAGAUGUUUUCUCCAAUGGUGUAUGCAAUGAGGUUUGUUUUGAUCUGGCAAUAUAUGAAACACGUGAAUGCAAAUAAUGAAUAAUUAUCAUGCCUAGCUAGACAAUAAUGAAGGUUAUAUAAAGAUUCUUGAAGUAAUCGAGGUGUUUGAAGCAUAUAAAAGUUUAAAGGAAACUUUUUCUAUAAAACUUCAAGAAUCCUUAUAUGGAUUGAAAUAAUCAAGGAAGAAAAGAGUACAAAAAGAAUGACCAUAAUUGUCCUUGAAUUUUAUGAAAAGUUCAGGAUCUGAAUUUGUUAUAAAUUAUGUAUGUAGAUGAAUUGAAAUUACUAACACUCUUAAGGAGCUUUUAAAAGCUAUUGAGUAUUUUGAGAAGGGAAUAUAAAAUGUAAAGAUUCUGGAAAGACAAAAUUUUAUCUUGACCUAAGAUUGAAACUUUGACGAAUGAAAUAUUUGUCCAUCAAUCAAAUACAUAGAAAAGCUUUGAUGCAACUUUAUAUGAUAAAUCACAUUCAUUACCCCAAUGAUUAUGAGAUCGAUUGAAAUAAAUGAUGAUUCAUUUUUUAUCUUAAGAGAAGAAUGAAGAGCUUCUUGGUGAUGAAACUCCAUAUCUUAGUGCAAUCAUGAUACUAAAGCAUCUUGCUAACAAUACUCGACCAGAUAUCUGUUUGGCAGUAAAUUUACAGGCAAAACUCGGUUCCUUCCCAACAAAAGGACAUUGAAAUGGUGUAUGUAUGUACUUGAAUAUCUUUCCGAAGAAUUCAAGUCAAAGCUGAUUGGUUACGCAAAUGCAGAAUAUUUAUCUGAUCCGCAUAAAGCAUGAUCUCAAGCACUCUAUUUGUUUGCAUAUGGAGGCACAUUAAAAAAUAUCCUUGCGAUCAAUGAAGCAAAUGUUGCUAUGCAGAAAUAAAAUCCCUCCAUGAAGCAAGUCGAAAGUGCGUCUGGUUGAGAUAAAUGACACCAUAUUCAGGAAAUGUGUGGUUUUUCCUUGAAAAAGAAUAUAUCAACCACAAUGUACGAAGAUUGGAGACAUCAUCACAAGAAAUUAAGUGAUGUUUUAAUCAAGGAGAAUAUAAUACGCGUUGCACUGUUUUUUCCUUGACCGAGGUUUUGUCGCACUGAAUUUUACUGGCAAGGUUUUAAUGAGGCAACAAAUAAUGCAUAUCAAAAGAUAUGUGUACUCUUUUCCUUCAUUAGAAUUUUUUUUCCACUAGGUUUUUUUCUAGUAAGGUUUUAACGAGGCACAUUAUCUAUAGACAUCCAAGGGAGAGUGUUAUAAAUCUAUUGUUUUAUUUGGAUGAUACAUAAGAGUUAUCCAACAAUUAAUUGGAUCAUGUAUAAGUGUUUCCAAGGUGAUAAAAACCUUAAGAGAUAACUAUGUAUCUAUUAAUGUGGUGACCUUUGAGAGUGAUAUCUCAACACUAUAAGUAGAUAUAUCACUCACCAUUUGAUAAUAUACUUGAAUAAGAAGAAAAGUUCUCUCUUCCAUCUUACUUCUCCUAUCUUCUUCUCUUUCUAUUAUAUUAUGAGCUUGAUUUUAUAACAUUUUUGACAUUUCUCUUAAUCAUUUUUAUUUAUAUGAUACGAUAAAAAGCCUAUAAAAUGUUUCUUAAUUAUUAUAUCUUUUUUUCGAUAUACAAAGCUUAAAAGAUAUUUUACUAAUUAGUAAUUUAAUCAUAUUUAUUAUGCAAUAUAAUAAUAUAAUUCUAUACAGCUAAUAUAUAGCCUAGAGACAUUAGGACUAAUUUUGGCGAACAUUUUUCUUCUUCUGACUUUUUAAUCCUUACAUGUACCUUUCCCCUAUAUAAGUCAUUGACAGAUUAUUUUAAUUUUUUUUAAAAAAAAUUCAGUUAAUCAAUCGUUAUAUUUAAGACUCAUAAAUAGUGAUUUAAAUUUGCAGGUUCUCAUCCUAAUAAAGUUUUGGAGUGGGUAUAUGGUGUUUUGAUUCGAUUUUUAAAUUUCAAUUUGAAUUUUUUUUUCAUAGUGUGUAUCAAAUAUAAUAUCAAAUUAAUUUGAUUUGUUCGAUUUGAUUGAGUUCAAUUUUUGUAAUUCAGCCUAAGUGUCAAACAAUUAAUAUCAGUAACAACAUCAUAAAAGUUAAAUUGUACUUAAUAGAUUGUAUGAUAGAGCAUAUUUAAGAAAAAUGCAUGUAUAUUAGCAAAAAAGUUAAAGAAGUAAUUUGAUCUUAAAUCAUUAUGCAAUAAAAUAACAUAAAAUCUGUAUUAUCUAAAUAUAGCUUAAGACAUUAGGAGUUUAAGACGUCUCUUCGGCCAACAUUUGUUCCUUCAUCUGUUUUUUUCUUAAAAAAUAAAAUACAUUCAGUAUACUUAAGACUCAUAACUGAAGAUUUAGAUUUGCAGUUCUUUCAUCCUAAUGAAGUGAAUGUAGCCAUUUAUUUUAUACUCUGUAUUUCCAAUAAUAGUUAUUCAUUAUUGAUUUGACACAUAUUUUAAAAAUAUUUAAUAAAUAAUAUGACUAAGUUAUCCUUUAAAUACAUUAAAUUUAGUACUUUGAAAAAUAUAUUUAAUAUUAAAGUACAAUAUUUAAUAUAAAAAUAAUUAUCUCUUGAAUUUUUAAAUUUAUGAAUAAUUGAAGAAGAAAUGAUUAUGCAUUGUAGUACUUUUUAUAUGACGUACUAUGUUAUAUUGCUUAGAACGAAAGAUUGAAGAAGUUUACUUUUUAAUUAUAAAUUAUCCAUAUAUUAUUUAAUUAUUUUGACUUGUUAAUUAUUAUGCAUUGUAGUACUUUUUAUAUAGUUUACAAGUAUAUAUAAAUUUAAUUUUUAAAAAGAAUUAAAGAUUUCAUGCACAAAUUUUCAAUCAAAACGCAUAUUAGUUGACUCUCGAAAACAAAAUGUAUCACAUAAAUUUGAUACUCAAAAAAUAGUUUGUUUGUAAUGUUUAGUUUAAUAUGUUAUGAUUGAUCUUUCUCGUUGCUUUUUUUCAAUUGUAAAAUUCUAAAUUUUUAGUAAUAUAAUUUUUUAGAAGUGAGAGGAUUCAAUUUUUUUUUUUUUUAGAAGUGAGAGGAUUCAAUUUUUUCUUCUCUUUACGCAUCACAAUUCUUUUCCAAAGCAAUCAAAUUAGUCUAGAAAAAAUCUGUAAUGAAAAAUAGUAGCCAAAAUAAAUAAAAAUCAAAAGCACGUACGAGUUUAUUUUUUUUUACUAAAGUCAAGUACGAAAAGUUUUAAAUAUAUUUAAGAAAGAUAUUAUGUACAACUAAAAUUGUUGGAUUAAAAAAGUAUUUUAUGAAGUAAUAAUAAAAGUAAUUAAUUAUCUUAAUUAUAGUUAAAACUUAUCUUUAUUUUUUAAAUUUCAAUAAUUAAUUCAACUAUGACAUCUCUCUCAUCCAAAAUACUAAAUUGAAAAAACGAUAAUGCUAAAUGGGCAGUAUUUGGGCAGAAAAUUAAAAAUCUAUGAUAUUUUUUUUAAUUUUAAAAUAAAGGGAAAAGAAUCUGAUAUACCCCUCAAUUUUGUCAUUUGGAGUUGAUAUACCCCUCAUUAUAAAAGUGGCUCAUAUAUGCCCUUAUCGUUAUACAAACGGCUCACAUAUACCCCUGCCGUUACAAAAUGGCUCACAUAUACCCUUCAUUUAACGGAUGUUAAAAAAUUAGUUUUAAAUUUAUAUUUAUUACUUCUAAUUUUUUUUAAAAAAUUAUUUAGGGGUAUAUAUGGUUCUUCUAUCAAAGUUCAAGGUAUAUUUUUUUUUUUUCACACAUAAAUUAUUUUUUGACUUCUUUUAUUAUAAUUAUUUGAAUUUCUUAUUCUUAUUUUGUUUUUCUUUCAUUCCUUAGUUUAAAGAAUAAAAAAUUAAACUAUUUUUUUUGUAUGUAUUGUAUUUUAAUUUCGUAUUCGAAGAAAAAAUAUGGUCAUCUAUAAUAAGUUUUACAAGAAUAUUAGUAAAACAUAAAUAAUUUGAUUAUCAAAAUAAUAAUUACAAAUUAGUCAUUGAAAUAAAAAAAAGUCAAAAAAUAUGUUUGACAAGGAUUAAAUUUACUCAUAUGGGAUUAUAUAUUUUAGAAAAAAAUAAUAAAAAUUUAGAUUAAAUUUUUUUUUUUUCAUUUCCGUUAGAGGAAAAGGGUAUAUGUGAGUCAUUUGUUUACAAGUAGGGGUAUAUAUGAGUCAUUUUCAUAACAAGGGGUAUAUCAGCUCUAAAUGACAAAGUUGAGGGGUAUAUCAGACCCUUUUCCCUAAAAUAAAUUAAUCUUUUUUUUAUUUAUAGUUAAAAUAUAUUAAAAUUAAAAUGGUAAAAAUAUUUAAAAUGUAAAAUAAUAUAUGUAAAAUGCUACUUUAGCCAAAUUGUGGCCAUAUAUUCUUGCCAAAAAAGGAUUUUUCCUCGUACUAUUAUUGGAUUAUAACAUCAAAUUAUUAAAACAAUUAGUAAAUGGAGUGUAACCGGAAUAUUGAAUAAGCACCCCGGGCAAUUAUAAUUAAGUAAUAAAUCUUUUUAGGAUGAGUGACAACACAAUUUUUUUCAAAUAUACAAAUUAUUACAAUUAAUAAGUGAAGAAAAUUCUUACUACUAAAGUAUAUGAUAAUGUUUUAGACUUCUUGACACUUUCUUUAUGACCUUCAUAAAUAAGAAAUUUAUUUAUUUAAAAAAUUUCUUAAGUUGAUAAAUUUGAAGAAAAAUGUUGAGGGUAGAAAAUCUAACAAUUUUUUACCUCAUCUAAUAUAUGGAUUGUCGUAAUAAUUGAAAAAUGAAAUAGUAUUUAGUUAAUAUAGCAUCAUUUUUUAUGUGAUUAUUUAUUUUAUUGCUUCUUUUAUAUUUUAACAAUUAUCAUGAACCAACAUUAUUGUUCUUAUAUUUACAUUUUUUACUCUCCUUUCGACGUCUUUUUUUCUUCUCAUUACAAAAUAUUUGAAAUUUCUCAAACGAAUAAACCUUCUAUAUUGUGCAAAAUAUAUUGUAAAAAGAUCAAAUUUAGUUUUGACAUCUUCUUCACAUUUCAAGCAUUAAAACCAAUUAACACUGUUUUAUUAUUAUUAUUAUAUUAAUUUAAAUUUUCUGAGUUUAAUUUUAUUAUUCUAACAUUAUUUUAUAUACUUUUCAUUGAAAAAUUGCAUUGUUUAUAUUCUUACUUCAUAAUGUACGUAUAUAACAUUCUUUGCAGACUUCAUUUAUGAAAUUACACUAUAGAAUAAUAAUUUGAUUUAUAUGUACUUCCUUCCUUUCAAAUUGAUUAAAUUGUUAAGGUGUUUCACACAUUUAAAAUAAAUUAAGUCACAUAUUAAGCAUAACUUUAAAUUUUUACAAAAAUAAGAGCUCUCUAUAAAGUUUGACUUUAAGUCUCCAAAUUUGUUAAUACAGACCUGAAAGAGUGUAGGAGCUAACAAAACAAAUAGUUAUAAAAGUAAUUUAUUCAAUUUAUAGAAUUAAAGCUAUAUGUGCAUACACCAAAAUUUUACAUCCUUUAUCAUAGCAAAAUUUAUAGAAAAUAAAAAUAAAUUUAGUAACUAAUGUUUUUUUUUUCAAACACUGUAAAACACGAAAAAAAUUGCUAAUGUGUAAGAAAACAUGUGUAAUAUAAAACAAAUAUAAAAGAGUCCACGUGCAUCGCAUGAGUACCUAUAUUAAUUUUAGCUUGAAAAUAAAAAUUAAUAUUUUUUUAUUUCAAACACUACCAAUUAUUAUAAAACUAUUUAACUUAAUUGGAUGCACCAACUUUGACAGGUGUUAAUUCACUUCAAUAUUCAACCAAAAAAAAAAGAAGGUUAAAACGCAAAGCAACUUAAUUCAUUUGUUAUAAAUUGGAGGAGCCAAAGAUAGUGAGAUUCACAAAACUUUAUAUCUCUAAGAAUGGAAAUUCAAAAGGUAUCAUAGUUUCUAAUAUUUUUUUUAAUUAUAUAUGUCUAUCUUAAGUUUCAUUCAUAUACUCAUGAUUAAUUUAUUGAUCAUUUUAAACAAUGAAACAUAUCUUAGAUUUAAUUUUAUUUAUUUAUUUUUAUAACAUAGGAGUUUGAUUUAACGAUAGUUCCAACAGAAGGUGAAAUUGAUGCACCAUCAUCGCCAAGGAAGAAUUUAUGUCUCAGUGUGAUGGAAUCUGAUAUUAAAAAUGAAACGUCUUUUCAAGAACUCGACAUGAUUUUGACUCAAUAUUUAGAGACAUUGUCCGAGCGAAAAAAGUAUCAUAUAGGUAAGGAUAUACAUAUGUAUAGUCUUUCCAUACAAACAUAGUUACUUUUUACUCAACGAAAUUAUACAAGCAUUAGUGAUCGAGGUAAUUUAAUCUCAAUUUUAUUUAAAUAAAUACAUUUUCAUUUAUUUUUACGUGUGUAAUAAACAUAAAAGUAUUUAUAAGAAAAAUUAAUCAAAAGUUAUUCAUUAAUAAAUCAUCCCUAACUUUAUUUUACAUAUCUUUUAAGUAUUUUUGAUUUGGCCAAAUAAUAUUUUACGAUUUUAUUCAUAAUUAUAUCUUUGGUUAUUUAAUUUACAGGUUAUCCAAUUAACAUGUGUUACGAACAUCAUGCCACUUUAGCCCCACUUUUGCAAUUUCAUUUGAACAAUUGUGGAGAUCCCUUUACUCAGCACCCUACAGAUUUCCAUUCAAAAGAUUUUGAAGUGGCUGUUUUAGAUUGGUUUGCACAACUCUGGGAAAUAGAGAAAGAUGAAUAUUGGGGAUACAUUACUAGUGGUGGCACUGAGGGCAAUCUCCAUGGCCUUUUGGUUGGGCAGGUAUCAUUUUCAAGAAAGGGGGUGGGGGGGAGAGGUGGUAGUUUUUGAAUCAUAUGAAAAAUCAAAAAAUUAAAUGGCGUAAUCAGCCAUUGUCAUGGUCAAAAUCAUUACGAGCAAGACGUCUUACUUUACUUUUGUUGUACCAUAGGUACACAAUCAAUGACAAAUUUGUAUUGCCACACAAUAAUGACCACAAUCCUUCUAUGCAAGAGCUAUUUCUUUCUUUUUCCCUUUCGGUAGUUCACAAUAAACAUACCAUAGUGACGUAUAAACAUACAGUACGAUUAGCCAUUUUUGCCAAAUAAAAUUUAUUUUCUCUCAAACCUCCCGUAGAGGUGAGUUUUGACAUAUAUUAUUUUUUCUCAAACCUCCUAUAGAGGUGAGUUGUGACAUAUAUUCAAUCCAUAAUGAUUUUAUCAUAUCUUGACCCAUUCUCUUAUAGAAUGGUCGAGCAUUCAUAAUACUCAUCACAAGUCACAUUCUCUUCAAGGAAUUCAUAAAUUUGUAUUAUAAGUACAUUGUCAUGGUUCUAAAAUUCAUUAUAUUUCCAUGACACACCUCAACAUCACUUUGAAAGAUCAAGUGUACCAUCACUUUAUCUUCUUGUCUCAUGAUAGAGGAUUUAUAAAGUUGUCAAAUUGGGUCGACAACAUUCAGAAGUCCAAUGACCUUUCAUACCAUUUUAUAAUAAAAAUUCUCUUCACAUUUUGAAGGACUAUUUGGAGAACCCAUAGUGUUCUUCCUUUUAUAAUUAUCACAAUGAUGACUAUUAUAAUUUCGUCCCUUCACGCCCUUAUUCAUAUCAUUAAUUAUUUGUCAUCUUUCAGACGAAUUAUUUGUUGCUACUACAUUCAUAUAAUUGAAUGGAGCAAGUCAACAGAUGGAUUUCAAAGUUAUCACAUGUUGCUUCCAUAUUCUUUUCAAGGAAUGGAGCAAAUUUAAUAUGAUGAAUUUCAAUACUUUUCAUCAAAAAUAUAUUAUUUUGCCUCAGUCAUCAUCUUAUCAUCAAUUUGGUGCAUGGAGACUCAAACUCAAUGUCUUAUCCAUACAAGGCACAUUAGGCCAUAAUUCUAUGGGACUUGAACCCAAUACCUUAUCAUUAUGGUGCAUCAAAACUCGAAUUGAUGUCUUACCCUCUUGGUGCGAUAGAACUUGAAUCUACCGUCUUACCCUCAAAUAUUUUUCAUAAUGAAUGACAUAAAUGAGUCUUUUUUAAACAAAUUUGAUAACAUAUUUGAGUUUUUUUCUUAUGGUUAAAUGAUGCAAGUGCUUCAUCACUUUCAUAAAGCAUUUGAACAAUAUUAUAUAUUUGUGCAGAAGAGAGCUACUUCCUAAUGGAUAUUAUAUGCAUCAAAAGAUUCACAUUACUCGAUUUUCAAAGCAGCAAGAAUGUAUCGAAUGGAGCUACAAACUAUCAACACUUUAGUUAAUGGGGAAAUUGAUUAUGAAGAUUUACAAUCAAAGUUACUUGUCAACAAGAACAAACCAGCUAUCAUCAAUAUCAAUAUUGGUAAAAAUACAUACAUAUAUAUUCUUACAUCUUAUAACAUCACUUUUGGUAAAUUAGUAUAUAUGUGUUUAUAGGAACAACCUUCAAAGGAGCUAUUGAUGACCUCGAUUUCGUCAUACAAACACUUGAAAAUUGUGGUUAUUCAAAUGACAAUUAUUAUAUCCAUUGCGAUGCAGCAUUAUGUGGGCUAAUUCUCCCAUUUAUCAAACAUGUAAGCUUAUUUUUAUUCAAUUUUCCUUCAACGCUCGAUCGAAGUUACAAUGACAUAGUUUCUUUCUAUGGUAUUUGACAAUAGGCAAAAAAAAUUACCUUCAAGAAACCAAUUGGAAGUAUUUCAAUUUCAGGGCACAAAUUCUUGGGAUGUCCAAUGUCUUGUGGCGUUCAGAUAACAAGGAGAAGUUACGUUAGCACCCUCUCAAAAAUUGAGUAUAUUAAUUCCGCAGAUGCUACAAUUUCUGGUAGUCGAAAUGGAUUUACACCAAUAUUCUUAUGGUACUGUUUAAGCAAGAAAGGACAUGCUAGAUUGCAACAAGAUUCCAUAACAUGCAUUGAAAAUGCUCGGUAUUUGAAAGAUCGACUUCUUGAAGCAGGAAUUAGUGUUAUGCUGAAUGAUUUUAGUAUUACUGUUGUUUUUGAACGACCUUGUGACCAUAAAUUCAUUCGUCGUUGGAACUUGUGUUGCUUAAGAGGCAUGGCACAUGUUGUAAUUAUGCCAGGUAUUACAAGAGAAACUAUAGAUAGUUUCUUCAAAGAUCUAAUGCAAGAGAGGAACUAUAAGUGGUACCAAG
RNAcentral lists this long non-coding RNA (90415 nucleotides) under Solanum lycopersicum (tomato). RNAcentral describes it as "long non-coding RNA (SLYC_LNC000555)". The stretch from base 69276 to 69346 matches the Rfam family "MIR8041 microRNA precursor family". The record is from RNAcentral. Lineage: Eukaryota; Viridiplantae; Streptophyta; Magnoliopsida; Solanales; Solanaceae.